UGCAAACAUUGGUGGUUUAUCCACAAACUUAUUGGAAACUUUUAUAUGCAAACCCGUUUUAUAUUUACAAUUACUAGCAGUGUAUUAACCUACAACACUGGUGGUUCAUCUAUAAUGUUUACUGGCAGAUUUUGUCUACAAACCCAUUGUGUAUUCACAACUACUGGCAGCGUAUUAACUUGAAACACUUGUGGUUCAUCCAUAAACUAGAGUGUCCAGGAUAUAAGAGUUUUGGGGAACUCUUACUAUGAAGUGUAGCGAUAGGGUAGGACCUUUCUUUUCUAUUAAAUUGAAAUUGUAUUACAUUGACACUUAUAAGCAUACUCGAAUGAAUUGUCAAUUUUUUGCUAUACUAUAUGAUUAUUAUUGUACUGAAAACUAUUAUUAUGAAUGUUUGGUUUAUUAUUUUGCACUGAUUCUCUUGUGAUAGAACUCACACUGAGCUUCAUAGUCCACCCCCUUAAUUUCCAUCCUUACAAAUAACCCAUCAAGUUAGGAUGCGGACAUGACACCUGUAACACCCCUAACCCUUAUCCGUCACUAGAACAGGGUUACAGAGCAUUACUGAACCUUACGAAUUAAAUACGAACAUUUCACAACUUUUAUUAUACAUAUCAAGAAUUAGUUAUAAAACACUCAUAUUGUCUCUUAGAUGGACCCUCGAGGCCCAAUAUACACCUUAGAAGUGAAUCGAGACUAAACCAGGUACUCAGGAAAUUUUUCCCAAAAUCUCAAUAAAAUUUUCUUAGGAGCAGGGGACACAUGCCUAUGUGGCCGACCGUGUCAUGUUUUAGGUCGUGUGGGCAUUCGAUAUGAGGCACACAGCCGUGUCUUUACCCGUGUAACUCUCUGACUUGGGUCACAUGGCCAACCACAUGCCCGUGUGCUAGGCCGUGUGCAAGGGCAGGUCGUGUCUCUACUUGUGUGGACGAAAAUAGGCCAUUUUAAGGCCACUUUUCUUACCCUUUUUGAUAUCAACCUAUACACAACAUUUCAAUACAUCAAAUAGCCCCAAUCAAGUAAUCAACACAAGUCAAAACUCAUGUUUUAAACAUAAUAUAUCAUCACAAAUAUCAAUUGCCUAAGCUUACCAAAAUAACUUCAUUCAUCGAUUUACCAAAACCUACUACUAAAUACAUGCAUACAAACAUAUAUAUAAGUCAUUCAUAAUCAUACUUCAAAUUUAACUCUUUUCCAAUCCAGCCCUAUACAUUCCAUAUAAACCAUAAAAUGUAUAACAAAAUCUAUCGGAGCAAACUGGAUAGUGUGGUUCAAUGUGUUGAUCUGAUCCUCCAAACUUCUUGAAAAUCUAUAAAGAACAUUAAACGACACAGUAAGCUUAAUAAAGCUUAGUAAGUUCGUUGGCUUUAAAUAUAAAUCUUACCAAACUUACUAUAAUAAUUCAUUUAGGUAACUCAUUUCACAAACAUUUUCUGCCAAUCACAACUUCGGUUGAUGAAUUCACUUAUUUGAGCUCAAUAUUAAUAAUAACUUAAAUUCUUCCACAGUAAUUCCAUAUGGCACUUACCAGUCCUUGUCAAAUCAGAGAACAUCUUACGGAUUUGAUUACAUCGUAAACAGAAGCCCGAAGGCUGCACAGAAGCACAUAAGUGCUAAACGGAAACCCGUAAGGGUUUAACGGAAGCACAUAGAAGCUAAACAAAAACCCAUUAGGGUUAAACGAAAACAUAUAUGAGCUAAUUGAAGCUCAUUAGAGCUAAACGAAAAGCAAACAUGAAAGUUCGCAACAAACGCUGAACCUCGGUUUACUUGGGUAAUUUUUUGUCAAUUCCUCAUUUGCACUGAACGACUGUACUCAAUCACGCGUUCCAUUCGUUUUGAACAUUCAAUUCAAUUUCAUAACUUUAAUAAUAAAUUUAUUUUCAACAAAUGAUAUGAAUAAAUAAAUAAUAUCAUUCACCAAUUAGCAUAUAACAUUAAAAUUUAACCAUACGAACUUACCUGGAUUUGAUGUAAGUUUGUUGUAGUUCAAUGAUUAUUCAAUUAAUUUCCCUUUUUCACAUUGAUCUACGGGAUCUUUAUUUAAAAUGUAAAAUUAUUCAUUCAUUAGCACAUAUUUCAAUUCUAAUUCAUUUCACAAUUUAUACCCCUCAAUUUUUGAAAUUGCACAAUUACCCUAACUUUUAUAAUUUUUUUACAAUUUAGUCGCUCACCAAUUAGCCCAUCAAAUAAGCUAUUUUUUCUCAAUUAACACUUUAUCUAAAUAUUAUAAGCUAUUACACAGCCUUUGAUAAAUAUAAUUUAAUACCAAACCCUAAGAUUUAAUCUUUUUCACAAUUUGGUCCUAAAAUCAAUUUCUAUUGAAAUUACUUGAUAAAAUCAUCAUAUAACAAAAUUAAAGCUUUAAUUCCAUGUUAAUUCAUCAUAAACAUCCAGAAAUAAUCAAUGUUAACUUUCAAAAUUACCCAUAAAAUCAAAAACUAAUGAAUUGAUAGUUGGACCUAAUUGCAAAAGUCUUAAAAACACAAAAAUUUCAAGAAAGAGCAAGAAUUAAACUCACUUGUAGAAAAAUAUGAAAAACCAGAUUUUUAAGGGUUCUUCAAUGGUGUUUUUGGCUGAGAAUUAUGAAGAAAUGUCUAGAUAUUCAAUUAAAUCCCAUUUUUAACUAUUAAGUUUUAUUUCAUUUCCAAUUUUACCCCUUGUUCACAAUAAUUUCAUGAUUUUUUUUGCACUCAUGCCGUCCAGCCUCUUAUUUUAGGUUUAUUUACCCUUGAAGUCCCUCCUCAUUUAACAUUUAGGCUAUUUUAUCACGUUAGCAAGUUUUGCACAUUUUUCAAUUUAGUUUUUUUUAAUUAAUUAACUAUCGAAACAUUAAAAUUUUCUAAUGAAACUUUAAUACUAACUUAAUAACACUCCAUAAAUAUUUAUAAAAAUAUUUACGGCUCGAUUUAUUAAAUCGAGAUCUCGAUACUUCGUUUUUGAAACUAAUUAAUCUAAUAAAUACUUCUAAAUCAAAAAUUACUAAUUCAAAAGUCUUCUAAAAUCAUACUUGACUCAUAAAUAAUAAUUAAUAAAAUUUUUAAACUCACUCGUCGGAUUUAGUGACCUCGAAUCACUGUUUUCGACACUACUGAAAAUUGGGUUGUUAUAACAUCUGGAGGGUCUCGGCUCGGUUUUGUUUGUUAAGAUAUUUUUAUUAUUUAGAGACUAUAUUAUUUUAUUUUGAAAUGUGACAUGAGACAUAGGAUUUGAGAUUUUAUAUAUUUAUUUAUUUAUAGCUUGCAUGACAUUUAAUUUGAUUUAGGAUAUCGAAUUAUGAAUAUGAAUUAGUUAUGCAAGAAUUCCGAUUUUUAUUAAAAAUAUAAAUAGAUAUCAUUUUUCUGUUGCUAAACUAUAAUUAAAAUAUUGGGUAAUAAGUAAUUUGGUAAUUAACUAGGUUUUCAAAAAGUAGUCACCGUUACAUAGCUUAAUUAAAUUUAAACCGGUUAUUGACAACUCGUAAAUUUUUCUGAAAACAGACUAAAUUUUCUUCUAGAAUAAACAAAUAUUUUAAAAUAAGCACUAUUUAUUAUUAAAACUAAUGUAAGAUAUUAAUUAUUAUAAAAAAUUAAUCAUUAUAAAAUAAAUUCCAUCUACGAAUUUUAUGAUAAAUAUAAUUUAUGUUGUAUUAUUUUACUAAAAAUAUUUUUUUUAAAUGAAAUUUUUUUAUUAAAUAACACAAAAUAUUUUAUAUAGAACCAUCCAACACAAAAAAAAAAUUAUUUUUCAAAAAUAAAUAAUUUUUAAUGAAACAAAUAUAGCUAAAGAAAGUAGAUAUUGUAACCAUUGAAGCCACACAGACAUGGAUAUUGUGCUUUAAAUAUUUUACUGAAAAUUGGCUAAAAAAUGUUUAUUGAAAGAAAAAAAAAUUACAAGAAAAAGUAUGGGCCCGACUUUACCACUUGCUUUGCAAAUGAGCUCUUGUUCUGGUCCUUGUCCCCCAUUGCUGAAUGGCAACAUCAAGCAACCUCAAAUUAUUAUCUUAUAGAUUUGAUUCAUUCCAAUCCGAUUAAUGAUUCAUAUAUGCCCCUCCCAUAAACAAAGGAUAUAGUAUUGUUAAUUUCUUUACAACCCCUCAUUGACUCUUUUACCAUUCAAUUUUAGUCCAUAUUGCUGCAAUUCAUAUGUAUAUAGAUAACCCUUGUUUAUUUUCUGGGUAUAAAAGUUGAAGCAGGAGAGAAGCAUAAAGGUAUAAAGGCAAAUGCAUGGGCUAGAUUGGUAUGGUAAGCUCAAGUCCAUGCAAAUUCCAUAAGUGAGCAUGGGAAUGAAUCUGACAAAUGUUGGUGAGUAAUACUGGAAAGAAGAAUCUGACCACAACCACCUUUCUAAAGGGAGAAAAAGAAAUUUUACAAUAAAGUUUAAAGGAUGAUAUGUAACCGUAUUUAUAAAAUUAAUAUCAUAUAUUGGUAAGUGUGGUAGUCUAUUAUGAUGAUAAUAUAUAGUAUUAUCUGCAGGUUGAGGAGCAAUGAGACAAAGCACUUGAAUAGUAUCUUUUGAUGUUAUUGUGGGACUUACAGUAAGUACUAUUUGCUUGCCUCUUUGUGUCCUCUAAUGGUAUCUCUCCCUUUCUCUCUCCACUCAUUGAUUUGUAGCUAUUGAAACACCGGAAGAGCCCAAAAAUCAACAAACACUUGUUACUGUAUUAUCUUUUUCUUGCUUUUUUGGUUUGCUGAAUUCUCUGACUUUGCACCCUCAUACCCAUCUCUCUAAACCUCUGCUUUCCCAUAAUUGUACACCUCCUCUUCUAUCUUAUCUCCUCCUUUUUCAUCUUUAACACUCGCUGUACUAUUUGUGGUAGAAAAAUAGCAGAAAAACACAAAAACACCCACAGGUUUAUAUACUUCUUUGUCUCUUCAUACUUCAUCUCAUACCUUACAGAUGUAUUAAACCACUCAAACCUUUGUUUGUUGCUUCGAAAGAUAUUCCAAGUAAGAAUCUUUUUCACCAUCUUAUAUAGUUUAUGGAUUUGGUUUUUCUUUUUUUUUUGUUAGCUUUUGUUUUGUGUUACUGAUUUGAAGCUGCUGUUUUGCACUGUUAUGUUAAGCCUUUUUGAAUUUUCAGCUUGAUUUGGUUUCAUCUUCUCUCUUUUUUUAAUGACUUUUAGAGUGAUUUUGUUUGCAUUUUCCAUGUUAAUUCUAGCUGCUAUUAGUUUGUGAAAAAUGGUUCUUUCAUUCCACUGUUUCUGAUAGAGAUUUGGAGAUGAAAUUAACUUAACAUGAAUCUGAUGAAGCACUUUGAACAGACUUUUAGGGUUAUGAAAAAAAAAGCACUUUCUUAGGCAAUUCUGAAUAGCUUUCAUCAGUUUCAUGCAUGUCAGCUGAUUCCUCAAACCCUCAUUUCUUUAGUAUCUGAAUUUGACACCUAUUUGGUCAUAUAUGAACAGCUAUUUAUACUUUAAUCAUGAUUUUGAGCCAAAAAGUGAAACGAAAAUAAAAUUUGAGUGUGUUUGGUAAAGAAGGAAAAGUAGAAGGAAAUGAAAAUGAGAGAGAUGGCUAUUUCAAUGCAUGAAACUUAAUGAGAGAAAAUUCGUGGGAAAAAAGUUACCAAGCACACCAAUACGAAUCCUUACUUAUUAGACAGCUAGUUCUACGAUUAGCUUGAACCCAUUGUAUUAAUGUAGCCUACCGGAAAAUUCUAAAUCCAGUUUCAUUCAAUGUCAUGCUCUAGAAGGGAAUGGAUAUCAUGUCAAUUUUGUUUCUUCCUUAAUGUUUACUCUUUGCACCGUGAUUGGUUCUCUUUUUUUUCAAUUCCAUUAGCUUGAAGAUCAACAGUUUUGUCGCUCGUUGAUCCAUUAGUGGAUAAUUGGAUCCUUUUUGUCCUCAUUUAUAGGAUUUUCUCAUUUCAAAUAAGAGAAGUUGGAGAUAAAUCAUAGAUACCCUUCAUCAUGUUAGCCGGAAGUAAGACCUAUUUACCAUUGGUUAGCAUUAUGAACUUUUAUGGCUGCACGAUGCGUGUGAUUGUUUAAUGUUUACGGACUUGUAUUUAUGGAGAUUAUUACAUGUAUCACUUAGUUAAACCAUACUGUCCAUGUUUCCAAGGUUGGAUUUUUUUUCUUCAAAUGGAAGUUAGCAUGCUCAUCAUGACGGAUUACAUAUGACAAGCUUGAGAGACCAGAAUAUACUGUUAAAAUGAUGUGUUAUCGCAAACACAUCGGUUAAAUCUUGAAUUGCUUGUUGUCUUAUAAUCAAAUUGGAUUUUUCAACCAAUUUGAAUUGAUGUUAAAUUAUGCAUGUUACUCAUGUCUAUUAGUCCGCCGUGCUUGCCGUUAAAUCCUGGAUUGCUUAUGGUUUUAUGUUUGAGUUUGGUCUCUGCACCUAUUUCUAUUUGAUUUUACAUUGAAUGCUUAACAUAUAGUACGUGCAUGACAACUUCGGCCAAUUGCAUCUUUCUUGCUCACUUAAACUUUAGCCAAUGAUUCAUUUCUUUUGGUAUGUGCAGGUGUUGAAGAGCUAUAUAAUUAGUACUGCAGCAAUCCGUACCGGGUAUCAAAAGGAACAAGCACAAAACUUGCUGCUUUACCGAGAAUGACACUGCCGAAUCUUGGGUUAGAAUCUGAAAACGAUUCCAAUGCAAGUAGCCAAGUCGCUUCCAACAUAUCUGCACAAGAGGCAUCCACUGAUCCCUCGAAGGAUACCACAACCACUACUUCAUGCCUCUCGAAUCCUGUAAAGGUUCAACCAGAUCCAGGGUCUGUUUCCCUUGACCUGACUCUGCACUUCAGUGCCAAUGAUGCUGAGAUGAAGGGUGCCACUGGUGAGACUAUGGGGAUCAACACUUUGUCAACACCGAGGGUUUUCUCUUGUAAUUACUGCAGGCGCAAGUUCUAUAGUUCACAAGCACUGGGUGGACACCAGAAUGCUCACAAGAGGGAGAGAACAAUGGCAAAGCGUGCGAUGCGGAUGGGGUUAUUAUCUGAUAGGUAUACAAGCUUAGCAUCUCUGCCUCUCCAUGGUUCGGCAUUUCGGUCCCUUGGGAUCAAAGCUCAUUCCGCUAUGCACCAAGGAAUGUUGCCAUCAUCCCAAAGACCUGUAGAUACAAGAAGUGGAGCACGGUUCGAUCAAGGGUGUUUUGGGAUGCCGAUAUUCAUGGAAGAUGAGGAGGUAGACUUGUAUUGGCCAGGGAGUUUCAGGCAGGUGAAUGAAGAAAGAGUUGGGAGUAACCAAGCUAUGGAAUUGGGUCAAAAUCCAACUCAAAGUUCAAAUAUAGGUUUUAUAGCAAUGGCAACACCACCAAGAGCAGAUGCAUCAUCUCAAUUGGAUCUCACUUUGAAGCUCUAAUAAUUUUUGAAGUUUACUUGUCAAUUUCAUCCGAACCUGAUACUGAUUAUGUUAGCUCACUCUUGUACAGUGAGGUGCAUUAGCAAUAGCUGCUACCUCCUAUCAUUAUUUUUGCUAGAUUCCUUUAAUUUGAUAACUUUUUCUUUUUUAAACCUUUAUCUGUACCCAUGUUCGCUGCCGAUCAGCUACGUUUGGUUAUGAAAUGAAAGCUAUAGCCUUUCCCUGUAGCAUCAUUUUACUAUUCUGACAAGGUGAACUUACUCACCCCAACACUCCAACCCUUGCAUUAGCAAAGUAGAGACUAAAUUAGAUGAAAUGAACUGAUUGACCAAAUCGGAUUUUCAAACAUUGAAUGGUUCAACUUAGAUUGAAUUUCUUGUUUUUCAAAUUAUUGAAAUUCAAUUUGUAUGACUUGAAACGUUGAACAUUGUUUGAAGAACAAGGUUGGAUGAAUGAUGACUCGGUGUUGGAUAUCUAAGAGUGCUUUUGGAUGGACAGUGCUUUUAUUUUCUGUAAGGUUAAAAACAACAAUGGCGAUUGUGAGAAUAUUUUACAGCAUCAUAGCUACUGCCCAUGCAAAGGCACCUACCCUAAAAGUGAAUUAAGUGUAGUUUUAUCGAUAUUAUUAUAAUGUUUUUGACAUAAACUAGAAAAUUAAGUGUUGAAUUUAAGUUAAAAAAUAUGUUUGGUGUAUUAUUUAAAAUUAAAUAUUGAAUAUAUUUAGAUGGUUUGAUAAAAGGAUAAAAUAAUCCAAAAUAAAAUAAAAACAAUUGCACGUACUCUCUAUUAAGUGAUAAGUAGGUCUUUAUUUACUUAUCAUUUUUUCCAUACUUUUUUGUAGAAAAAAAAAUCUAUUUAAUUGUUUUCAUUGUAGGCUAUCAAGGGCGUUUUUAAAUGUAAUUUAGUAAAAAUAUUAAUUUAGGCCGUCAACCUUUAAAAAGUCGAAUUUGACUGUCAACCUUUUUAAAAAAAGUUGAAUUAUUAUUUUUUAAUGGAAAUAUUGACUAAAAAGUUAAAUUUUUAAACAUGUCAGCCCACAUGGAAAUACUCAUGUACUUCAUGCUAAAUUCUUUUUUUUUUUAAUUCUUUUCUUUUUAUUUUUUAUAAUAUUUAUUUAUAUGACAUAUGAGACAUAUAAUGACAUGUCAACAUAAAAUUCACAUGGAUUGUCACACGGAUUCUCAUGCCGACAUUAUAAAAAAAACUAAUAUUUUAGUCAAUAUUUUAUUUUAAAAAAAUAAUUUAAUUCUUUUUAAAACGUUAAUAGUCCAAUCUAACUAAAAAAUAAAGGUUAAAUGACAAAAAAAAUAUAAGAUUUAAAGGAUAAAUUUAUCAUCAUACAAUUAAUUAUAAGAUUAUAAUAAUUUGAUUUAAAAAAAUUAAAAUUAUCAAAAAAUUAAUCUAUUCUUGUCAUCAACUAUUUCAAAAAACUGUAAAUAUUUUAUAGAAAAACAUUUAUAAUUUCAGUCACGGACUGAGCAUGCACAAGAGAACGCAAUUUGAUAUAAAAAAAAUGAAAAAUAAAACUCUUAAAUCACGAGAUAUUGAUUUUAUGGAUUGAGCCAAUAUAUAUCAUUCAAAAUUACACGUUAGAAAUAUAUAUACCUUUAAAUUGCCAACUUGUUGCAUCAAUGUAACAACAAUACCGUGUUGACACUUCACAUUUAUAUCUUCUUGAAUUUAGAUGAGCGAUGUGUUUAUCUGUAAUUGGUGUUAAAAUAGUAGUGAAUGUAAGAUUAGAUACUAUAGUGAUACUAUAACGUGAAUAAAAAAAUAAGCUAGACGCACCACACUACAUCUUACCGCCUAUCCAAACCCACCCUUAAUUCUUAAACAAAACCAGGUUAUUUGUUCAUAUAUAUAUAUAUAUAUGGAGGUACCUCUUAAUAUAUCUAAAUGUAUUUUAGACUUAAUAGGUACUUAAAUUUAGAAAGAAUAAGUUAAUUUGGUAAUUUUUUAAGUACUUAAUUAAUAUCGUUAAAAUACAUUGAUAUAGCACUAACUAUCAAUAGAAUGGUGACUGAUGGGUGUCGAAACCACUAAAUAAAAUAAUUCCUACAAUAAAAUAACUCUAAACACUAGUAAAGAGUAGUAAGGUCGAGUUCACAGGGAUUGAAUAUUAUGAUCAACUUCUGUGUUUUUCUUGUGAACAAAAUUUCGGUCGAGCUGAUAGUCGUGGUAAUAGUCGUGCCCACGACUCUAAAUGGACUUGCUGAAAAAUAAAUAAAAUAAAUUAGGGGAGUUGGAAAUGUCUAGAAAUUAACUUAUUGAGAUAGCAAAACUAAGCAAUUAAAGAAAUCGAAAGUAAAAUUAAAUUAGAAAAUGAAUUUGGGUUUUGCAAACAUAAUUAUAAAGCCUUAGCCUUAGACUCGGUGAAGUCUGGUUUCUGAAUCGAUCUUCGAAAAUUAGUUUUCUUCUUAAACAAUAACUUGGUUAUAGCGGCUAAGAACGUCCUAACCGCCAAUUCUUCCUCUCGUAGUUGAUUCCAGUACGACCUGCAAACCAACCCUUACUGAUUAUCUAACUACAAUAUCGCGUUCACGAUUCAAGACUCCGGUAGCCUUGCGUUCUGAAGAACCCAACUCGGAUUAACAGCCUUAACUGUGCGGGUCGUUUAAAUCAGAUCAUUAUCUCCCUUGACGAAAAUCUCACUAGUAUGACCUCGCUAGGACACGCCAAUUUGUUCGCAAUAAUCCAAACAUAGCACGGCCAACUCGUCUUCCCAACUAUAAGCUAAAACGACUCCAACCCAACACGCACUUUGUGUUAAAAUCGAGUUAACUUUAAGGGAUGAAUUUGUCAAUCCCAAUAUUCCGGAGAGGCAGUGAAUACCAUUAUGAAAGAUUUUUAGUGCGGGUAUAUUUCUCUCGAUUCUUAACCGAAAAGAAUACCAGCCUAAAACUAAGUAAAGAUUUAGUGAAACAUGAAAUUAGUCAUGCUUUUGUUGGUUUAUGGAAAUAAUUUUUAAGGAAAUGGUGAAAGUUGAAAAGAAAAGGGACUCAGAAAGCAAUUAAACAAUUUUGCAAAGAAACAAGGAAAUGGAAAUGGAAUGACAGUAUGCUACUCACGCGUGAAAUUGGAAGGGAAAAUUCAAUUCCAACUGAAUUCAAAUGUGUCUUUUCAAGUGUACCAUACCACUUAAUUUAUACAUAAAUCAUAUACUAAAAUUAGGCUAAUUCCACCUACUAACUAAUUACAUGAAAAAUAUAAUAUUAUGUUUUCUAAAUUUGGCUUUUACAAAGUCAAAAAAAAAUCUGAUCAGCCCUUUAAUAUUUCUAAAUUUCUAAUUUGGCCACUCUUCUAUUGUUCAUGCUCCAAUUGAAUCCUUUUCUACUCGUUUUUUGCAUUAAAGUAUCCGAAUUUCGUUACUGACAAGAUUUAAACAUAAAAUUCACCAAUUAGCAAUAGUUAAUUCAAGAACAAGUUGAUUUGAGCACGUAAAAUAUGCAAAAUAAACAUGCUAUCAGUGACACGUAACAUCCUCUAAUAAAAAUAAAAAUAAUUAAAAUUAAAAAAAAUAUUUUGUUAUACAUGGGGAAUGAACUUAGACAAAUAGUUGUCCAGAUUCAGAUGAACUAGACAACCAUCGGUCCAAGUUCAUUUUAGAUAUAUAUAUAUUUUUAAAUUUUUUAUAACAUAUCAAAAAAAAAUUUAUACUUGAUUGAGUUUUAGCUUAGUUGGUAUUGGUAAAUGUUACAAAUGGAAGAGGACAUGAAUUCGAAUGCAUUGAAAUGCGUUUAUCUUCUUAUUUAUCAAUUUUUAUUACCACAUUAUUAUUUUAAAAUUAAAAAUAUAUAAAAAAAUAGAAAUUUAUAAAAUAUUAGAAAUGUUAUUUCACCCAUUUAUAAUAUAAACACCAAAUUUAAACCAAUUUUUUUUCAACUUAAGGAGAACUUAAUUCUAUAUUAUAGUCUACAAAGAAGUUGUUUUCUUUUAUUCGAAAAUUUAAUUAAUUUGAACCCAAUUUAAAUUUAUUAUAUCAGUGCUAGAUAGUUCAAAUUAGACCUGUCCAUGGGCCGGGCGGCCCGGCCCUACCCGAUGGCCCUCCUGAAAUAUGGGAGGGUUUGGGUAAAAAUAUAGGCCCGAAAUAUGGGCUUGGACAAAAUUUUAGGCCCGUUUAAAAAAUGGGCCAGGCCUCGAGUAAGAUUUUUUUGCCCGAGCCUGGCUCGGCCCGGCCCGAAAAUAUUAAAUAUAUCUUUUUUAUUUUUAAAAUAUAAUAGUUUUUAUUUUAAGUUUAUUUACUUUCAUUUCCUUGACUAGUGUUACAAAAUAAUAAUAAUAAAACAUCAAGUUUAUUUUACUAAUCAAAUGUUAGAUUUUGUUACAACAAUUAAUACAGUUAAUACAAUUAAUAAUUUGAUAAAUUUACUAAUCAAAUUUUAGAUUUUAUUACAACAAUUAAUACAAUUAAUACAAUUAAUAAUUUGAUAAAUUUACUAAUCAAAUGUUAGAUUUUAUUACAACAAUUAAUACAAUUAACAAUUAAUAAUUUGAUAAUUUUACUAACAAUUAAUUUUAAUAACAAUUAGUUUUAAUUUUAUUAAAAAAACUAAUUUUAAUUUUAAUUAAAAACGGGCCGGGCCGAGCUCGGGCCUCGUAUUUUUUCUUCGGGCUGGGCCUGGGCAAAAUCUCAGGCCCAUAUUUUGGGCCGGGCCCGAGCCUAGUAAACGGGCUGAAAAUUUUGUGGGCCCGGCCCGAACCCGGCCUGGCCCGGCCCAUGGACAGGUCUAGUUCAAAUAUAACUCUAGUUACAACUUGGUUUGUAUAUGAUAAAGUAAUGUAAUUUGUUAUAUUAGUUACACUUGGCACUUGGACAAUAGAUAAACAAAUAGGGGACACAAGGUCUGUUUACGCAAUUCAAUUUCCCUAUGUUUACGGAGCCUAACUCAGUGAGACAUAUUCACUAUCUUCCAUGCUUACAACAAGUGAUCCUAAAUCUAUCACACACUCGUGACAAUUUCUUUACUUUUGCACCUUGAAGACUAAUACUGUCAUCGCUAAAUUUACCCAUUUGAAUUCAGCAAGUAAAAUCACAACACAAUAGGUUUUGCUAUCACAAUGCACUCAUAAAAUAAAGUUCCUCACUCGAACAAAUUAAAUGUUAUCUCUCUCUAUACAAUAACUUAUACAAGUCUCUCAAUUAUAUAGAAUAUUUCGAGACUUACUUACAUAAAAAAGAUCUAUCACAAUCCCUAUAAAACAACAAUAAGAUAAGCUGAAUAUAAUAAAAUAAUAAUAAACAUUCAAUCCAUUCCAAUAUCCAUGAUCCAAGCAAUUAGAUAAGGGUGAUCUGAUGCGAUCUACUCUUCCAAAUAUGUUUCCCCAAGUGAUAUGAUCUUUAAUGAUGGGAUAAAUGCAAUCCGCAUAAUCAACAUAACCCAUAAUUUCGAUUCAAUAAAUUGCCAACAACACAAACAUGAAAACUGCACACGGUGUCGCUAUUAUUCAGGGAGUGGGCACUCCCUCAGGCACUCCUUUAUACUUCCCAUAUUUUUCAACAAAAGAUAUUUAAUUUGUCGAGGAUAUUAUAUAGAAAAGAUCUUUGUUGAUUUAACUCUAUGUUGAAGACUUGUAUUGAGUUGAAUUAAAUGAAUUAGAGAUUUACAUUAAUUGUAAUUGAGAGAGCACUUAUUUGUUUUAGUGGGGAGUUUGUUUUUAGUGCAAAAUUAGUAUAAGCAAGUUGCUCGUGUUGUUCAAUUUGUAACUAAACUUUAAAGGAAGAAAGUCUUAGCGGGAGAGUGACUUAGACUUUGUAUAGGAGUGAGGUUGUAACUUGGUGAGUAAUUUAAAUUCAUAUAAUUUUUUUGAAAAAUAUCUUUAUAUAAAAAUUUUAAAUUAUUUUUACUAAUUUAAAUAUAAAAUAUUUAAUUUUACAUUCCGCCCCAAAAAGUACAAUUGAUUGCGCAAAGAAUAUUAAUUAAUUUUUGGUUUUAGGGUUUUUCGAGGUAGUUUACGAAUUUAGAGGAAAAGCAAUGCAAUACUUUACAACGAAGCACACUUUGUCAUGAGAUUCUCGUUUUAAAUGAUGCCUUUCUUCACGAAUAUAUAUAUAUAUAUAUAUAUAUAUACAUAUAUAUCAUAUUAUACCUUCAUUACAAUAAUCAAUAAGUAAUCCUUGUUCAUUGGUGGGAAAAAAAGUAAUCCUUGUUCAUUGAUGAAUUUUUUAAAACUUAAAUUAGAUUAAGUUUAAAUUUAAAAUAAAAAAAUUAAUUAUGUCAAUCAGUUUAAAUUAUGAUCUAAUUACUAAAUAUCUUAUUUAAAUUUAAUAAUAAAAUUUAAAUAAUUUUGAAUUGUAAAAUUAACUUUGGAAAAUAAUUAUUAACUUUAGUAAAUUUUUUAACUGAUUUGGACAUAAAUAGAGGAUUAUGUAGUCAAAUCUUUUAAUUAGAGUGUUUGUCGAACAGAGAUUUGUAAGUGUUUUAUGAGUUAAAACCUCAAACACAAAAAAACGCAAGGAUGAAUAACUUUUUUCAUAGUUAAUUGGGAGUGAGAUAUGUGGAAUGACAUAUCUGAUCAUGCUUACUCAAAAAUUACUCCCUUUGCCACAUGCUCUCAAACCUAAUGUGGGUGUCAAUAUAUGAGUAGCCUCUGUUCUAAAAAAAAUAUUUACUACUUAAUUUAUGUAUUCUUAAUUUAUUUUCAAUUUACUUGUGUAAAAUAAUUUCUUAUGCAACUUAAGAAAUUUGCAAAUAAGAAACUUGAGAAUUUUGUUUUAAUUCCUAUAAUGGACGUGUUUAAUUCCUUGGUAAUAGUAUUUUAUUUCAACAAUUUCUCCCAAUAAAAAUUAAAGUAUUAUAAACAAAUAAAUACAUAUAACUAAAAUAUAUCAUGCCCUUAUUUGUCAUUUUACACAUGUUAACUUUCAGUUACCGAUUAAAUUUUACCGAAUACAUGUAAAUAAAUACUUUAUAAAAUCAGUUAAUCAAACCAACCACUGAACCAGCAAUAAGCAAAUUACCAAAAAAAAUAUUAUAUUUGAGUUGCUUGUUCGUGACCUAACCUAAUCUAAGAUUGUGCUUGUUUUUGGUUGCCCAAUAUUAAAUAAAUAUAGCAUCUUCCUUAAUCCUUAAAGUCAAUCAACAUUAACAGUUAAUUAAAUAAUUAAUAAUAUAAAAUUGUAUCUGACAGAUAGACAGGACAGCUAAGUUAAUUUGAAAUUUUCGAAGCAUAUCUUAUUUGGUAAUAUGGUCCAAACCAAAUAUCUUUUGCGGGCAUUAGCUCUUGGCGAAGCAAAUAAAAUAUCCUUAAUCUUUAUUUUAUUCUAUUUUUUUUAACAUUAAUCUCGUUAUAGGUUUUUGUCAUAUCUGUUCUUUUUUAUACAACGUCUAGAACUACUCAUAACCUUUCUCCAACCCUUAAAUAGGAGGAUAAUGCGCUUCAACGCACUCGAACCCACUUCCUACUGCGCCGACAAUAAUACCGAUGUCAAUCGAGCUAAAACUCAAUCGACAUGUUUAUUUUAUUUAUUUAUUUUAUUUGGUGAAUUAUAUAACGAGUUUUCUCAUUUCAUAAUUCACACUAGUUCUUAAUUACAUAUUAUUUUUUUUAAACUUUACUUUGAAAUGUUAAAUCUUACAAUUAAAUUUUGCGAUUAAAAUUAAUCAUUAUAAAAUACGACCAGAUUGAUAACUGGAAUAAUAUUUAUACAAUACUAGCACAUAAUAAAACUUAAAUUAAAAUAAAAUCUGAAUUAAAAUCCACACGUACAUUAUAUUUAGAAAUGGUGGAUUCAAACUUACGAUUUCAAAAUUAUCAAAAUUUCAAUCUUAUCCUUAAACUAAAGCCCCAUUGACACCACUUCUAAUAAAUAAAAUAUUAAAAUAUGUCUUAGGUCAUUAUACUCUUUAGACAUUUAGAAUUUAGUCUCUUUACUUUUCUCAAAUUUCAAAAUUCUUUUGUUAAACUCACUAAUGUGACACUUUAACAUAAAUAAAUAAAAAUGUUAUAAUGAACUUGCAUUUAAUAAAAGAAUUUUAAUGAUGAUAAUAAUUGAAAUUGCAUUUUAAAAUUCUAAAAAUAGAGGGACUGAAUUUCUUAAAGAAAAAAUAGAUGGAUUAAAUUUCAAAUGUAUAACGACUACAAGGACUUGAAUCAUAGUUUAACCAAAAUAAAACCAAAAGCAUGUAGUAAAAAAAAACAUAGUGAGUGAAGCAGAAAGAAGACAUAAAUAAAGUAUGAUUCAAAUUUGAAUGAUUUUCUAAGAUAAUUAAUUAAAUAAAUGUGUGGACAUCAAUUUUGUUGCACUUUAUUGUGUUGGGUGAAUGUGGGUCAUGCUUUCAUCUUUGCCAAAUUUCAAUGGGAAACAAUAAGAAACAAAACUUUGGGGGAAUGGGGGGAAGUUUAUUGGACCAAUGCAAUUUGUCAAGUAGAGUGCAACUUGACAUGGAAUAGCAUGUCAUAUUAUCCUUUUCAAACACCAUAUUCAAUUUAUUUAUUAAAUCUGUAUUAUUUGAAUCCAUAUAUCAAUUUAAAUAAAGAGAUUAAAUUGAUCCUUAAAUGAAUGGUUCGAAAUUUAUAAGAGGAUAUAUGUGUUUCAACACGUUUGAAUCAACUGAAUUAAAACUCAGUCGACGCUUUUUCAAAAGUAAGCUCUAGCUAGUUAAUUAAUUUGUAAACAAGAUAUUGAUUAAAUUGAUAAAUAUAUGCCAUAAAGGGUAUAAACAUAUUUUUUUAAGAUACGAUUGCAUACGCAAUUAUAAUUAACACAUUCAUAUCAUUAGAAUCAGUAAAUUACUACAGAACUCAUACAUGAUAGACUUAAACCAGAAUAAACUUUAAAUUAAGAACUUACCCAUGAUAUUUAUGUGUAACGAGACCUGAGUCUAAGAUUUCAAAAAUCAUCCGACCUUAACAUUCUAUUAAAUCAAAAGUUCAUUGGCUUAGAGAGCACAAAUAUUUAAUAUCAAAGAGAAAACACUAAGGGUUUAUUUGGACGACACAGAGUAGUUAAAUGAUUGUAAUUACAAAAAAUUAUAAUUCCAUUUACGUGUUUAGCUGAUAGAGUGUAAUUACAUUGUAAUUCUCUAUAAUUACAUAGUUCCAUAAUUCAUAUUUAAAAAAAUAUUAAUUACUAUAAAAAUUAUUAUCACGAUAAAAAAUUUCUAAAUAGGUAACAAAAAUUAAUUUCAAAUCAUUGUAUGUAUUAUGUUAGUCAAAAAAAGUAGUUGAUAAUACGAUUGCUAAUAAAAAUAACAAGAAAAAUAAACAUCAUAUGCAAUUUUAUCUAAUUGUUCUAGUGUUCCAUAUUUAUCGGGUUAUUCUUUUUUUAAUAUCUAAAUCUAUAUUAUUAAAAUUAUCAAGAUCUCUUUCUUCCAUGUACUCUUUGAAGUAUGGUUCAUCACAAACCCACAUUAUGGAUGAAGCUAUGAAGUAUGUAACAUGCUAGUAUGAUCCAACUCUUUUUUUAUGCUAUACUAAGGUGAUAUUAUUAAUAUGAGAAAUAUUUUUUUAAAACAACAAAUGUUCUCUCAAUCACAUUUCGAAACCAAAUGUCUCAAAUUAAAAAGUUUGCAAGCCGUCUUUGGUGCUUGCGUGUUUAGCUCCAUUCUUUCAAAUGGUAUCAUACCCCACGAUAUGGUGUAAGAAAACAUUUUGUAUUUACAUAAUUAACAUCUACCAUAUAAUAUUGAGUUCACCGUGCAAAUGGUCUAUAGCUUUAAUCAUAAAAACUUAUAUAAACUUAAUUUGGAGAAAGAAAAAACUUAUAUAAAUUUAAUUCUUUUGUAUUACACAAUGAUGACCGUGCAAAUAGUCUAUAGCCAUUAUAAUAGAAACUUUUAUGAAUAAUCAUAUUAUUUUUAUAAUAUAUAGUAUGGACACGUAAAUAAAUUAUGUCCAUACUAUUAGCCGUAACUUUUUAUAAAUAAAUAUAUUAUAAUACUUUUAUAACAUAUAUAUUUUUAUAAUAAGCUUUUUUAUCAUAACUUUUAAAAAAUUUAAAUAAUAUAUUUUUUGCUAUAACUUUAUAAAAUAUACAUAAAUCAAUUUUAUAAUAUAAGUUUUUAGAAUUUAUAAUAUAAUAGUUCUUUGGCAAUAACCAUCCCGAAUAUUUAUACAUGUUCAUGUUUAUAAUAUAAAAAUUUAUAACUUAAAUUUGCAUAAAAAAUAAUUUUUUUAAAAUUAAAUUUGGAUGUAAUUACCUACGAAACUACUGUAGUUCUCAUCCCCUAUAAGAAUUGAAAAGUGUAAUUGGGAUGCUCUAAUUGCAUUCAAUUCGGUAGAACCCACAAAUUACAAUGGCUAUCCAAAUAUGUUAUCAUUGUGUAAUUACAAGCAAUUACACCCAAAUCCAAUCAUUAGGUGACUUUCCAAAUGCUACCUAAUAAGGAAGUUAACAUUAUUUUGUAUUAUCUCUAUUAAUAUUAAACGUGUUAUUGAGUUUGGUGUCACAAGUAAAAUAGGCACCAACUUAAUUGGAUGAUAAAAAAAAACUUUUAUUUUACAAAGUAAAUUAUAUUAUUUUAAGGGUAUUUUUGUAAUUUCUUAUAGAUAAAUAUACACAAUAAAGUUUGAAUUAAAGAGAAAAUAUUUGAUACACUGCUAAUGAGAUUUAAAAAUACCACAAGUUAGGUUGUGGUGACGACAAGUGUAUAUACGGUAUAAUAAAAAUUUUAAAAAAUAAAUAUAUUGAAAAGGACAAGUGACAAAUAUAUAACUCAGUUUGUGGAGUUAAAAAAUUGCAUCGUUAGUAUACCAGAUACUCGCAUUUCAAUUCAGACCUUCAUAGUUUUCAACAUUUGUAUUUUACCAUUCAACUAAAAUCUUAUUUGUUUGAGAAUUAUAUAAGUUUUUAUAAAUAUGUUUAUUACAUAAUUUUGUUUUUCACCUAAAUUAUGCGUGUUUCAUAAUCUAGUUUACAUAAAAUAUAGUUAACUUUUUUUACUAUUAAAAUUUAUGGAAAAUAUAUAUUUUUAGUAAAAUAAGUUUUUUUUAAAAAAUAAGAAUAUAAAAUUUGUAAUUGAGUAUUAUUUAUUUUAUAAAUUUUGAAAAACCCUUAUUUUAUUGUUAUUAUGACUAUGGGCUUCACUUGAGUCACAACACCAAAGGCAUAUCUUGUUUUUAUUUUUUAAAAAUAAUUUUAUAUAAAAUCAAUAAAAUUUCAAUCAUGAUUAAAUUGUGGAAACCCAUUCGGAAAAAAAUCAUAUGUAGAGGAGGAAAAAUUCACUAAUGUUGACAAACGAAUGAUACAAGAUGAGUUUCGACUACAUAUAUUUAAGGGUUAAAAAAUUAUAUUCUAAUCAAAGUCAAAUAGAAGAAGUAUAGUUCUAUACGGAUUCAACUCGUGCAGGAUUCAUGUCAUAAAAUCUCUAAUAAUUGUUAUCAACUCAUUAUUAUUAUUAUGAAAAAGGACAUCAUGUUAUUAAAUCAUAGACGUGUACAACAUUAAAUAGGAACUUUCCUUUGUCCCUAUCACAUAUUUUCUUUUGACCAUUUUUAUUGGAAAUUUAUUGUUAUGUACCAUUGACUUAAAUUCAACACUUGAUUAAUUAGGAAAAAAUCAUAUCAAAACAUAUCUUAAAUAAUUUUUUUUAAAUUUUUUUUAUACAAACACUAGAUUCAAAUUCAACACUAUCAGUCGAUUGGGUAUUAGUUCGGUUGAUAUCGGUAUUAUUGUCAGCGUAAGAGGUCGUGGGUUUAAGUGCGUUGAAACGCAUUAUCCUCUUAUUUAAGAGUUGAGAGGAAUUAUGGAUAGUUCUAAACAUUAUAUUAAAAAGAGAAGAUAUGAUAAAAACCUAUAUAUAUAUAUAUAUAUAUUUAUAAUUAUAUCAAUAAUUACCAUUAAAAUUAAUCAUUACGAAGACUUAUUGUGAAGGCUUAAAAUCCUAAAGUUUAAUAAUGCGAUUUCAGCCUGACCCUUUGCUUUAAUUGAAAAAAGAAAAUAAGUUUGAAUGUUUCCAUCUGUGAAAUUAUAUUUUAAACCAGACAUUAAAAUAUACUUACUUUUAAAAUGUAAUUAAUUAUAUGUUACAUAAAAAAUUAAAAAAAAAUUAGCAUACACUAUUAAUUAUGAUUUCACAAUAUGUAAGAUAUUAAAAUGAUAAAAGUUUAGAUUAAAUUGUGAAUAAAACGAAACCUUGAGGUAUUAACAACAUUAUUAAUAUUAGAAAUUCUAUCACACGUGUACGCGUGCGAAAACUAUGUUCUUAGAAUACAUGUGUUAGUUUAACAAUAACAUAUAACAGAUAAUGAAACGUAUGACUUAAAAUUAAUAAGUAAAAACACAUGAAAUAUUUAUGAUAUUAAAAUGGCAUUUAAAUACUCAAAUACAUCAUAUUAAGAAUUCUAAGCGCAUUGCAAUUAUUUUUCAUGGUGUUGUCAUUAAUCUCGAGUUAGUGUCGAGUUGACUUAUGGCACUAACUCAAUCAACAAUAUUAUCAAGAUAGAAAUUUUAUCACAUGCAUAUGCAUGUGAAAACUACGUAUUUGGGAUACGAGAGUGUGUUUAAAAAUAACAUGCAAUAAAUAAUAAAACAUGUGGUUUGAAACUAAUUAAUAAUAAAGACACAUGCAAAAUGUAUGAUGUUAAAAUGGAAAAAAUAGAUUAAAUUGUGCGUAAAACAAAAUUUAAAGACGUAAAUAUUUCAGAUUAAGAGUAUUAAAUGCAUUACAAUUGUUUAUCAUGGUGUCAUCAUCAAUCUUAAGUUGAUGCCGAGUUAACUUGUGACACCAACUCAAUCAAUAAUAUUAUCGAAUAUAUAUAAAAUUGAUGGAGGUAAUAAAAUAUGCAUAAUACAAUUAAAAUGUAAAUAUUAUAUUAAAAAUUAAAAUAAACCUAUGGUUUAGUGAUAAAGCUAAUGUUUUAUUGACGUAAAUAGCACAUGCUCAAAUGUAACCGCAUUGCAAAUUUUUAUUGGUUUUUAAAAAAAUAAAAAGACUAAAAUUUAUUUGAAUAAUAUAACUUAUUUUAAUUAUACAAGGACAUUUUUAUAAUUUUACAAACUAAGUUGGUGCACAGUUGACUCGUAAUAAAAUGCGCAUUAUAAAAUUAACAUGUAAAAAAUAUUUUAAGAUUUCGAAUCUUGGAAGUAACAUUGUUGAAGGGGCAGUCACGAACCUCAAACAUAAACAGUAAAACGGAGAAGUAACAAAAUUAAUUGUAGUUUAAGUAAAAAAAAAAGAAAAAGAAAAUUUAAAUACUUAAGUAAAAAAAGAGUAAAAUUUGAGGGGUACUAAGCGAAAAUUAAAAUCCAAUUAUCUAGUCAAUGGUGUAAACGCUUUGAAGUUUCCAGCCUUAGUUGCAGGGUCUUAUGGCGUGCUAAAUCAGAAGCCAAAAACAAAAAGCAUCCCUCAGAUUCUUUUAAAAAAUUUCCAUUUUGACCCUCCAUCUCUACUUCUCUAAUCGCUAUCCCUCUCUUUCUCUCUGGUAAGUUAAGUUUCUCUUUGUUUUUUGAUCUCUGUUCGUGUGUGUGUUGCUUUUCAUAUAAGGCGAUGUUUGGAGAGAAAGAUCUCUCAAGUAAUCUCCCUUGUGUAGGAGAUGAAAGCUCUCAAAGCAAGCUUUCGCGUUUGUUUCAAAACAAGGAGAGUUCAGUUGAGAAAGUGAGUUUUGUACAGAAGGGUAUUGAUUUUCUUAGAGAAUCUAAGGUGGGUCUUGAUGGAGGUUACCCUUUACCAAGAUCUUCCAAGCCUGGGAUUUCUGGCUCCCAAGAACUCACUCUUAGCUACCUCUGUGAGAACCCUAAACUGGGUUUUUGUUCUGAGAAGACCCAAACCCUGUUGGAAAAAGUUACUACCUACAAAGGGAAAGAAGUUGUUGAUUCUGAGAACACACAUCAAGAUGAGAAAUGGGUUGAAAGAGAUUUCCUGAAUUUGAGUGAAAGUAAAGGGAUUUCUUCCAAAAGAGAUGUAGAGGAUGAUUUUCAAGAAAGAGAGACUAGUCAUAGGGAGAAAAAGCCAAAGCUUGAGACUUUGAAUCUAUCUCUAGCUUUACCCGAUGUCUCUCUCUCUCUAACUGCAUCGAAUGCUUUGCAAAAUGGUGAUCCUUCGCAACAUCGGUCUAGGCCUAGUAGGAGUGUACAGUCCUUGGCACCAUCAACCAAUAACACGCAAACCACUUGCUCUAAUGAUUUCACUGCUGCUUCAUUGUCAUACUCUUAUUCUGUGCCGUAUUCACACAAUCCUAGCUGCUCCUUAACACGGAAUUCUACUGAGAAUUAUGAGUAUUCUGUGGGGAAAGAUGAUCAAAUUUGGUGUGGUGGUGAAGGUACUAAUGGAUCCGUGCAUAGUCGUUUUAGGCCAAUUGGUGAUGGAGUUGCUUUGGCCGGUGCCGGUGCUGGUGCUGGGUUUUCCAUGAUGCAGGUUAACCGUCAUGUGAAUAAAGAUUCAUGCACUAGUCUUCAUAGGACUUCUAGUUCAGAUAAUCAUUCAUUUUUCCCAUCUGAAUUGCUUGCUAAGCCUCGCAUAGAUAAUCAUUCAGGGGAUUCAAGGAGAAAGGAUUCAGAGAAUUGGAGAGUUUUGGAGAGUAUGGAUGGAGGGAGAUCCAGGAAGAUUUCUAGACCGGAAAAAAUUCUUCUUGAGAUUGUGUCUGAGUCGAUUCCUGCCAUGGCUCAAAUAAUGCAGGAGCUGCCUGAAGAAACCCUCGAAUCAACCAAAGAAUACUUGAGGAAUCUUAUUGGAACCCCAGAGAGGAAGGAAGAAUUAGUUGGACUUCAAAGUCGACUUGAGAGGAGAUCUGAUCUUAGCAAGGAGACUCUCUCAAAGUGCCAUAAGGAUCAGCUAGCAAUCUUAGUUGCAGUGAAAAUGGGCCUGAAAAGCUUCUUGUCCGGGAAAGUAGGACUUCCCAUGACCGAGCUGCUGGAGAUUUUCUUGUUUAUGAGAUGUAGGAAUCUGACUUGCAAGAGUGUACUACCUGUUGAUGACUGUGAUUGCAAGAUAUGCUCAGGAAAUAAAGGGUUUUGCAGUUCUUGUAUGUGUCCUAUUUGCUUGAAUUUCGAUUGUGCUAACAAUACUUGCAGUUGGGUUGGUUGCGAUGUUUGUUCCCAUUGGUGCCAUGCUGCCUGUGGCAUUCAGAGGAAUCUUAUAAAACCAGGACCCAGCAUAAAGGGACCAUCUGGGGCUAUGCAAUUCCAUUGUAUUGGCUGUGGCCAUGCUUCAGAAAUGUUUGGGUUUGUUAAGGAUGUAUUUUUAUACUGUGCUAAGAACUGGGUUCUUGAGACAUUGACAAAGGAGCUAGACUGCGUGCGAAAGAUUUUCCGGGGCAGUGAUGAUUCGAAGGACAAGGAACUAUACGUCAAAGCUGAUGAGCUUUGCAACCGGCUGCAAAACAAAAUGAUGUCUGCUUCAGAUGCUUGCAGCAUCAUUAUCCAGUUCUUCAACUGUAUGUAUCUUUUGUUCUGUCUAUAUUUUCUGUGCAAACUAAUUCCACGAAUACGGAUAUAGUUCAUCACAAAUUCAUUAUAACUAGUCAAACCUGAGAGUUCAGUGCUUUUGAUGAUUGAGAAAACUGAUCAGCAAAACAAAGUUCUUAUGCUACAAGAAGGAUGCCUGUCUUUUGUUGUUUAAAUUUUAUCUUUGAUUUGGCUGCCUGCAACUCAGAUUUGCACUUUGCUCUUUGAUUAGGACCAUUCAUGAAUUAGUUGAAUAAGCAUAGUCUUGUUUAUGGUUUACCGGUUCCUUUGAACUUAAUUCUUUUGUUCUAUAAACAUCCAUCUUAGUAGGCAUCCGUGUUGUAGUUUUCCGUCACGGAGUUAGUUAUAUUGCUGACAAGUCCAGUGAUUAAUUUUCAUGCAUCACUCAUUUUAUGAUAUUCAAGUCCCAACUAAUUCUACCUCAUUUUCCUUUUUGGUCCGCACAUAUAGACUCUGAUGGUUUGUCAGACUUUCCUACCUCCGGUGCAUGUUCCAAAGAGUUAACAACAACUCAAGUUGACCUUCGAAAAGAUGAAUCAUCCGUGACACCAGGCGCUUCUCUUCCUCAGAAGCUCGUGUUUUACAGCACAAGCUCAGCAAGUGGGCAUGAUUUACUUCCGAACGAACACCAUCGGAAGGACCUCAAAGCUUCUCUCAUGAAUGACCUAAAGAGUGAAGAUGAAUACCGAUUUGGAAGGUCAUCAAACAAUGAUGGAUUUGACAGCUUAGAAAGCAUGGUAAGAAUUAAGGAAGCAGAAGCAAUAUUGUUCCAAAGCAAGGCCGAUGAAGCACGGAGAGAAGUGGAGAGUUACAUGAGGAUGAUCCGGGCCAAGUCCGAAAAGUUGGAAGAGGAAUAUGCUGAGAAGCUAUCCCGACUUUGCUUACAGGAGACGGAGGAAAGGCGAAGGAAUAAAAUGGAAGAACUUAAGGUUUUGGAACAUUCACAGUGUGAUUACUACAAAAUGAAACUAAGAAUGCAAGCAGAGAUUGCCAGUUUGUUGGAGAGAAUGGAAGCUACAAAGCAGCAAUGGGUUUAACUCUUUUCUUUUUUGUUUGUUUUCUUCUUUUUCUUAAUUUAUUGGUUAACAAUUAAUUAAUGCAAAACGUGUGGUUUGUUCCAAGUUUUUAACCUUCUGGAUUCUACUUGUUCCCCCCCAAUGAGAAAUGAAUGAUUGUACUGAGUUGUGAAAAAUUCUUUUAAUGGUAAACCUUCAUAGCCAUUGAAAAUUGAGAGUUGAAUGGGUAUCAAAAUUGUAAUGCUUGUUGCUAUCGCAAUAUAGAAUAAUCACGUUUGUGCUGUUCAUGCCAAUCUGCUCCCUAUGCAUAUACUAUAUAAUAUUUCCAUGGCACCAAGAAAAAAGAAAGUGAUUGGUUCCCUAGAAAAUGUGUUGUAUGGAUUGGAGAAUAAAGGUGAAAGGCGGCAUCAACAGGUGACGCCCACAAAUUACGAGAAUUUGGGACCAUUGAAAUUUUGAAUUGAAAAUGCGUAAAGAUCAUCACCAUUUUCUUUUCUGGUUUGUAAAACCGGUUUUCCUGUCUGGACUUUCACUUUGAAAUUUGAGCUCAAUGGACCCUACUGCACCCACUUGUGGAGCCACCCAUUAAAAGCCGUGAACCUAGACAUCAUAAUUUACAUAAUAUAUUUUUCCUUUAAUAUAUUUGAUGGGGACUCCUCCCACUGGGUUUUUGCUAACCAGUGUUCGUAUAACUUUAAUGUUCCAAAAUCAUCAAUUAUUGCAUUUAACAUAGAUGAUCAUUUAGAGAGGGAGAAAGUAAAUUCUUGGGGGAAGGAGGGUUUGAUAUUCUUUUUGACAGAGAAGAGAGGGCUGGGAGGGUGGUGUUUGGGUGUAAUCAUUGAGCAGCAACUGGCAAUUUUGCUUUGACUCUUCCACUGUAGGAAAAUUCCAAGCUGUAUGCAAAGCCCAUACUGCUAUACCCUUCAACAACCGUCUAUGCAUUUGAGCGGCAGAGGGUAGUCUUUCCUGCGACGGAACUGGUUGGCAAAUAAAGCAAAGCACAUGCCCUCUAUUGCAAUGUGAAUCAUGGAUGCUCGCCAUUCUUCCCUGGCAUUGCAGUUGGUGCACAAUCCAUUUGAGUACAUGUGAAUAUGGUGGACUAAAUUUAAAAAAGGAAAAAGAAAAGAGAAGAGUGAUGUUUGUAAUGGAAGAAUGGCAAGCUCCAGUCAGAGAAAGAAAUAAGUGAUAACAGCAAUGCUAGAUCAUCAUUCAACGAUGUGCACAAACAAAUGCUGUUUAUCUAUUUUGUAUUUGCAGGGUGAAUUUAACAGAGCAUUUCAAUCAGAUUUCUAUGGGGGAGAAUUGAUGGAAGCAGAAUGGUGCAGUGACAGGAAGCAAGGAGCAAGGAGCAAGGAAAGAAGAAGAAUGGUGGAAACAGGGAGUAGCAUGGAGGGUUAUCAGGGAAACGGGGAGUAGCAUGGAAACAGGGAGUUGAUUUCUUGAUGUGUAAUUUGAUCUUCAUGAUUUUAACUCUUAAAAUGUGCUCGAAUGUUUUACUCGGUGGUUAAAGGUUAUUCAUCUAUAAAAUUAUAUUUUUAUUAUCGUAAAAUAUAUAAUUUAAUUUUAAUCCUAAAAAUUUUUUAAGCUCCGCCACUGAUAACAUACAAAAUCAUUUUUAUAAUUUAAGUCCAAUUUUAUUAAAUUUAAUAUUGCAAAUUUAUUGUUUAAUGUUUUAAUUUAUCAAACAAUAUCGUUUAUAAAUGAUUAAAAAUGUUCAUGAAUCAUGUGAGCUAAGUUUAUAAACGGUAUUAAUAUAUUUUAUACUUACCCAAAUUUAAUUUAACUCGAAAUAUAGAUAUCAAAUUUUAACAAAGUCCGCCUAUAUUUCUAAUAGUUAAUCCGAACUCAUUUUCAAAUCCCUAAUAUUAUUAUUAUUUUUAAAAAUUAUAAAAAAAUAUUAUUAUUUUUAAUUAUAUUAUCAAGAGAGAUGUGAAAGUUUCAUUUGACUAACCGAGUAGAUAGCAAACAGUGAAGAAGUUACAUUAGAAUUUACUUGUUGAGGGGUGAAGGUAGAAAAUUUGUUUAGGGGCUGAAAUUAAAUUUUAUUUUUUAUAAUAGUAAAAAUGUAAUUUUACCAUUUAAAUGGUCUAUAUUUUUGUAAUUUUUAAAGAAUUAAAUCAAAUUUUUAUCAUUUUUAAGAGGGGCUAAAGCACAAUUUUACAUUUAUUACUUUAAAAGACCUAAAUAAAAAAUUCUGAUUUAGGAUUACUGCCCUUGUACCUGUUCCAUUAUUUUCCAUGUCUGAUAUUUCUUGCUGCUAGAAAGCAAUUAAAUUAUUUUUGAAUUAAUUGAAGUUGAAAUUGAAAAUUAAAUUAAGUAGUGGUCGUAAUUUUACGCUACGGGUAAUUAAAUUUAUUUAUUUAUAAACUUUAACAUGGUAAAGUCGUCAUAAUUAAUAUUAUUUUGAAAAUAAAAAACUGGUUAUUAAAUUGAAUAAAUUAUAUGAUCAUUGAUUUAUAGAUUCGAUAACAUACAGAGUUGUACUCAAUACAUAAAUAAGUUUAGUAAACUCAUUUGAAGUGGGAUAUGCGACACACAGUAGGCAACUUAUUGAAUCUGAGAACUUAGUGUGACUUAGUGCGUGCCGCCCACCUUAGAGACUCCGGUGGGAUUUGAUAUUUUCUAUUAAAAUAUUAUUAUUUUGUCUCUUUUUAUUUAAGUAGAACUCUUAUGAAUUUUUCCUCUUAAAAUAUAAUCAUCAUUGAGCAUAGCUAUUCAGUCGGAAAAUAGUGAGAUUUAUUUUUCCCAAAUAAAGUCUAUUUUCGUGAUAGCUCGAAUUAAGCUUCUUGACCAUAGAGAGAAUUAACCUUCCCACCGGAAAGUUAAAAGUCUUUAUUGUGUGAGCAAGUUGUUAAUUAGAGUCCAUUCUCUAAGCAAAUCGAAAGUUCAAGAACAACAGAGAAGGUCGUGUUGGGUGAAAGUCAAAAAUCAAUUAAAAAUUCGUUAAAUUGAAAAUCCAUGUACUAAUUUGAUAAAAUUUAUUGUUAUAAUAAUACAAAAACUUAAAAUUUCAUUGUUUAAACAAACUCGUUUUUUAAACCAAAUUUUCUAAUACUUCUAGCAUAAUUCUAUUGAACACUUGAUGGACUAAAGAUUUUCAACACAAACAAAACCAAAAUCAGUAAAAAAAUCAACCAGAAUCAUUCAUGGAAAGAAAAAAAAAAAAAGGAGCAAAGAGCCUCAUGACAACCUUGCCAUCGGCUGCCACAAGCAUAAACUCAUUUUCAAUCAACCCUUCCUCUCUCCUUCCUUUAAUGAGCACCUUGACAAACACCUCCGCAACCUUCACCUCACUGAAGAAUAAGGGAGUCUAAAAUUGAAGCUAUGCCAGAGAGGAGGAAGGAGAAGGUAAGAAAGAGGGGCUUCAAUCCGUGCUUGGCAUUAUGCAUCAAUUUUAGGUCGAUUUCGGGUUCAGAUUCAUAUUGUUGUGGUGCUUUACUACCACUAAGUUGUUGUUAUAUUAGUUCUGAAUGGAUCUUUGACUUGAAUAUUUUACUAAUUUGAUUUCGAGAAAUACUAAAGAAGCAUGUAACGAUUUAACUUUUUUUAGUUUUGUUUUGUUUUUAAUUUGUUAUUGUACUCUAUUGAAUGAUAAUCUUUUUUAUUUUUCGUACAUAUUAGUUCUUUAACAACGUUUUCGAGAUUUUAUUUUCCUAUAAAUUUUAUAUAAAAUUUCUAAAUAACUUUGAGGGUUUUUUUUAUACUUUUUAUGUAGAAUCAUAGUCAAAAAAGUUGAGGAAUAAAAUUGUUAUUAUAACAACUAAAAAAUGUCGGGUGAUCAAAAAAAUUAUUUUCGUACUUUAAUGAUCAAAUUGUAACUUUUUUAAUUAAAUGACUAAAAUGAAAACUUUUUCUAUUCUAAUGAAUUGUGAUGUAGUGAAUACUUUCUUGCUUGCUUUCUUUUCCUAAAAAUUCUUUAUUCAAAUUGCUUUACUCUUUUUUUUCAAAAGAAAAAAAAGAUAGAUUCCUUGUUCUUUCUUUUGAAUUUGAACUGGAUCGGUGGUAAAAUUACUCAUGUUACUGGUUUACCGUUUAAAUUAAUAAAUUAUUAAAAAUUUUAAAAGGAAUAAAUAAUAAAUUAAAAGAUUCAGUUCGUACCAGUUCUCGAGUUAAUCAGUUCAAAGUCCCUUUUUGAACUAAUACCUCGGUCAAUUCUUCAUCCGAUCGGUCGAUCUAUUCAGUUCGAACAACAUUGAUGACAUAGAGUAAAUUAUUGACAUUGAAUCCAAGUAAAUCAAAACAUUACCUGUAAAAAUAUCAUAGAAGCUCCUGGAUUAAGAGUUAGAUUGCAUUUGGUCCUCUUUAUUUAAAAAAUUGGCAAAUUAGUCAUUGUACGUUAUAUCAAAGAGCAUACUAGUCUUUUCAUUUAAAACUCCAUUCAUUUUUACCUUUAACUGACUACGUGAUUGAAAUAGCGAGUAGGUUGUUCUUUAAGUGGUUUUCAAAUAAUUAUUAAAAAAUUUAUUUAUUUUUAAGAUUUGCAUUGAACUAAUGAUCAGUUUGCUCUUUUUUUUUGUGAAUUACAACAAGACAAAGUCCGAACAACAAAUGCGACUAGUGCAACUCGAAUCUAAGCCACACAUGGGGCCAUGAAUACCCUGAUCAUCAAGCCAUUAAUACAUGGGGUUCAAUCAGUUUGCUCUUUAAUGUAACAUAUAAUGGUUAAUUUAUUCUAUUUUUUUAAUAGAGAAAGUAAAAUACAAUUUAACAUUUAACGCAUACGCCUCAACGAUACUAUUACCAAAUACUAGCAUUUUAAAAAAUAAACUUUUAAAUUAAGAUACCUAACAACCAUUUUGGGUUGAUAAAAUUAUAAACAUGAAUUAUAACAUCAAUCCAAUGUAAAAUUCACCCAAAAAAAAUAAAAAUAAAAAUCACACACACGAUUGAAAAGAAGGAAAGAAAAAAGGGGGUUGAUUAAUUAAAACAGUAAUUGAUCAAACAUAACGGGCAAGAGCAACACUGAGAUCAACAAAUAUGCCGAACAAGAGGAUAGACAGUCCCAAGAAAUUGACCAAACGAGCUUCACGGUUACUGCGCAGUCCAAUGAAGGUAGCUUUCUCCAACAAUCCAGUGAGAGCCGCCGCUAUCGACAUGUAUAGCAAUGUCCGGCCACCGCAUAUGUGCCAUGGAAGCAGGCUUUGUCUUGUUACGUCUGGUUGAGUGAACAUAAAUGUAAUCAACCCUGCUAACCACUGCACCAGCCCCCACAAUAAUCAAAUUUAUGUAACAAUAAUUUAUAUAACUCCCAAAAAGUUUAGGAUAAUAUUAAAGUCUGAAAUUUACCUGCAACACAAACAAAGAAAUGGCGGCGAUACCGAUCCAUGAAUGCAAACUGUAAACGUCUUCAAUGUUGGUCAUAUCGUGGUACUUGAAAACAGCACAAAGUCCCACCACUGCAAGCACAAAUGCCAGAAGCUGAAGUAUCAUAUGGACUACCUUCUGCACCAUGUGUGUCGCUUGUACUGUCUUGUACACCAUCAUUGCUACAUUUUUUUUUUAACAUGAUCAGAAAAAAAAAAAGAUUCAAAAGUUGAUUUUUUUUUCCAUGAUCAGUUUUCCAAUUACCUUCACCAGACAGAAAUAUGAAUCCGCAAAACAUAAGAAACGGGUGAACCUGCAUGCAUGAGAAACAAUGAAAUCAUCUUUUUCAUAAUUACAACAUGUAAAUAUUUGGGUUGGUUUUACUUACAUUGAAAACACGAACAGCAUUGUAAGAAUCAUAUUCGAUACCUCCACGAUAAUGCAGCAACCAAACGAGCAUGAGGGCGAAAGCCAAAAUCCCAAAGACGUGAGCAAAUAUUGUUAGACGAGAAGCUGAACGUUUAUAUGGGGAGACAACUACGUGGUGGUGGGUGGAAUGCAUGGUGAUUAAAACUCAGGGAGUGGGAUUGUUGACAUGAAAGAACAAAGGAUGAAGGCUUAAAUAUAUAAUUAUGUAAUUGAUUCUGCUAAACUGGCAGGGUUUCUUAGAGGAAAACUUUUUCAAAAAUCUACACCUUUGGGAUUGCUUAUUUCAGGGUUUUGGCACUUUGGAUGUAGGAAAACUUUGAGCUUGGGCAAAGCAUCAUCCGUAUUAGUGAAUUAGUUGCAAAAAUUACUAAUUUUAUUACAGCAAAAAGAAUAAAAGGAAAGGGAGUUGUGUAAACUUUCUCGUCCAAGCAAAGGCUAUAGAAGUAGUAACUAAUUAGAGGUUGAACAUGAAAGUUGUGGAUUUAAUCCUAUACUUUAAUUUUAUCAAUUUUAGUUUAUGUACUUUUCGAAUUGAUCAAGUUUAAUUUAUAUAUUCGAAUUUUGAAAUUUUAAUCCCGACUCAAAUAGUAGCAGUUAGAUAUCUAAUCAUGUACUAUAUAUACAAUUAUAGAUUUAGUUCAUAGUCUCCAAUUGAAUCAUUCUAAGUAAUGGUGGAGCCUGUAUUUUUUUGUAGGGGGCUGAAAUUAAAUUAUAUAUUUACGAUAGUAAAAAUAUAAUUUCAUCAUUUUAAUAGCCUAUAUCUUUAUAAUUUUUAAAGGGUUAAAUCAAAUUUUUAUCAUUUUGGGGGGUCAAAGUAUAAUUUUACCAUUACUAAUUUAAAAUUUUAUAAAUUAUAAAGGGUCUAAAUUAAAAUUUUACCAUUUUAAGAGGGACCAUGGCCCCUCUAGGUCUCCACUGCGCUUCGCCACUGAUUCUAAGUCACUAUACCUUUCAAAUUUUGAAAUUUCAAUUUUAAUAUAAAUAACAAUCGUUAAUUCAAUUUUUAAUGAAUAAUAUGUAAAAAUAAUAUUUUUUUGUGAGAACUAACAUUUAAAUUUAAAAAAUAAAAAUUCUAAAAAUAACUAAAUUAAAAUAUAAAUAUUAAGUCCACAAUUUUUAUAAAUUAUAUAAAUUAAUAGUAAAAUUUAAUCUAACUCAAAUUCAUACAAGUGUUUGCAGCUUCACCCUCACUUUAGACGUGCCCCACAAAUCUAAUAGAACACAUGGAAACUUAAUAAAAAAGAGAAAACUCUAUGUGUUUAAGAUAAAAAAUGGUCUUAGUUUAAUAGGUAUGAGUAUUGUUUUCAAUGCAAGAGAAUGUGGGUUUGAGUGCGCUAAAACGCAUUAUUCUCCUAUCUAUGGAUUAGGGUGGAACUAUGGAUAAUUCCAAACAUUUUCUUAAAAAAAACAGAUAUAAUUAAGAACCUGUAAUAAAAUUGUUAAAAUGAAUUACAAAAAAAUCAUUUUAAUGAUAAAUAUUUUUUUGCAAAUCUACUAUAAAAAAUGAAUGAAAGCCAUAAAUGCUAAGAUUAGUCAAAGAUAAAAUUUCUCUUUUUCUAAUUUUAAAUAUUUAAUUUUCAGAAAUAUUGGUGCAAUUAUGCAAAUGCUUAAUGGUUAUUUAACCAUUACCAAUUGAUGUGUUAGUGGAGCAUGAUGAUUAAACCACUUAGCCUUUAAUUUAUAAUUUUAACAUAUAAUAACCUUAAAUAAGUCAACUAAGCAUGAUUAAUUAACUUAAUUAAAAAGGCUAAUUAUAGUAUAAAUAUUAAGAAGUGGAGGAGAGAGAGAGAAAAAGUCUUCCUCUCCCCUUUGUGCCGUCCAAAGAUUGAAGGGAAAGGAGGAAAAGCUUAUUUGUUUUUCCAUGGUUUUUACCAUCCCAAAUUGAUAAGGUAAGAAUCUUUUUUCUUCAUUGAUUUUUAUGAAUUUAUAAACAUCUCAACUUAACGUUUAUUACCCAUUAAUUAGAUUUUCAAAUUGUUAAGUUGAAUACAAGUUGUCAAUAAUGGAUAGUUGAUGAAAUUGAGCUUAAUUUUGACGAGAAAUUGAAGUAUGAGUUUUGAGCAUGUUAGGACUAAGUUGAAAAGUAGAGAAAAGUGUUGGAUUUGUUAGAAAUUUAACUAGGCUUUACAGAUAAUUUUAUGAUAUUAGAGACUAAAGUACCUAAUUGAAUAAAGUAAAAACUUUUAGGGAAUUAUGCUAUAGAUUAAAAGUACAAAGUCCCUAAUGAAAAUAUAUGAAAUCGGAUUUUGAUCCGAUGUUAAAUAUCGAAAGAUAUGAGUUUUUCAGAUAUAGGAACUAAAAUGAAUAAAAUGAAAACUAUGUUUGAUUAUAUGUUUUCAUGUGAUUGGGUGAAAACUAAAAUCGUUUCUAUACUUGAAUUAUCAUACGUAGCUAAAGAUGACAUCAGGCCGUCUCGAGAGAAAGGGAAAGCGAGACCAAUAGACGAGUAGCUAACACAGUUUGUGCUUCCAUGAUUUGAAUUCAAUACAUAUACAUAUAUUUAUAUGACUUGUAUCAAACUAUCUUGAUUGAGGUGAUGUCCUUACUUAUCUUAUGAAUUUGGUAAGUAUUUCAUGGUUGGUAACUUGUGAAAGAUAUGGUGAUAUGUAUGUGAUGAUAUGAAAUGAUAUGAAUUGGAUUGGAUUGGAUUGGAUUGAGCAUGAUAUAAAUUGGUAUUAUAUGAAACUACGAUAUGUGAUCAUGAAUACGUGUUUGGAACAUUUGUUACCCUAUUAACUGUCUCAGGUGGAGUUGGGUAUAAUUGGCAUGUCAUAGUAUUAGUGUACAAGAUUAUACUUUGGUUUAUACCAAUGAGGCACAAAGCACAAAUUAUACUUCAGAUUUUUUGAUGAGGAGCGAAGAGCAAAUUAUCUUCGGACGUACUGAUGCAUUGGUUGCCAGAUAUAUAGGUGUGAUGGUUGGAUGAUCUGUGUGUCCGUCUUGCCAUAUGACAUAUGAUAUGAAAAUUUAAUAGAAAAUAGUGUAUAUUGUAUAUAAAUAUCUAAGUGACAAAACAUGACAUGUGAAAGAUCAUGCGAACCGGUUAAAACGAGCACUGAAGGUCGAUAUGGAUAUAAAGUGAAUCAAUGGAUUCAAGAUGGAAAUGAGAAAAUGAAAUGAACUUUGUGACAUGUUAUGAUACAUAUGAAAUGUGACAUGAUGAUAAAUGAGAUUUUAUGUUCAUAUAUUACAUGCCUAAUGAAAUGUGGAAUGAGAUUUAUGCACAUGAGACAUGAAAUGCAAACUUCAUACUGGUUGAUAAUUAGAUAUAAACUGAUUGUCUCUAUUAUCUUGUUUCUAUUUGGAUUAUUAAUUCAAAUCAUGUUAGCACCAUUAAACCGUAUUGCUCAACGUACGAUUUUUUAUUUCGGUACGCAAGUAUCGUGAUUCUGAAGUUUCAAAGUGAUUGGCAACAUCUAGAUUCAACCCUCUCGACUCAGCAAGUUGUGUUGUUUUAUUAUUUUAAUGGUAUGUGGCAUGCACCUAAGGUUUUGAGUUAGAUUUUAGGUUGAAUUUGUCAUUUGGUACAUAUGAUGGAAAAGGUUUACAUUUUGAGCAUAACCUUAUGUGUUUGAUGACAAAUAUGUAUGAACAUGUAGUAAAUUAAUGUUUAUUUGCCCAAUAGGCCAUGUUAUACUUAUGAUUGAAUUGUUUCUUGCUUGCCAAGUAAAUGAAUGCAUUACAUUCCUGAUAUCAUAUAUUGAUAGGUGUUUGAUAUGUAAAAGGAUUGUAGUUUGGUAUUUAAACUAAUGUCUAAAUUGCAUUAAUGUUGAGUUUUUGGGUCACAUAGACCAUUCGGUAUUUGUACCUGGUAGAUUGGUGAAGAAUGAUACAAAAUUUAGGGGAAUCUACCCUCAAGGUUGCAACACUCCCCUAUUGGUGUCAUGACAUCAAGCUUUAUUUCCAUAGUCACAAUGUCGAAUUCCCUUGUCCUCAAUGUUGCAACAUUCCCUUGCUGAAGUCACGACGUCAACUUCCUAUCUUCAAGGUCGCGACUCACCUCGAUUGAAGUUGUGACGUCAUGCUCCUACUCUCAGUGGUCGCGACAUGCCUCCUUAUAAUUGUGGCAUUACCUUUGUAUUUUAAAAAUUUUACGUUUUAGUCCCUUGUUUAUCAUCGGUGUUUAAAAAGAGUUUUUAAAAGCUCAUUUAUAACUCGAAAUUGAUUAAAUAAUGUAUUUAAUUAAGUUUUGGAACCAAAUGACUUGUAUAACUUGUUUAUUAGAUAUAUAAAUGAAAUCGUAGUUGCUUCGACAAUUAAUGUAGCAUCUCACAUUCGAAUUCGGCAAUCGGAUUGAGUGUGGGGUAUUAUAUUUUACCUUUCUUUAGAAAACAAUAAUGCAAUUUUCCCGUCACAUCUUUAAUAUUUUAAUAUCACAUCUUUAUUAAAAUGUUUGAACUUUAACUAAAAUGACAAAUUUUGUAAAUAUUGAGGAUUAAAUUUGUUGAUUUUUUAUAUUUGUUAAGUAUGACUCCUAUUUUCAGUCAAAUUUGAGAAAUAAUCUUUUAGUUAAACUCUGUUUAUUUGUUUCAGUCAAACACUGAUUAGUUUAGACUAUUUUAUUAUUAUUUGACAUAUGAAUUUAGCCUAUAAAUAGGCUCUUUUACAACCUUAGUAAAGACACCCAUUAGAGAUUAGAACUCAUAACACAUUUAGAGAAUUUUGUGUUUACGUUUUGAGGGUUCUUUGUUUUCGGGUUUUUGGGGUUUAGUUUUAUCUCCAUUUUUGUAUUCUUCGUUCUUUUGCCAUUAUAGUAAAAUUAUCUUUGCCCGUGAUUUUUAUCCUCUUUGGAGGGGUUUUUCCACGUUAAAUUUGUGUGUUCAUCUUCUCAAUUUAUUUCGCUAUUUUUUGUUUUUAGUUGCUUAAUCGGGUCGAUCCCUAACAAGUGGUAUCAGAGCUAGUUCAAUUUUCAUAGAUCAGCCCAUUCAGAUAUGGCAACAACAAGGUUUGAAAUUGAGAAGUUCGAUGGUGAGACAAAUUUCAAUCUGUGGCAAGUUCGGAUGAUGGCAAUUCUAGUUCAAUCCGGUUUGAAAAAGGUUGCUACCGGGAAAAAGCCUGAGAAUCUAAAUAAAAUAGAAUGGGAAGAGCUUGAUGAAAAGGCCUUGUCUGCAAUCCAGUUGUGCCUCGCGAAUACGGUAUUGCAGGAGGUAUUGAUGGAGAAGACCUCAUCCGCCUUGUGGAAAAAGUUAGAAACUCUUUAUGCGACUAAGUCUUUGGCUAACCGUUUAGUGUUGAAACAACGUCUAUUUACAUUUCGCAUGAAUGAAUGUGAGCUUCUUAUAGAUCACAUCAGUCAAUUCAUUACUCUUUUAAAUGAUUUAAAGAACGUUGAGGUUCAUAUUGAUGAUGAAGAUCAAGCUAUGUUAUUAUUGUGCUCUUUACCCACUUCAUACAAGUCUUUCAGGGAGACCCUGAUUUUUGGCAGAGACAAAAUCUCGUUCGAAGAUGUGAAGGGUCAUUUGUUGAGUAGAGACAAACUCGACAAUGAGCUUCAUUUGGAUAGAAAGGCAGAUAGGCAAGCUUCCAUUUUAGUAGCAUCAAAGAAACGAGACAAAAGGUGUCGCUAUUGUAAAAAGUUAGGUCACGUCAAAGCAGAUUGUUAUAAACUACGAAAUAAAGGAGCUGCUAAGAGAACGAGGAAGAUGUAGCUAGUGCUAAUUUGGCCGAUGAAAGCGGUGAUGAUUUCUUGUUAGUGUCAAUGAGUGAUAAUUCCAAGCUCAUGUCCAAGUGGAUCCUAGAUUCGGGAUGUUCUUUCCACAUGUGUCCCAAUAGAAAAUGUUUCUCUACAUACAGUUCGGUUGAAGGUGGAGUUGUGCGCAUGGGAAAUGAUUCAUCUAGUAAGGUAGUUGGUAUUGGAACUAUUAAAAUCAGGACACACGAUGAGACAAUUAAGACACUCUCAAAUGUUAGGUAUGUACCUGAUUUACGAAAGAAUCUCAUCUCCUUAAGUAUUUUAGACUUGAAAGGAUGCAGAAUCAACAUCGAGUCAAGUGGCAUUAAAGUAUCUCGUGGAGCUCUCGUUUUGUUAAAAGGUAAAAGAACUGGCAGUCUUUAUGUUCUGGAAGGUUCUACAGUGACCGGUGAAAUCAGAUGUCCCUCGUUCGUUACAGAGUCGAAGUCAACUCAUUUGGAGCGGAGGCAACUUGGUCAUAGGAGGGAAAAAUGUAUAACCGUUUCGUUGAAGAGAGGUUCUCUUUUGGAUGCAGGUUUUGAAAAGUUAGGGCACUGUGUUCGUGAAAAUCAGACCCGGGUUAGUUUUGAUUUGGCAGUGUACAAGUCGAAGGCUAGAAGUCUUCCAGUUUCUAAGCACAGAUUAGACUCAGUUAAUUCCCUGCAUAGUUCAAGAUAGGCUCGUGGCGGGCUUUGGCAAAGAUGGCGUUGUGGAAAUAUGAGUCAAGGUGGAGAUUUAUUAAGUAUGACUCCUAUUUUCAGUCAAAUUUGAGAAAUAAUCUUUUAGUUAAACUCUGUUUAGUUGUUUCAGUCAAACACUGAUUAGUUUAGACUAUUUUAUUAUUAUUUGACAUAUGAAUUUAGCCUAUAAAUAGGCUCUUUUACAACCUUAGUAAAGACACCCAUUAGAGAUUAGAACUCAUAAUACAUUUAGAGAAUUUUGUGUUUACAUUUUGAGGGUUCUUUGUUUUCGGGUUUUUAAGGUUUAGUUUUAUCUCCAUUUUUGUAUUCUUCGUUCUUUUGCCAUUAUAGUAAAAUUAUCUUUGCCCGUGGUUUUUUAUCCUCUUUGGAGGGGUUUUUCCACGUUAAAUUUGUGUGUUCAUCUUCUCAAUUUAUUCCGCUAUUUUUUGUUAUUUGUUGCUUAAUCGGGUCGAUCCCUAACAAUAUUUAGCAUCAAAUUAAUAGAAUGUGUAAACAUUAGAGAGCUGAAUUUGUUAUUAGACCAAUAAAAACACCUACGUCAGCUUUCCGUCACUCAUCUAAAGGCUACUAAAGGGAAUUUGACUAAAAUAUUUAAUUUCAAAAAGUUUAGUGAUUAAAUCAGAAAAACUAAUAGUUGAGUGACCAAAAUAGAACGAAGUCAAUAGUUCAGUGACAUUUUUUGUACUUUACCCUACAUUUAAUUUCUUUCAUCUAUAAUUUUCCUAUAGGCUCAAAAUUCUUUAAAUAUUGUACAAUUCUAAAGUAUUUUUAUUUAUUUAAAAAAAAACUAUAUGCAUUUAAAAAAAAUUUACAGUCACUAAUGUAUAGCUUAUAACCAAACAAACUAAAAUGCUUCUAUAUUUAUAAAAUACUUUUAGUAUAACUAGGCUUAAUAUUUUUAAAUAAAUCAAAUUUUAAUAUAUACUAUUUUUUGUUUAUUUUAAAUUAUGAUUAAACUAAUAUAUUUUGUAUUUGUGUUAUACUGUAAAUAAUAUUAUUAAAUUAUACUAUAAAUAUGAUUUUAUUUACUCUAUUUAAAUUAUUUGCAUAUAUUUUAAUAUUUUUAUUACAAUUGUAUAUUACUUUAAAUUAAACUUUAUUUUUAAUUAUUAAAUCUUUUAUAUAUUGCUUCUUAGAAAAAUUAAUUAAUAGACUGUAAAUGUUGGUAAAAUAUUAAAAUUUGAAACUAUUUUUUUAAUAAUAAAAUAUGAUCACAAGUUUUAUCAUUUUAUAUUUUGGUGCCUACAAUAUAGACGACAGUUUUUAAUUCAUUUAUAUUUUGUUUAAUAACAAUUUAAGAAUAUAUAUAUUCAACUCAUGUAUCGCGUGGAUAAGAAAAUUAGUACAAAUCUAAGAUAAUUUUAAAUUUUUUAUUUUUAUUUUUUCUGCGUGUCUUUGAUAAUGUCGUACGGUUUUUCAACUAAAAAUUAUUGAUAUAUUGAGAGAGAAACUUCACGAAUUUGGGUCAUAAAAUUUCUUUGGUGUUAGUGAAAUAGACUCUUUGAAAUCUAAGGUCCUUAAUAGAUUUUAGAUGCUCGAAAUCUAUUAGGUUGAAUGGUAAGAAAUUUAAUAUAUUUAAAUUCGUGAAUGGAGAAAAACUUGUCGUUCAAGCAUUUGAUGUGACUUGACUUUAAAUUUUAUCGAUAUUCAAUUUGAUUCAAAUUUUAGUUAACCUUAAAUAGAAUGCUGAGACAAAAUAUGUCAAGGUUGGAUAAUAUAUGAAUCUGAUUUUUAGGUAUUUAGAGUCACCUUCAAAUAUAGUUGUAAUAGAAAAAGACUUAUGAUGGGAUAAAUCAUCUGGGUCUAAAUUUGGCAAUAACUUUCCUAUUAGGAUUUUUUUUUUGUCCAAGUUAAUUCCUGAGCUUAGUAAUUGUUCUCGGACUUGAACUUGGCAAUUGUUUCUAUAUUGGGGUUUGAACUUUAGGGUUUUCAAAGAAAUAUCAGAAAUUAACUUCGACAAAAAAAAAUUAGGCUCCAAUGUGGGAACAACUGUAAAGUUCAAAGACUAACUUGUACAAAAUAAUUCCAGACCUCAAUGUAGGAUCAACAAUACUAACUUGAAAAACAAUACAAGCUCCAAAAGUUAUUUAACCUUUAUAAAUUUGUCAAGUUUGGUGUCAUGAAAGAUUGAUCUUCAAAAGAGAAAACAACCAAAAAAAAUUGUAUUUGGAAUGUUUAGUGAAUCAAGUCAAUAAAAUGUUUGAAACAUAUGAAGUGAAAACAAAGGAAGAAAUUGCCUGGAAAAUUCACAAGCUCUAUAGUUUUAGAAGAAAGAUAUAUUUAAGUGACAAAAUUAUCAUAACACAGUCUAAUAAUUAUUUUUGAGUUAAUUUGAACAAACAUUUUUAAGCUAUAACCCUCAACUCUAAACUUCAAAUCAUUUUAAUUACAUUAUUAAACUGUCGAAGUUAUAUCAAUUAGAUCUUUACGUUACCAAAAUCCUUAAUUUAAUUGUUAAAUGACACUUUAAUUCUAUGUGACGAAAUUGUAAUUGAAAAUUUUAAGAAAAUGAAUAUUGUAAAAGUAUAUGUUUUGAAAAUAUUAGUUUCUGAAACUUUUACAAAACCUUUAUCGUUCACUUUUUUUGCAUUUUUCAUUUUAAACUUAAUUACAUCAGAUUUGAUACGUUAUUUAAUGGUUAAAUUAAUAGUUUUAGUAACAAGAGGACCUUAUUAAUAUAACAUUGAUAGUUUGGGAGUAUAAUUAGGAUGUUUUGAAGUUUGGGGAUCAAUUUAGAAUGAAGGUCAUAGCUUGGGGAUGUAGGGUAGAAUAACUCAUUUUUCAUACAAUGCCUACCCUACUCAUAAAUCCCCCAAAUCCUUAAAUCGGAGAAAAAUACGCUCUUAAGAGCGCUUAGACCCACGUCUUCCUAGUUGAAAUUAGACUUUAAUAAUUAUUAGACAUAACAGUAAAUCUAGACCUCAACGCUUACAUUCUUUUGUUAAUUUGACACUUAUUAUUUUUUAGCUAAAUUUGGUCAUUAACAUUUCAAAAUGACUCAAAUCGUUUUUCUUUAACGAAAAUAUUGACUAAAACAUUAUUUUUAACGAUGUUAGUGUGACAAUUCGUGUGGCAUCCACGUGUACUUCAAUCCAACAUCACAUUAUUUGUCUUAUAUGCCACAUUAACAAAUAAUUUAAAAUUUAUAAAAAUAUCCAAAAAUUAUAAAAUUAUAAAAAAAAUUAUAAACAUCCGCAUGAAAUACACGUGGAUUGUCAUGUUUUUGAAAAUUUAACAUUUUAGUUGGUAUUUUCAUUAAAAAAAUAAUAAUUUGACUCUUUUUUAAACGUUGAUGGAAAUGUUCGACUUUUUUUUAAAAUGUUGAGGGUCAAAUUUAACUAAAAAAAUAAGAAUCAAAUUGACAAAAAAUGUAAACAUUAAUUGCUAAAUUUAUCAUUAUGUCUUAUUAUACUUAAGAAUUAUAUACUCAAAUUUUGUAAUUGGUGGAGUUCAUGACUUUACAAUGUAUAAACAAAAACUAUUUACUUCAUUUCCUAAGUCAAAUUUUUUCUUUAAAUCGGAAUAUUUCAAAUUUUACUUUUAAUUUUCUAAGAGAAGAUAAGUAUAGAAAGAAUAAGCAAAAGAUGAGGAAGUUUUUGAGUGGUGGCAAAGUGACAAAUGGAGAGGUAUUGAGCUGUGCAACCAUGGGAUGAGACCAAACACCCAACACUCCCCAUCACAUUUUGUCAAACUCAAAGGCCAAGUUGCCAACCCCUUGGCCAUUGGCUCCAUCCUAUUUCCCACCACUAUUUGAUGUAUAUUUGGCCCUUUUCUAAGCCCUCCAACUCUCCAUUUUCUAUGUUCUCUCUAUAUCUCAAAUUCUCAAAAAAAAAAAAAAAAAAAAAACCUCUUCUUAUCCCAAGUUUUGAAGUACCCAAUUCUCCGAAAUCGACUGAUUGGCACUUUGCUAAAAUUUACUCAACUAUAAUAAAUGAGUCCCCACAUUCCUUUUAGGGUUGCAAUAUGCUUGGGAAAACAAUAGCUAUUAUUCACUCCACUAUAAUGUGGUUUGACAUGUCGAGAAUGUACAUAAAUGGACCUACUAAAACUAAUAAGAAAAAGGAGUGGCUAUAUCCACAAUUUAUGUUUUUUUAACAAUCUCAUUAUAAGUUCUGGUCAUAUCUAUUCUUUUUGACACAAUUCUUAGAACUACCCAUAGCCCUCUCCAAUCUAUAAAUAAGAGGAUAAUGUGCUUCAGCGUACUCAAACUUACGUCCUCCUGCAUUAACAACAAUACCCAUACCAAUCAAGUUAAGAUCCACUGAUCAACCACAACAAUGAUAUAAUUAUAUUCUGUCUUUAUUGCUAAAAUUUGUGAAUUUUCCUUAUAUAAUGUCAACAUACUUUUCAUAAUAUAAUUAAUAUAAAUAUGCUUUUUUAAAUAAUUAAUAUAAAUAUGCUUUCCAAUAAAAUUGCAAUUGAUUACAUUUCAUAUUUUAUUGACAUUAAUAGUUUUAAUUUAUGAUCACAUCAUAUAUUAUAAAAAAAAUUGAUGUAAAAAUAUAAUUAUAAGAGAGAGAAAAAUGAAAAGAUUGGUGAUGGAUUUAAAAUUAAGUUAGUUCAUAUUAAUGUAUAUGAUCACUAUUUCAUAUACAUAUUAUCACAAGAUAAUAACAUGUGCUAUAAUAAAAUAUCUUACUAAGUUAGGUGUUACAAGUCAAGUGACAUCAAUUCAAUUGAUAAAAAUACGAAAAAGUUAAAGUUGUCGUUUUAAAAAAUAUAGAGAUAAUUAGGCGAAUACACAGUUCAAAGUGGCUUUAAAUGGCUAAUGACUAAGACUCUACACCUGCAGGAUUAUAUUACAGACCAAAUUACCAAAAAAUAAUAUUUUACAAAGAUUUGAAAUCUCCUGAUCCUAAGUAAAAUAAAAAUACAUCUGUGGCGAGUUGCCAAUAAUUUUCUUCUGACACUCAGUACUCUUAGACUUCGAAGAAUCAGGAGCGAUGCUGCAUGUUCAGUCUGCUCAGUUGAAGAAGAAACCGUGGAACACCUCUUUCGAGAUUGCGAAUUCACAAAACAGGUCCUACAGGAAGUUGGGUUGGACACCUCGCACAUAAACGCAAGUCAUACAUGGAAACAAUGGUCAGCCUCUUUCUUCCAAAUGAAUAAUAUUAAAAUAUGUACUACCAUGGCAAUUACUAUUUGGGCAAUAUGGUACCACAGAAAUAGAAUUUACUACGAAGGAAAAAAGGAAAGGGUACAAGAGGUUGUCGAUUUUAUUAGAGCUAUUUACGAGAGUUAGGGCAAGUUAAAUCCUCAAUAAAAACUAGACUCAGUCCAAGAGAGGUAUUUUGGAGACUCCCCAAGGAAGAUCAGGUCAAAGCCAAUUUUGACGCAGCGUAUUCACAACAAGACAUGACAGCAACUGUGGGAGUUAUUAUAAGAAAUCAUGAAGGAUUUGUUAUGGGAGCAUGUCCUUACCCACUAGGAAGAAUAGGGGAUCCAACCACUACUGAAGCGAAGGCGUGUCUACAUGCCGUCAUAUUUGGGGAAGAAAUGGGCUUUCGAGAUCUGGUUGUCGACGGUGAUUCCCUUACAGUCAUUAAAAAGCUUAAGUCAGAUUCAGUGGAUAGAUCGGUGAUUGGCAACAUCAUUAGUGAAAUCCAAAGAAAAAUACUCAGCUUUGUUACCUUAUCUUUUGAGUAUACCCCUCGAAAGACAAAUGAAUAAGCACAUGCCCUUGCAACUCGAGAAUACAACCUAGAUAACCCAUCCUAUUGGAUUGAAGAAGUACCAACAAAGAUUGAACCCAUCAUUGCCAACGACCAAAGAAGACUCUAGAAUCGGUAGAAAUAGGACAUUUUUGUCUGAGUCCGGGAAUGCAACACAAAAACGCCUAUCCUCACCACCCUCUGAUGAACUCAGAUUAAGGAGAAAUCUGGUAUGGUGCUUCAAUGAGACUCUUUUGCAGUGAUGAAAAGGCACAACCAGUAUCCUCCACCACAACAACUAUAGAUGCAAGAAAGAGGAAAUGUGAUUCUGAUUGACGAUAGGAUUUAGGCUUUUUUAAGUUUUCUUAGGUUUUUGCUUUGAUUAUGGCCUUAAAAGAGGUGUUUUAAUUUCUUUUAUUUUUUCUUUACUGUUAGGCAAACCUGAGGCACCGCCUCGGUUAUUUAUACUCUAUUGACAGCUGAAAUAUGUUAUAACUUUUAAACUGACUACAUAAAAAAUCAUUUUCUCAAUUAAAACUAUUAUUUUGUUAUUUUGUCAAAAACAAACUACUCAUAUUAUUCAUGUAACAUUUAAUUAUUAGUAAAAGAAAUUUAAAUAUCAUUAUUUCUUAAAAUGAAAAAUUUUAUGUAUGAAAUAUUAUUUUUUAAAUGUAAAUUUUUAUAUAAUAUAUUAUAGUUUUACUCGUGGGACAAAUUUUAGUCGUUAGUUAUGUGUUUUACAAUUUUUUUUUGUAGAUAAUCAUGUUCAAGAGUCGGAGUACUAUUUACCCAAAUUUAAAGGCGCGCUCGAAAUAUGGGAGAAUUUGGACAAAAGUAUAAAGCUGAAAAAAUGUGUUUGUGCAAAAAAAAUUAUGCUCAUUUAAAAUAUGAGUCGAGCUUGGGCUCCAACAUUUAAGGUCCAAGCCUAGUCCGUUUUCUACUUUGUAAUAUAUUAUUUUAUUUUAUUUUGAUGUAGUAUGUAAUUUAUAUAAAAUAAAAGAAAAUAUAUAAUAUUAUAAUGUAAACAUUAAAAGAUAUGUUAAGUUAUCAAUGUUUAAAAUUUAAUAAAAGAAAUUCACUGAAAUAAUAAAAAAAGAACAAAUAUUAAAUUAAUAAAUAAUAUAUUUCUUAAAAAGAAUUAAAACAUAAUAUGGGUGAGACUAAAACAAGCUUAGGUUAGUCAUUUUCAAAUAUGAGUGGGCUUGGCAAAACUUGAGGCCCUUAUUUCAAACCGAACUAGGCUUGGGCGAACACAAAGUGCGCUAAUAUUACUACAUAGGUUCAACUCGACCCGGUUUAUAAACACUUCUAUUUGGAGAUUAGGGUUUAGUUAGCUCAUAUAUAAAUAUUUAUGCAAUCACUUGUUUAUACAUAGCAAGCAAACAUAUGAAAUAACUUUAAAUUUUAAAAAUAAUAACUACAAAUAUUUAAAAUUUUAUUUUAAAUAACAUUUAUACCUUAUUAUAAUAACUACAAAUAUAUAUUAAAAUUGAAUAAAGUAGUUUUUUGUGAUUUUCAUCUGAACUUGUACUUAGUUAACACAGUCAUAGCUAGUUAUUCAAAUAAGCUAGUAUAUAUGUAUGAAUAUGAUCAUUAAUUUAUAGCCGUCAAAAUCAAACUAUAUUAUAGUUUGAAUAAAAAUUGGUGGUCCAAUCGAUUCAUCUAAUACCAUACAAUUAGUAAAAAUCGGUUGAAUUGCUAAAAAGAACGGAUCAAUUAAAAAUCAAUUGAAAUAGGUUAAAACUAGUUUAAUCAUUUAAUUUUAUUAUUAUAAUUGAUAAAUGAAUGUUUAUAUUUCUAUCAUUAUUUAUUUGUCUUUACUAUUUUUUUUUCCUAUUUUCCUUGAUUUUUGUAAUUUUUUUAUGAAUUUUCUUUUAAUUAUGAAUUUUUUCUUUAUGAACCCAAGUUUCAAUUUUUUUUUAAUUAUGAAUUUCAUCUCUUUAUUUUACGAAAAUUCAAAAGUUAAUAUUUACUUUAAUUUGUUAGAUAUGUUUCCUCAUAAAAUAAUGGGUAAACUACAAAAAUAGUCACUUUUGUUUGCCUCAGAUUAAAUUUUAGUCACUUAUGUUCGAAAUGUUAUGUUUUAGUCACUUAUAUUAUCAUUUUGUUACGAAGUGGUCACUCUACUGUUAACCUCCGUUACCUCCCUAACAACAGUCCUACAUGGCAGUUCAAAUGGGUUUUAAAUGCCAACUUGAUGUCCAGUUGCUGGGAUGAAAAUAGGUUUUUAAUUAAAUAAAUUUAAUUUGGACUGCCACGUAGGACAUCCAAGUUGGCAUUUAAAACCCGUUUAGAUUGCCAUGUAGGACCGUCGUUAGGGAAGUGAUCAGUUUAACGGUAACGUAACAUUACAUCCAAACAUAGCAUUUUGAACAUAAGUAACUAAAAUGCAAUCUGAGGCAAAUAAAAAUGACUAUUUUUAUAGUUUACUCUAAAAUAAUUAAUAUAAAAUUACAUCCAAAAGUCCAAAGAACAGCAUGAGAUCCAUCCAUCAUUCAAAAUUAUGUUUAAAUUAAAAAUGGAAGAUACUAUAAUCAUAAUUUGAUGUAAAUCUAUACCUAACACACAUUUGAUUUUUAAUUUAAUUUGAUUUAUUAAAAAGGGAUUAGGGUUUACUAAUAAAAGAAUAAAAGUAGGUUGAGAACCAAAAUGCUAUAUUACAAUCACAUGAAGGCAAAAAACAGUUGAUGGGACCAUUUGCUUAACCCCCACACUUUAUUAAUGUCAUGUCUCAAUGGGACAUAACCUCAAAACUUGCACUGAAAGAAAACCAAAUGUUCAUAUUCUAAAUUUCAAUUUUUCAAUGUAUAUAAAAAUGAUGGGAUCCAAGGACAGACACAUUGAAAAAUCCCAACAAGAUUAAUUAGGAUAAGAUAUGUUUCAAAAUAAUAAUUAAUGGAGACGAAGAUGUCGAUUGAGUCUAUCAAAAUUAUUGUCAGUAUAAGAGAAAUAGGUUCGAAUAUGUUGAAGUACAUUAUUCUCUUAUUUAGGGAUUAGGGAGGGACUAUGAAUAAUUCUAAGCAUUAUAUCAAAAAAAUAAAGACUAAGAAUCGUAAUACUAUACUCAUAUGAAAGGAAGUAAAUCAAAAUAAAUAUUAAUAAUGUACUAGUUUUUUUACGUAUUAAUUAAAAUAUUUUAAUACCAUAAAUGGUUCUUCCGGUAGUUUAAAUAUAUGAUAUUAAAAUGAUUUAAAUAAUUAAAUAUAAAUUCGUAUAUUAAUAAAGAAGAAUUCAAAAGUAAUAUUAUAAGAUGAAGUAGGUAAAAAAAUUAUAAAUAUUUUAUUUUUUUUAAAUUGUAAAAUAUUAAAAAUGAAAUAAAGGUACAACAAAUUCUUUUUCUUUUUACCAAAGAAUAUACCAUUAUUUUAUUCUUAGUUAAAAUGUGGUAAAUAAUAUACUUACUUGUUUGAAAAAAAACAAAUUUAUUUAUUAAUUAAUUUUAAUUAUAAAAAUAAAAAUCACUUUAAAUUUAAUUAAAAAAAAUAUUUUAAACUAAAACUUUUGCUUAUAUAUUCUCGUAUAUUCUUUUAUGAUUAGUGAGUGUAGGGCAGACAAACAUUCCCUCGGUCCACAUCAGCUUAAAGCAGAGGCAUUUCCUUUUUAUGUAAUUGUAUUUUCUUUUCCUUUAGGACGUUUGAGGAGGCAAGGAGCUGAAUCUAUUGUCCCCGUGUUUAUGACUAAAAUGCCCAUGCCUGUUCUCCUGAUUUUAUACCCUCGUUAUGAAAUAACAAAGGUUUAAUUGAGUUGGUGUCACUUAUCAAUCGAUUUUUAAUUUAAUUAAAAAAAUUAUCAAACACUCGUCAUUUGAGGAUUUUUUUUAGAUCUUUUUAUAUUUUUAUAUAAAAUCUAAAAUUGUAUACACAUAAUGAGAUUUGAAUUAAAUGUACCAUGAUUUUUGAUAUUUUAAACAAAGUCUCGUUUAUUUUUUAAUUUUUUAUAAAUAUAUUUGUUACAUAUUUUUUUCACCCUGUAUUAUAAUUUAAUGGUUCAUAAAAUUUCUUAGGGAUUAUACCUAAAUCAUUUUUAUUAAAAAGUGAAUUUUGAAUUAAAAAAAGGGGAAGAUUAGGCACAUGUAGACUUGAUCUUGGGUCGGGCCACCCAGCUCGGUCCGAAGACCCACCCGAAAGUUGGGAGGUUUUGGGCAAAAAAGUAAGGCCGGUUUAGAAAAUGGUUCGAGCCUUGGGUAAGCUUUUUUUGGCUUGGGCUCAGCCCGAAUUUGCAAAAAAAAAUUUGUUGUUUUGCCACUGUUUUGCUGUCAUCUCACUAUUAUAUUGCUACUAUUUUAUUGUUAUUAUUUAGAUAUUGUAAAACUCUUAUUUUUUGUUAAUUUUGUUACUAUUUUAGAGGCAUUUACUUGUUAAGUUGCACCUAUCUUAGUGUUAUUUUAGUAUAAAGACUUUUUAAAUUUAUUUUCAAUUCGUUGGGAAACAUUUAUUUUAAUAUUUUUAGUGUAUUUGAUGUAUUAUAUAUUUUAAAUUUAUUUUUAUAUAAAAAAAUUAAUACGGAUAGGUCGGGCCGGGUCAGGCCAAGCUCAAGUUUUAACUUUUGUAAUCCGAGUUGGGCUUGGACAAAAUUUUAGGCCGAGCUUGAGCCUAUACAAUAGGGUGAAAUUUUGUUACGGCCCGAUCCAUGAUCACCUCUAGGCAUAUGGUAAACAUUCCCAAAAAUAGUAAGGAGGAAGGGAUGUGAGGAGUUAGAGGUAGGGCUGAGCAAAAAAACGAUCUGAAUUAAUAUGAAAAAGAUCUUAAAAUUUUGUUAAAUAAUAUACAAAAGCUAUAAAAUAAAAUUCAUUUUAUCAAAAUAAAUUUAAAAAUUUUAAUAUGAAAAAACAAAAAUCAAAUCGAAUUAUAAUAAACAAUUUUAAAAAUUUAAAUUUGACAGAACCGUACCGGCAUCGAGUUAGAGGAUGAAAUAAUUGAGAUCUUCAUUAUAUUGUGGAAAAGUGGCAAUUGUAAGCUCACGUGCAUGGAAUCCAACGUAGGCAAGGGAUUUAACAUUGGACUUUGGGUGAUAGAUGGAACCCAUGCUGUUCUCGGAAAACGUUUAAGAGAUAUUAUGUUUUUCUUUUCGACCGAAAGCCGAGUGGGAGGCUUUAUUUAACGGUGGGAUUGAAAGUGAUGAUUGGGAAUUGACCCCCGCCCCCUCCGCCCAUGAUUAACGGCGUUGACGUCCGGGGUGUAAAUCACAAUAUUACAAUCGGCCCUAACCCAUUGCAUUGCAUUGCAUUGCAUGCAUGCCUGCCCUUAAAUUGCGCUCUAACUUGGUUCUGUCUUCCUCCCGUUUCUGGGAAAUAGAAAUUUCAAACGGUUAAUAGAUUUAUUAUUGUCUGCCAAAAAGUGUAACGGCUAGUUGAUGCUGACGUGGAAGAAGACAAGAUGUCACGUCUGCUCAGACAACCUCUGACCCAUGGGGCUCCGCUUCCUGUAUCAAACUAUUGAAGCAAUUUAAGAAUAUAAUUUUAUGCAUGAAGUUUUUAUUUCACUCGAUUUUUACGUCUAAUCAUCUAAAACGAAACUGGUGUUGUAUGCUAAAUGCACCCCCAAAAGGAUGUUGAUGGCGGCUGGUGUUUGAAGCGUCUCAAAAUCUAAUUAUUUAUAUACUGAUGGCACGGUUAACGUUGUAUCAGGGGAUGUUGUUGUUGGGGAAGUGAUUAGAAAUCAUCUGGACAAGUGGAUUCUUGAGUAUAAUAGGCCGUUGGGACAUUGUUUGAUAUAUAAUGUUGAGUUUUUGGGUAUUUUGGAUGAAUUGAUUCUUUUUUAGAAUAGAGGAUGUAACAAAGUGUUGAUUCGAAUAAAUAAUAUAAAUGUUCUUCAAGCCAUUUAGGAAAUAGUCUCAACAACAUUUUAUUCAACACUUAUCAAACAUAUUCAACAGUUUCUGUUGGAAAUAGGCUAAUGCGAAACAGAGCAGGUCCCUAAAGAAGAGAACAUAGAAGCGGUUUGCAUCGCUAAGAUAGCUUUUGACAAAACUAAGUGCACCCCCAAAAGGAUGUUAAUGGUGGUGAUUGAAAGAUCUUGAAAUCUAUUCUGAUUUAAGGCUUUGGCAUUAGGCUGAAUUAUCCAAAAAUGCUUAUUUUUAAUUAUAAUUAUCGGAUUAAGUCGGUUUUUGUAAAUUGUAUCGGAUUGGGUUGAUUUUGAAAAAAACGCGUCCAGCUGGGCAUGUCUUUAAGUGGAUAUAUAUGGAAGAAAAACACUUCCAAUUAGAUAAGUUUUCAGCUUUGGCCAAAUGGAUAAAUGCUAGUGUUUUCAUUCUUGAGUCCCGAGUUUGAUUCUUCUUCUACUGACAUUUGUAUUUUUUAUUUCACGUUGCUUCAAGCUUUUUAAAUCUUUAAUUAAUUUUUUUAACAUAUUAGUUCUUUGGUUAGAUGGUUAAAUAGUUACAAUUACAUCCUUGAGUCUCAAGUUUAAUUCAUCUCCGACUCAUAUUUGUAUUUUCUAUUUCAUGUUACUUCAAGCAUUUUCAAAUUUUAAUUAAUAUUUUUAACUUUUUAAUUCUUUCGUUAGAUGGUUAGAUAGUCGUAAGUACAUUCUUGAGUCUCGAGUUCGAUUCCUCUACUACUCACAUUUGUAUUUUUUAUUUCAUGUUGCUUCAAGUUUUUUUUAAUUAAUAUUUCUAACAUAUUACCUCUUUUCGUUAGAUGGUUAGAUAAUUGCUAUUACAUCCUUGAGUAUGAGGUUUCCAUUAUUUUUAUGAACAUAUUAAUGUAUUUUCUAUUUUUAACUUUUAACUUUUUUAUUUAUAAAAUGAAAUAAUUUUUGCAAAUAUCAUUAAUUGAAAGAAAAUUAAUAAUAUGCUUAUAAAAAUAAUUAAAAAAUCAUCAAAACAUUAAUUAAAAAAAACUUGUAACAAUAUGAAAUAAAAAAAAAUAAAAAUGCAAGUAAGAAAUGAAUCAAACCUGGAACUCAAGGAUAAAAGUACUAACAUUUAAUCAUCUAGCCAAAAUUGAAAGUGUAUCUAGUUGGAAGCGUUUUCCUAUCAUAUCUACUGAAAACGCGUACAAAAUCGACCUAAUCCGAUAAAUUUUAUAAAACCGACCUAAGUCAAUCAGCAUUUUUGGGUAACUAACCCUUGGCAUUAGGCCUAAUUUAUUUUUUUCCCUAUUGACAGAUGACUUUGGGUAUCGGUUGAACAUAACCUAUAGGAUGCAAAGAUGAUGUAUUGUUGUUUGGUUUGUUUACUUGACAUUCUCUGCUUCAUUCAUUUCGUCUUGAUUUGUGAUUUUCUGCAUUGUUCCUAUCCUCCUCAUGAGUACAUCAUCAUUUUUUUAUUCCAAUGUCUUCAAUGAAUCUACUCUUUCAACCAAAAUAGAAUUUAAGAGCGAAGUUAGAAAUUUAUUUUUGGGGCAAAAAUUAAAUUAUAAAAAGAUUAAAUCGAAAUUUUUCAUCUUUGGGGGCCUUCCCCUUGGCGCCGUCCUUGUGAAUUACCAUUUAAUUUAUUAUUAUUUUGAUAUAAUGUUAGGGGUGGGGAUAGAGGUAACAAGGUCCGAAUCCAAUGUCAAAUGGAUAUUUGACAAGAGAUUUAACUACCAUUUCAUAUAAGUCAAAACAUCAUUUGAUUUAUUGUAUAUAUAUCAAUUUCUUAACCAAAAAAAAAUCUAGAUUAAAUUUAAGGGUUUGGUUGAGAUUAAAUGGGUAGGAAUGAUGUUGAUUCCUAAAACUCACCCGAAUCCAAUCAAACUCCACCAUUGAGAUGGAUUAUGUGUUUUAAUUUUUGUAAUUACAAAAAAUCAUAUUAUCCAUCAUUUUACUUUAUAUUUUUUUUUAUUUCUUAAAGUAUUUAUUGGAGCGAAUCUUAUAAUUAGGGUAGAUAGUAACAUUUUUCCUUAUCUUUUAUAAUGAAUCCAAUAAACCAAAUAGGAUUUGCACUCAACCCCACCAUACAAACCUUUGCAUUUUAUCAUCACUGAAUUAUCAAGAAAUUGUCAACGACAUCUUAAUUGUGUUGACACAAAAUUCAAUCAUCUUGAAUGAUUAAUGGCUAGUUUACUAACGAGGUUGAAAAAUAUAGUAAAAUAGAGUUUUUAAAAAAUUUGAUAAUAUUUUUUAUUAUUGUUAAAAAGUUAACUUAAACACGAAAAAAUUGAUUUAACAUUAAUUAAAUGUGAGGAAAAAUAACAAACAUCACAAAUUCGAAAAGCUUAAAAUUGGGCUUUUUUAUAAAAAUAAUAUAAAAAAUUAAUUAAUUACGAAAAUAGGUUGGGAGAUAAAAUAUUUACGAAAGUGAGCUGUUUGUUAUCGUAUCCACUAGUGUCGCCCGACACAUCGGUAACACCACUCCCCUUUUUCAAUCAAUCAUCACCCAAUCAUUAGGUUUUUAAAAAAUAAUUUUUUUUUGUGUUACCACUAUAUCAAGCGACAUCCGUAGGUAUUUUAAAAGAUACCUAUAAAAGUAUAAGUAUACACCGUUGGAGAAAAAAAACAAAAAAAAAGUUAUAUUUUUUAUGGGUGCCACCGGACUGUCAGUCUAUUGGCUGCUGAGAGCUCUCUUAUUUUUGCUUUUAGGCUUUGAGAAAUUGUUUUACAUUAUGGAUUUUACUUAUGGUCAUUCCUCUUGCAGGUGAGGACUUUGACUAGAGAGUUACGAGCUACUUCAUUAAAAUAAUUAAGAAAAAACAUGGAAAGGACAUUAGCAAGGAUAACAUGGCUCUUGGGAUGCUUAGGAGGGAAGUUGAGCGUGUCAAGAGAUUUCUUUUUCAUUUUCUCUCCUACUAUAUACUCGUAUUUUUAUAAGCAUUCUAAAAAAAUAUAUAGGGUGUUGCCUGAUACCGUGACGAUACUAAAAAAUUACUCUUUUAAAAGUCUAAUGAUUACGUGAUGAUUAGCUUUAAAAAAGAGUGAUGUCGUCGAUGUGUGAGGCGACACCGAUAUUUACUAUAACAAACGACUCAUUCUUGUAAUUAAAAUUUCUUUAAUAUCAUUUUUAUAAUUAAUUAAUUUUUAUAUUAUUUUUAUUGAAGGGACCUAAAAUUGUGAUUACCAAUCAGAUUGAAUUUAGUGCAACAAAAUCAGCUUAGCACUUGAUUAGCAUAAUCGUGAGUGGCGUUAGUUAAAAAACGGUCCAGUUCCAGCUGUACAGUAAAUGCAUUCACGUUUUCUUAUUGCCACAAAUAAAAUAUUGCAAAAAAAAAACACAAAAUUUUGACCGUUGAUAUGAUUGGAAAUACGCGUCGAUGCGCCGAAUUUUAAGCCGUUUCACUAUAGCCACGUGGCACGCCGGAUUAUGGAAAUACGCUAGGGCCCCACGCGAUUCUCGUAGGAGGCAGCGGCCACCUUUCACGCUUUUGGCUUUCUUUUUCUUUUUUUCGGUUUCCAUAAUUACCCUCCCUUGGUCUUCAGAAUUUGUGAAUACGCCAUUCGAAGGUCCUCGUUUAGGGCAAAUCAGUAUAUACGUAGAGUAUUGAAGGGUAAUUUAGGAAUCACGUGACACGCGGCGCUUCACUGCCGUGGGCUGUGGGCGGUUUCAAAAGCAAAGGAAGGAAGCGUUCCGUGUUGAAAAUCAGUUCCAUUAAUAUUGAUUGAUUUAAUUAAUAAUUGAAAUUAUUCCUUCGUUUCUAAGUAAAAUAAUUUAUUGUUUAGUAUUAUUAGUUAAAAGUCUGAGGGGUUGAGUUCGAGUUUUAUUAUGUAUAAUUAUAUUAUGCGAGUUUUUGAUUUCAUUAUAUACUUAUGUCAUGCGUAGAUUCUUUUUUUUAUAAUAUAUUUUAAAUCGAAUCGAUUAAGUUAUUGAUUCAAUUAAAAUUUUUUAAAAAUAGAUUAAAAAUUUAAUUUAACAAAUGUUUGCUCGAUUCAACUGGUUCGUAUCGAUUCUUGAGUUAAUCAAUUCAAAACCUCUCCUCGACUAGGGGUGUUCAAAUUUCGAUUAAAACUUAAUUAACCAACCAAAUCGAUUUAAUUCGGUUAAUCGAUUUAAUUCAGUUAGAGGUCGGUUAAUGAUUUUUUAGAAGUUUGAUUAUCGGUUAAUUCAAUUCAAAAUUAACCGAACUUAAUAAUUAAUAAUAUAAAUUAUAUGUAGUUUUAAUUCGGUUAAUUCGGUCAAAUGAAAUCAAUUUUUUUUGUAUGUUUUAUACUUGUUUUAACAAAAAAAUAUAAAUUUUAGUUAAUUCAGUAAUAUUUCGGUCCGGUUACUUUUUUUUAAAUUACGGUUCGAUUAACAAUUAAAUAAUUAAAAUUUUUGAUUAAUUCACUUUGAUUAACCGUUCCGGUUAACCAUUUGAACACCCCUACCCUAAACCGGUAUCUCAACCGAUUUUUAAUCCAACCUUUUUUUUAUUCAAUUGGUAAAAAUAGAUGAAUUCUGAAAAAAAAAUAAGUUUUUAUGGUUUACUUUUAGUUUAAUAUUAAACCCAAAUUUGGUUCAUUUUAUCUCGAUAAUAUUUAAAUAUUAAAAGGAAAAAUCUGUUUUAGGCCCCCCAAAAGUCAUUGCAAUCAUUAUUUUUACCCCUAAUGAUUUACAUUUUAUCACACUUUCUUUGACAUUGCUCACUCUUGUCUUUGUCCAGUUGAUUAAUUUUAUUCUUUACUUAUUAUUAUAGCAAAGCUUUUGACACUUUAUCCCUCUUUCAAAACUUCAAACUUUUUCAUAAAGAAAAAAAAUUCAAAGUUCAAUUUUCAAGCUUUGGGAGCCUUGAAUGAGGGAUAAAGUGACCAAGUAAAUUUAUACACGUAGAUGAAAAAAAUAUGUAAAAAGUUUAUAUAAUUUAAAUUAAUAUUUUUUUAAAAAAUGAUAAUACUUAACCACGGGUUAGGUGAAAUGUUAAGGGUUUCUCCUACUUUAAUCAAUGGUUAAGAGUUUGAUCUUCGUUUUGAGUAUGGAGAACAACUUUAAAAUUCAUAGUCAGCGUCAUUAAACUCACUUCGAUGAGUACCUUAAAAUGAAAUAAUAAUAAUACAUAUAAGGGAAACAAAGUAGUUUAUUUUAAUAGUUUUUAAGAGGUGGGGUUAUCUUUUUCAAAGUAAUUAAGGUUUGUUUUAAAGACAUAAAUCUCGGGUAUUAACUCAUAAUUUAUAGAAAAAGUGGUUUUUAAGUCAAUUCCUUAAGUAAGUAUCAAGAUUUUUUAGUAAGGAUAAAAUUAGGAAUAUGAAAAUAAAUAUAAAAAGUAUCUUAGAAAUACUAUGUAAACAUUCAAAUGGUAUGGGCAGGGGCGAAACCAGGGGCUAGCAGGGACCCAGCCCCUAUAAAAUGAAAAAUUUUCGAGUAUUUGGAUUAAAUUUAAAUUUUAGAGUUGAUAAUAUUAGGAAAGUUUUAUCUGAAUAUCACUUUUAAUCGAAUAGAAUUGUGUUUGAAUAAUAAUAAUACAAUUACAAUUACAUGACACAAUAAUAUCUUAUAAUAUCUUAUAAUAUAAUAAUAUAAUGGUGAAAUUUCAAUUCUAAUCUUUCUAUUUUUGAGAUUAUGUAAGAACGGUUAAAUUUUAGUUUCGAUCUCUUUACUUCAUUCAAAUUUGAGAUUUAAUCUUUAUACUUUAAUUUCGACAUAAUUUGGUACCUCAACUUUUAUAAUAUCAUUAGUUCAAUUAAAUGCUUAUCUCAAAAUUAAAAUGUUUAUGCGAACUUUUAAGAAUCGUUAACAUUGUUAAAACUCUCUAUUAAAUUCAUGUCCAUUACAGGAAUACCAAGUGAGUAUUUUUUUUUUAAAAUUUCAAAAUAUCAUACCAAUAAAUUCGACUGAAGCAUUUUAACGAUAUUAACAAAUAGACCUAAAAUUUCAAAAUUCGAAAAAUAAAGAGAUUAAAUUCCUAAAACUAAAAGUAUAAAAAUUAAAUUCCAAUAUAUGAUUAGUGUUGGAGUUUGUGUAACCCGAAUCUCAUCACUUGUUGAAGAAAUAAAUCCAGUGGUAAAAUAAGGAGAUCUAUAGGGGCGAAUUAAGCUCAAAACUGGGCUGGGGUUGCGACGUUCGCCCCCGUAGUACGGGCCAUACCGCACAAGUAGAGUCCAUAAAGAACUACAUUCUACUAUUUGACUUUGAUUAAAACAAGAUUUUUAAAUUCUUAAAUAGAUAUAAUCGAAACUCCGGAUUGUGAUUAUAUUUUUAAAGAUUUGUAUGUAAGUAUUGAAAAUCCAAACCCUAUAACUAAAGUCCUCUUUGGAUACGCAAUAUAUAUAUGUAUGAAUUCAAUGUAUUGUGAUAUUUAAGAUAGUAAUUUUAAAGAUAAAGUUGAGCCAAUCUCCUUGGCAAUAUGUGGGUGGGAUAAAGAUGAACACCCAUUUGAAUAUUACAUGAAAAUAUUUUCAUGAAUUUGAAAUUCCGAAUAUCGUAUUUGCAUAUUUGUGAAUUUAAAUGCUUCACAAGAACCUUGUAUUUCUUUAAGCUCUUCGUUUUCAACUAUUCAAGUUUCAAAAAUUCAACCAUGUGAGACAUUAAAUUAAAGAAUCAGUGUUUUUUUUUGAACAAUCUUAUUAUAGGUUGUGGUUGUAUCUGUUCUUUUUGACACAAUGUUAGAAUUAUUUAUAGUCUUUUUCUAAACCAUAAAUAGAAGUAUAAUACAUUUUAGCACACUCGAACACAUGUUCUCUUGUAUUAUCAAUAACGCCCAUCUCAACCGAGUUAAGGUUCAGUCAGUUAAAUUGAUUUUUUUAAAUGUAAAUAGUAACUGAAUAAAAAAAAUAUGAAAAUAAUAAAAAUUACUUUAGGGGUUAAAAAUGAAUAAUGAUUUGGAAGCAUGGUAUAAUAUUAUCAUUACAUUAACUUAUGAUUUUAUAAAAUUUGAAGGGCUUUUAUAUCAAAUUUAUUAGUUUUUGGUCUUGCCUUCGCCUCUAGCAAUUUGAGAUAUUGAGACGAUAAAUCAAACAUCCGUCUCACAAAAUAAAAAAUCUUUGUUACUUCGAUUUGAGAUCAAAAAUCAUGUUGAGAAAACUCAAAUCGUCAAAUCGUCAAAAAAGUUCACCAUUAAAAUGCUAGGGAGAACAAGUCUUUAGGUUUAGGACAUGGACAUGCUAGUAAAAAGAGUUCAUGCCUACUGACUCUGUUCUGAAUUCUCAGUUCUGACUCUUGACUGAUUUCUCAAACCUCCUUUCACUAAAAAUUAUUAGGAAAAAAACCCCAUGAAGCAUUAAUAUGAUUUUUAAAAUAAAAAAUAAAAUUUCUAAAAUAUGAUGGAAAAUGAUGUUGAAAAUGAAAAAGUAAGAAAAAGAAAAUGGGAGAAUAAUUUGAAAAAAAAAAAAACCUGUCUACAUAUGAACAGCUAACACCUGCUCAGUCUCCCAAUAAAAUGACCUGCUAUAUUGUCUUUCUUUUCAAUUUUUAUUGACCUUUUUUGGUUCUCAUAGCUGUAGAGAGAUUAGUCAUAUUAUUAUUCCUUUCUUCUUCUUUCAUUCUCAACAAUCUCUUCCCCCUCUUCUUCCAUAAUACUCUUUCUCUUCAUAUAUAAUCUUUAUUUUCAAACACCCUAAAUUUACAACCACAUAUUCCAGAGAGGAUUUUUUUAAAAAAAAUGGUGAUGAAGUUACCUUAUCUGGGUUCUUGUUUGUUUUUGGUUUUUUUUAGUUUGGUUUCUAUUGUUGCUUCUGGGUCUGGAAAAGGGCUCCCAAUUCUUUCAUUCGAUGAAGGAUAUAAUCAGUUGUUUGGGGAUGAUAAUCUAGUUAUCCAUAGAGAUGGUAAAGCUGUUCACUUGUCUUUGAACGAAAGAACAGGUAUGUUUCUUUUUUGCUGAUUUGGGUUCUUCUUUUUUUCUUUGUUGUUUCAUUAAAAAGGAAACAUUUUUUUGCUUUUGAUGAUGGUGCAAAACAGGGUCGGGGUUUGUGUCACAAGACCUUUACUUGCAUGGUUACUUCAGUGCUUCAAUAAAGUUACCUGCUGAUUACACUGCUGGAGUUGUGGUUGCUUUCUAUGUGAGUUUAUCUAUGUUCUGCAUUAAUCUCUUUCCUUUUUUUUAUAUUAAAAUCUAUUUAUCUAACAGUUAAUUAUUUUAGAAGCUCUCUCAACAGUCCUUUUAAGCUCAUGGUUGCUGUUUAGUGUCAAUUAAUCUGUUUUUUUUUUUAAUUCUGAUACUAAUAAGACUCAGAUGAGUUUGUCACUGUUUUUUUCACUUUCCUCUCAUGGUUCAACUUGGAGUUUGAAUAGGGUCUUGAAUAAAGACUUUGGUUUUUCUUUUCAAGUCACAAAAAAUUCAAAUUUUUAUUCAAGAAUCUGAUCAAAAUACACAUGGAUAUGACUAUGAACAUGUUCAACUUAUCUCAGGUUAAUUAGAAUUUCCAGAUGGUUUUUUCAUGUUGAAGGAGAUGGCUUCUUUCAUAAAUGAAAUUCAUUUUCCUGAAUAUGGAUUUUAAUUUAUGUGAUAAACAGAUGUCAAAUGGUGAUAUGUUCGAGAAGAACCAUGAUGAAAUAGAUUUUGAGUUCUUGGGUAACAUUAGAGGAAAAAAUUGGAGGAUUCAGACCAAUAUUUAUGGCAAUGGAAGCACCAGUGCUGGCAGAGAAGAGAGAUACAAUCUCUGGUUUGAUCCUGCUGAUGAUUUCCAUCACUACACUAUUCUCUGGACUGCUUCUCACAUCAUGUAAGCAUUCACAAUCUAUAUCCCCAAAUACUCGUGUUGGACAUCCGACCCAAUCACAAACAUGGAUAUGGGAAUAUUACCCUUUAAGCAUUGCCCCCACCAUCUCUCCUAUAAUUUUUUGUUGUGUUGCUUUCCUUUUUCCUCAAAUGGUUAAAUCCUUUAGUUAUGCUGCUCUGCUCCAACCACAACUUUUUUAACCUAUGAACAUUGUAUGAGUAAGUGCUGAACAUGCUGUUUUGAAGAGUUGUGGUUUUGAUGUGAUGGUUGUAUUGUGAUGUAGGGUAAGUUUCUUAUUUUGGGAUGUUUAUAUAUUACACGAUAUGAAGUCUGGUUUUGCUUGUAAUGGCAUCCCUUUUACAUCCAUCCAGUUUUUCUUCUAAUACCACCAUAACUAAAUUGUUGGUUUUGUUUUUGAUGGUAAUUAUUUUUGCUUGCAGAUUUUAUGUAGACAAUAUCCCCAUUAGAGAGUUCAAAAGAACAGCUGAAAUGGGUGGAGAUUUCCCCUCUAAGCCAAUGUCAUUGUAUGCUACAAUAUGGGAUGGAUCUGAUUGGGCUACUAAUGGUGGCAAAUAUAGAGUCAAUUACAAAUAUGCUCCUUAUGUAGCGGAAUUCUCCGAUUUAGUCUUGCACGGCUGCGCAGUUGAUCCAAUCGAGUUUUCGUCCAAGAGGUGUGACGGCACGCAAAGUUGGGAACAACUUACAACCAGUAUCACCCCAUCACAAAGAAGCAAGAUGGAUAGCUUUAGGAGGAAGCACAUGACAUACUCUUACUGCUAUGACCAAACCAGAUACAAGGUUGCUCCUCCGGAGUGUGUGAUCAAUCCCCGAGAAGCUGAAAGACUGAAGAAGUUUGACCCUGUCAUGUUUGGAGGAGGCAGGCGCCACCAUGGGAAACGACACCACCAUAUGCGAGCAAGCCGGUCUGAGGCUGAUUCCAUCUGAUGAAAGACCUUUGACCAUUGUUUUCCUCUCCUUUUCAUUCAGCUUGGGGAUCAGUUUUGUGUAUAGAGAGAGGGGGAAGACUGCAGAGCACAGCACAUAUACAUAUAUAUAUUGAGGGUGAUAUGAGUCAUUAUAUAUGUUCAAUGAUGUGGGGGGUAUGUGUAUAGUUCCAUACCGUUUUAGGUUUCGCUGUCCAUUUUUGUUAUUGAUGCAAUAAAAUACUUUAGCAGAUUUAAAACAUCUUUAUUUUUUAAAAAGUUAAUUUAAGUAUCAUUUUCUGCUUUCCCUCUUGGUGGUUCAAAGAGACAUCUGCAGCACCCAAAAUUGUUGCAUUUAAUGUCCAAAGUUUGGGGUUAUCUCUAUGUCUGUUAGCAUGUUGCUGAUCAAUAUGUAUAUGCCAUUGGGUAGUUGGAAUCUAAGGAGGGUUAGAUGUGACAAGUUGGGGAGAUAUACUUUUAAAAAAUAUUACUAAAUUUUAUUUUUGAGCCCUCCAAAAACUAAUAAUUUAAUUUAAACCCUUUAACAAAAAAAAAUAACUUUGACAUCUAAAAUUUUAUAAUUAAAAAAAAUGUUGAUUUCGCCCACUACAGAACAUAAAUUCAUCCAUUCCAAGGGGCAUUAAAUAUAAAGCAUUUGCACAAAAUCAUAAGGUGAAGAAUAGAGGUCACAAAUUUUUGGAACAACUUGUGCUUAGAUUCCAAUAUCAUUUGACAGCCAAUUCUGAACUGGAAUUGCAACCUCAUUGAGUAAAAUUGAAAUGAAAAAAAAUGAAGAAAUCCCAGUAUUUUAGACCACAUAAUAAUAAUUCAUAGUUAUCCAUAUGCACUGACAUAAAUCAUGUGCAAAGCUCAAAAAGAAAAGGCUACAUCUCACUAUCUUUUAAAGCAGAUAUCUUUGAUUGCUAAGAUUGUAACCUGCAUUUCCCUAACAGUGAAAGAAAUCAAAGAAAAUGGAUUUGAUUAACACAAGCUAACAAGUGCAAUAUCAAUAUACAUACCCGCUAUAAACCCUAAAAUUUGACUUUGUCCAAUAGUAUCACAUGUAUGUAUAACCCUUCCUCUUACUAAUCCAUGUAAAGUAGAUGAAUGUAAGAAAUAUCAUGUAAAUCAUUUACACGAUGCCAUGGUGUGUUAUGUCCAAGAUUUUUCUUUUCUUCUAUAAGAAACAGCUGUUAAGAAAUAUAAAUGAUAGUCCAAAAGCAAAAUGUCCAGAAGAUGCUUUCCAGCAACAAGAGGAGAUGCAUUCAGAAAAGUUCUCAACACAAAUACGACUCCAACUAAUUUCGAAUUCUACUACCAAACUUACAUUUACCACCAAAGUAUAUCAGUAAAGAACAAGAUCUCUAGUUCUGGGAUUCAGCUGCCUCCUUUCUCUCUAUCAGUUUGAUGAAAUUCUGAACAAUUAUUUUGCCUUCAGAGGUUAUGAUGCUCUCCUGACUGAAAUGAACACCCUACGGUUUUCAAUCAACUUAAUGAGCGUAAAGAGAAGUAAAUGGAAAAGAUUGAUAUAGUAAUACUUCAGUAAGUGGAAAAUAAGCAUAACAAUGAGGGACAGCCUCUGCAUAAGGCUUUUUUUGGGACCCUUCUUUUCCUCGACUCUUGGUUUGUGAUAAAAGGAGGAAAAAGAUGACAUAAAGAACUUGUUAAAAGUGCUUGUUUUAUGAUGGUAGCUUUAGUUUCUUUUAUCUAUAACCAGACUAUGGAAUCAAAUCAUAUAGAGGUAUACACAAAUUGCUAAAACUGAAUGAAGGAAUGUAUGUGGAAGAUGUGGAGAUCAUAGUGUGAACAACAUCAUCGACCGUCUCAUAACGACGAUGUUAGAAUUGAAGAAAUGUUCUUAGCAGUGAUGGGGGUUAAUAUAGGGGUAUAAUUAAGAUGAAAAAAUAGCUAUUUUAAUUCCUAAAAUGCUGCAAAAACCCAAGGGUGUCAUGUCUAAGGCACUGAAGUCAAGAAAGGGUACUCCUAUGAAUCUAUGAUGCCAUUAGAGAUGCUAUUACAUUGAUAUCUCUAGGCAGUAAUGUCAGAACAGAACAGAGGUAACUAAGAGACGAGAGACUUUUUGAUAAAUAUGAAAACAAGUGACAUUUUGGUUUUCAACAUAAAAUAGGUUGUUAGUUAACAUUUUCAUACUGAAAUUUAAAAGGUAUCGAUGUCUGCAAGUGCAUGUAUACAAGAAGACACCAUUUUGGCCAAAAAAAGAAGACACCACUAGAAAAAUCAAUAUAAACUUAAUAAAAUUAGGAGAAUAAAGCACAUUGCAGAAAGAACCUUAUUAGAUGAUUCUUAAAACAAGCAAUUGGUCAAACAUAUAUCAUGGUUGAGCUAUGAUUCUCCAGAGAUUAAAAAAUUAUGGUGCCAGGGAAUUUAACCUUAUAUUGAUACUCCAAUUAUUCCAGAUAUAAUUAUAGUGAUUCUAUCAAUUAGGAGUGCAUCUAAUUUAUGUAAAGAAAUCAGUUACAUCACAGCAAAUACAAUCUUACCAGCCAAUCAGUUAGUUUUCAAUUUGACUGUAGGUGUUUGUUCUCAUUCUGAAAAUCAUUGUGCUAAUACGUUAUAAGUAAAAUAGACAGCGGUCUUACAUGUAGAUACUUGUAUAUCUUGUGCCGAGCAGCCAUUAUCAGUGCAUCUUCUGUAAAAGCAGUAACCUUGAGUGCUUCCAAAGGAAAACUAUCCAUAUCAAGAAAGGCAUCGGGACCUCUGCCAGCUUGGAAUGGGCUGGAAAAGGCACAAACUUAGUAAGAAUUGCUGAUAAUCUGAGGUGUAAUUAAUGAAAUAAAUUGGAAACUGUUUUUAAGAGUAAUUUAAUAGAGCUUCCAAAUGUCUAGUAAAAAUAAAGAAGGAUAGUAGCAGAAAAGGGAGGUUUUGACCAAGUAUGCCACACAGUAAUAGUAUAUUACAUUCUCACAUGGGGGCUAGGGGUGGUUGUGAGGGAAGCAAGGUGCAGUUUUCUGAGAGAGAUUGGUUUUAGUUUCCCAAGUAAGCAUUGCAACAUGCUCAACAGUGACUAUAUACCCUUAGACACUAUAUGAACUUCAUAUGACUGGGCUUCUUUUUCGGUAUAUUUAUAGACUCCUCACUCUCAACACCCUUUCAUUGCCAAUCUCAUAGCUAAACCUAGGUCUGAAAGCGGCAGGGUGAUUUGCAAAUCUGAAACAUAGACUUCACUAAUUAAAAUGGCUCUUCUUCUGUACCUUUCUCAAAUUCAGUUUGCUAAUGUGAGAUUUUAACGAAGAUAAGAUUUUUUUCAUACCACUAGUUUUUCAAUGGCCAACAAAUUUAGGACAUGAUUAGCUACAUAAGUAGUCAACCAUGCACAUUAUGUGUAACAUGCUGUAUAGAGCUCUACUGAUUUUCUGACCUAUUGGAACCAUCUAGCAUUGGUAAACAAAAGCUGACAGGGUGUAGAAUCCCUCUCAAGGGGCAUUGGAAAAAAAAAAGUGGAAAUUGAAACAUGUUUUACAGCUCCUUAUCCACUAUUUUGCCUAUAAAAGUAAACAAAAUUUCCUAACAGUUGAAACUUGUUAGGGGAAAAGUGCUAUUAAGGAGUCCCUAUACUUGAAAGGUAAAAGAGAGCUCAAGAAACAAAUUUGACUGUAUUGAUAGUUUGAGCACAUAAUUUAAGCACACUUUAAGAAUUUAAAAAGGAAAAAUUGUGGGCCAAGAAGUAUAUACUUUGGCAAUCCUGUAAACAACCCAGCUUCCUUCUCAUCAUAAUAAUAUACACAACAACUGUCGCCCAGUUUAAGACCAUAUGGAGAACGUACUGUCUUUCCUGCAUUUUACAAUGAAGUCAAACAAAUAAUGUUAAGAUCCCACCAGCAAGCAGCCCAGCUUCAUGAUAGACAUACACGACUAUGGAAUAAAUAUUGAGAUAAUGUAGAAAGAUCCUGAAUUAAAAUGAAUAACAGUUACAUAAGCUAUCCUUGAACACUCACCUCUGAAAGCCUCACAAAUGCACCACAUUCCCGUAGAAACACCUAACAAUGGUACAAUCGUCCAAGCUCCAAAACUGUUUGCAAUAAUGUUCUGGAGUUUUUGAGCGUGCCUGUUCAAUGGAUACAAAGUGUAUAAAAUGCUGAAAUACGACAGGUUCUUAUGCUUUGGUUAAUACGGCAAACUAGUACCUGGACCAGGGGAGAUGAGCACUCCCCUAGGGUUUUUCCUACAAUAUAACAGGAGAACUAGUCAUUAUGUGAAUAAAAUCUCUAGAUAUAAGAUAAUUAAUAACCAUCCACCACCCGAGUGACCAUCAUGUUAUACAUAGUAUUGUACUAGUCAAAAGGCUAAAAUUCUUAACUUUUCAACUCUUCCACGGUUAACUCAUCAUUCCGACAAACCUUGAGACUACAUCCAAGCUCUCCUAAAUCCUGCAAAGUAACAUGUAAAUUCUGAGGGUUUUCUGUAAUUAGUCAAUAGCACAACUCAGAAAAGACUAAAAGCAAUCAAACAAAAAAAUUCGUAAGGCAACAUUUCUAGAUCAGAAAAUUAUUAUCAACUCCUUUUACCCCUUUCAUAAGGCGGCAAUCAAAUGAGCCAUGUCUACUGCUUAAAAGGACAAAGACAAGAUUGAAGUAAGGAUGAUUCCCAACAUUGGAAGCAAGAUUUCACUCUAUUCCCUAAUAGUUGGUUUCUCAGUGCUUGUGCUUGUGCUUGUCCUUGUCGGGGGGAAAUCUUUGACCAAUUUCUAGCACCAUAAACAUAAAAAACUGUCUCAUGCUAUUGAUAUUCAUUGGUCAAAGACCAUUAAACCAAGUGACCAACAGUAUCGAAGAUGCUGAAUUGAGUUCACUACACCAUAUGAAUAUUCAUUCAGCAGGAAUCACUUUUGACAUAUCAUGUUUCUUACUGAUAAUAAAGUUGCAACAAUUUCGUUGAGGUAAAUAGUUUUGAAAAAUAAUCCUUUACUUUCAAAGAAAGAACUAAAAUUAGACCAAAAAAGAAAAUUUCAACAGUUCAGGAUUUUCUUUCUAGAUCAUUUACAAGCAUGAAUAUAUUCUUUCACACACAAGUACAAUAAAUUUACUAUAAACCUGCUAAUCAAUAAUUCUGUUACCUGUCGUUUUCCUCACGAUUUGUAAGCAAUCAAACAGCAUAUCUAGAAUCAAGUCUUAAAGCAGGGCAAUUAAGAAAGGCAAACGAUUAGCUAUGAAAAUGAGAUUGGGAGUGAAAAAACUAUCAUAGUUGUCAAUGAGUAUAAUGGGAUUCUGGCUGUCUUGCUUAGUCUCUGUUAGAUACUAUGCAAAAUAUGUAUGAACAGAAAGAUAAACUAUAGUGUAAUUCUUUAAUCAAUAUUCCCUCUCUUGAAUGAACAUAUUGAUGAAGUUUAUAUAACUGCUCCUAACCAACUACUUAACAGAUUUGAUAACAGACUAACAAUCUUUAUACUAUUGUUUAACAGUCUCCAACACUGAAAAGGCUGAAUACGGUACAGCUGACGGCGUUGAUAAUUUUCCAACAACCCCACUUCUCUUUGUUAGCAAGAAACCAACUCCUGCAAAACACAACAAAGAAAAAAACAGAAAAGAACCUUUCUUUGAUUACACAGUACACCCAAAAAAAUUCGAUAGAAAAGAAGAUAGAGGAAGAGAGAGACUUGAUGGAGGAGAGAGCCUGGAUAGUUGAGGCAGAGAUGGAUUUUGAAGGGUUUUAAGAGAAAGUGAAGGUUUUGGUUGAACCAGAGAUGAUUGCAUAACAAAAUUAACAGCCAUUUUUCUUCUAAACAAAGAAACAAAGCAAAGUAGUUUUUUUUUUCAAGGCGCUAGGACUCUGAGAGGAAGGUUUAUCAGUUUCAGUCUUAUGUCUUGCAGGGAUUCUGCUUUAUAGAAAAAUAAGUUGCACAAUGUUCUCCACAUGGCCGUCAGUUAUCUAGAAAAGCAAUGUAAUUGGACAAGUUUUUGUUCUCUUUUAGGUGAAUUGCCAAAUCCUCCUUAGAUGCUUUCCAUGCCUCAAAUCUGAAUGGGAUUCAAUUAAAAAUAUAUACACUCUUGACUCAAUGAAAAUUUAACAAGGACCUAUUUCUUCUGAGUACAUAAAUUAAUGGGUUUUCUUUUGACAGGUGAGAUAGAGAUGAGUUUUGAAGGGAUUUAACAAAAAGGGAAGGUUUUGGUUGAACCAGAGAUGAGUUGGUAGUACAAUAUAACUGACUUGGAGUCUCAUUGAAAAGAGAAUAAAAUGGCAAUGUAUGUUCAGUUUCGAUCAUCUGGGGACAUAAUUAUCAUUUCUAUCUUCAUAAACAAAAAGAAAAAUGGAAAUAGAAAUAUAGGCAAAAGAUUAUCCAAUGAAAAAGACUGUUAUGGAAUGCAAUUGUAACUGUCAUUUCAUAUUUCUGUUAAUUACUCUUAAUUACUUUUUAUUGUAAUGUUUUGGUAUUCUUUUAGUAGUACGGUGCGUUUUGUAUUUGAGGGGGGUGGGGGGGUUGGGAAAAACACCGUUUAAGGAAACGGUGUAAUUUUGGCAAUGAUUAUUCUGCCAACUGUUACCAUCCGUUAUUCUGCUUUUCUUAAUAGCCAAUUAGAGAGAGCAGAGGUAGUUAUGAAAUUUGAAAACCAUAUUCAAUUUUCUUCUCUCUCGUUUCUCUCUUUCUCACCUUCUAUUUUCUUAAAUUUCUUCUUUCAAAAUCACCUCGCCACAAAUGUAUCAGAGCCUCGUCGAUUCUCAUGGCUACUGAGGGCAUUACAACCAGGCUUCAGAAAGAUAUGACACUGAUUCAGAAUGAGCUUACAUAGUUGCAAGCAAAGUUCAAUCAACUGAGCAUAAGGAUUGAUGCACCUCUUAAGGACUUCCAGGAAAGAAUUAAUAAUGAGGUUCGUUCUGAGGUAAGAUCCGAGCUUCGUUCAAAGCUCCACUCUCUGUUUGAGCAGUACUUUAGCCAAACUCCUCUUAUUGUGGUUACUGGUUUGGUUUCAAACAAAGGAAAGGGAAUUCUAGGCGAGAGUCCUCCAGGAUUUCCAUCAAGAGAACAAUUUGUUGUGUCUCCCAUACUAGAUCUGAGACAUACUGGUGCGUCUUCUCGUGUGAGCAGCUUGGAUGUUGGGAGUACUCUUUUCAGAGUAGAUUGUCCUCAUUUUUAUGGGAGUAAUUUUCGAAGGUGGUGGUCUAAGUUUGAAAAGUACUUCGAAUAUGAGGGGGUAGGAGACCAUGCUAGAGUUCCGAGUGGUGAUGUUGCAUUUGGAAGGGAAGGCAUUGGAUUGGCAUCACUUCUUUGUCCAGACGCAGGGAGAGUUACAUCAAGUAACCUGGGAUCUAUAUGCCAAUGGCCUGAAUGAGCGCUUUGGAUCUGACUCAUUCCUUGAUCAUAUGGCUAAACUUGUCUCACUCAGGCAACAAGGAUCUGCCGAUCAGUUUCAUGAUGGAUUUGUAAGUUUCCUGAAUCUAGUCCACUUGCCUGAAGCAUAUGCACUAAGCAUUUUCACAAGUAAUUUAAAACCUGAGACAAUACCUUAAGUUGUUCAAGCCACAAACCUUGGUUGAAGGGGUACAUUUUAGCUAGACAGGUGGAAAAUAUUGUCUUAAGACCUUCUAGGAAGUGAUUACUUGUGAAUAAUGCAGUAGGCCCUUGUAAACCUUUAUUGCUUGUUUCCAGAAUGCAUCAUGGUAAUGGGGGCCUUUCACCAGUAGGUGGUUCUGGUGGUGUGGUCAAUACUGGUCAACGAGUCCCCACUAAAUCUCUUUCUCAAGCCGAGAUGGAUGAUAGAAGGAAGAAAGGGCUUUGUUUUUUGUAUGGCUCCAAAUAUACACUAAGACACAAAUGCUCCAAAUCCUAAUUAUAUCAGCUUAUCAUUGAACCAUAAGUUGAUCAUGAUACUGAUGCCAAAAGUCCUACUUCAGAGGAGUUCCAAGACUGUCCUGACCAAUUAGAGGUAGCAGAUCAAAUGGUUGAGAUUCCUACUCUAGUGUUGUCUUUACAUGCUCUUCAAGGGUCACAAGGGCAGAAUACUAUGACAUUUUGUAUUUGAGGGGGGGAAUCAACGAUUGCUUAAACGUCUCGUUUUGGGAAAAACACCGUUUAACGAAACAUUGUAGUUUUGGCAAUGGUUAUUUUGCCAACUGCUACAAUUCGUUAUUCUGCUUUUCUUAAUAGCCAGUUAGAGAGAGCAGAGAUAGUUAUGAAAUUUGAAAACCAAAUUCAAACCUUCUAUUUUCUUAAAUUUCUUCUUUCAAAAUCACCUCGCAACAAAGACACGUAGUUUUGAAGAUGCAAUCAAACCUGGCAAAGAUAAUCAGCGAAACUAUAAUAGUUAUGAAUGAGGAUAAUGGGAUUCUUAGUGUUUUACUUACUCUCCAAACACUGAAGAGGUUGAAUCCGAUGCCAAUGAUGUUUUCUCAACAGUCCCACUUCUCUUUCUUACCAAAAAACCAACUCCUGCAAAACAACACAAAAAGAACCUUUCUUUAAUUACACUGUACAUAAAACCAAAAAAAAAAAAAAGAAUAGGGAGAGAGAGAGCGUGGAUAGGUGACAUAGUCACAUAGAUGGGUUUUGAAGGGUUUUACUAGAGAAUUGAAACAAUUUGGAUCAAGGCCCGAGGAAUGAAUUAGAACAAGCUAAGGACAAAUUUAUAAGAAGCUCAAACUAAGAAGGAAUUAUAUUGGAAAUAUCCCGAAACAGAAAAGAAAAUUUCUUACCCCCAGCAAGCCUACGCUUUUACAGAGAAAUCCCUAAGAAAUUAUUUUCAUCUUGCACGGAAAAAAAAUCUCCAUCUUCUUCCAUCUCACACCGCAAGCCUACCCUUUACGCCCUCUUCUUCUCUUAAAACUCUAUAACCAUGGAUUCUAUAUCCUUUUAAAAUAUAAAAAUCAAAAUACUCCCAUAAAUAUUCUACCCUAUAAAAGCCCCAACACAAAGUUUUCCAUCCCUUUGCUGUCACUGAAAACAACCGAAACCUUUCCCCUUUUACUCUGAUUUGGCUUCCAGUUAUCGACUAGUAUUAGUAAUAGAACAAGUAUCAGAGAGAGAGAGAGAGAGAGAGGAAUGCCGCUAGGGAAGUAUUACUGCGACUAUUGCGAUAAGCAAUUUCCAGACACUCCUGCUGCUCGAAAACGCCACUUGCAGGGCCUCCAGCACCUCCGUGCCAAAGCUCAAUGGUUCCACUCCCAAAACGCCCAAGGUACUCUCUCACUCACUGCUUUUCUCCCAACUCCCCUACUUCCUGCUUUUUUAUUCACAUGCUUGUGAUUGCAGAUCUUUAUCAAACUUCGGUACCACCCUUUUCGAAAGGCGUCUGCAAUCGCUUCCUUAAUACAGUAAAUAUCCCUCUCUUCUCCUCUUGGAAUGCCAUUUUUGUUUCUUUUUUACUUCAAUCAUAUAAUAUUCAAGUGCACUUGGUUUUCCUGUUUUAGGGAUUUUGCCAGUACGGAGAUAACUGUAAAUACUUCCAUCCCAACAAUGAUUCUCGGACCCCAAAUCCUCCACUUUCAACUGCACCACCAGGUUUUUUUUUCUCCCUCUGUUUUAUUAAUUCAUAUUUGGUUAUGCAGUGCAAUGCAAGUAAGGAUGGGUUUUGUUUAUAUUGUUAUAGGUGGUGUAGAGGGAAAUGGAAAUGGUAUGACAAUAUCGUGGGGUAAUCUGCCUCCAUCCUUAAAGCCCCCACCUGAGGCUGGAUAUCCACCUCUUCCUUUUGUGGAUUGGGGAUAAACUCUCUCUCUCUCUCUCCCUUGCUCUGUUUCUAGACACCAAUUUCCUCAUUUAGUUUCUUCAUUUGUUAAAGCUGUAUCUUCUUGUUUAUAUUAUUAUUACAUAUUAGAUCACCCACUUUCAUUUCCCUGUUCUUCCUCCUUUUACAUUUCUUGUCAUCAUGAGUAUGUCAAUACCUUGAUAAUGGGAAUUCAUUAUAUUACACAACACAAUUGUCUAACAAAUCUAAAAGGUGAAGUGUUAUGGUUCAAUUGAUCCUUGGUUCAGUUUAGUUUGUGCAUUAUAGGAACAAAUGGUAAGAAUGCAAGUGAGAGUAUGAAUGUUGUAUGAUUAGGUGGCGGAAUUUUAGUAGACUUCCAAAGUCUAUCCAUAAGCUUCAGAGCUUACUGACAUUUAGAGAUUAUUUGAUGUUUCAAAGCUUCAAGUGCCUGUCUGAUCAACCUCGUAUUCGUAGAGGAAAUUCAACCUGGUAAUUGGAAUUCGCUUCAGUUCUUGCACUUCUUUGGUUGCUAAGGCAUUGAAAUAUUUUGUUUAAAGGGAUGCAAAACCUCUCGUCUCUUAAAUUUCUGGCUGAGUUGCUGUACAAGUCUGAAAUUAGAGGAAAUUGCAAUGGGAGGGAUCUCUGUCUGGGUUGCUCUUACCCAUUUGGAGGUCAUUGAAAUCUGGGAUUGCCCCAACUUUGAGGCACUGGUUUCAUAAGAUUUUAUUUUAUUUUAAUUAAUUUAUAAAAUGUUUAUAUAUUUAGGGUCUGUUUGAUUGCCAGUAAAAUAUUUUUCGUAAAAUGAUUUCUGGAAAAUAUUUUACUUUUCUGUAAAAUGAUUUACUGGAAAAUAUUUUUUGGUGUUUGAUUGAAUCUGUGUAAAAUAUUUUCUGCUGCUUGGCAGAUUUUUUGAAAAUAUUUUUCGGAAAAGUUAUUUUUACAUAUAUUAAUAUAUAUUAAUAAAUUUUUAUAUUUUAAAUUAUUUUUACAUAUAUUGCAAUGAUUUAUUUAUAAUAAUACUCAAUUAUUAAGUUACAAUAUUAAUCGUUAUAAAUUGAAAAAAACUAAUAUCAAAUAAAUUAUUUGUAAUUGUGUUAAAAAAUAAGUAUUGAAUAAUUAAAAAAACAAGUUACUGGAAAAUCGAUAAACAGAAGCAGUUUUCUACCGGAAAUGAAGGAAGGAAUGAAGGAGGUGAUAGAGAGGAGAGUACGCAAAAUGUCUUACGGAAAUUGAAAGGGUAAGACAUUUUCCCUAAAAUGUAACCCAUUUUCCUUUGUUUUAGAGUUCAUUUUCCAAAUGGAAAAUAUUUUCCGCCAAUCAAACGCUGGAAAAGUUAGAAAUGAUUUUCCGGAAAAUCAAUUCUAUCAAUCAAACAGACCAUUAGUUUAGAAUCCAUUUUGAUUAUAUGUAUGUAACAUGCCCCAGAAUUUUCUAAUUUCUUUUAAAUGAUGUAUAUUUGAAACAAGUUGAUUUUUAGAAGAUAUAUCUAAUUCAAUUAGAAAAAUAAGAAUAAAUUUUCAUUUUUUUUAUAUAUUUUUAGUUUUAAAGUUUUUAUCUACUUUUUUUAUACGAAAUAUUUAAAUGAUUUACAACAUAUUAUUUGAUGUAUUGAUUUUAGCUAUUUUACCACUUUAGUCUUUAAACUUACAUUGUUUGUUAAAUCACUCCAAAAUAAAUGGAAAAAUUAAUGUUUGUUAAUUUUGUUGAUAUGUCAUACACGUGACAUAUCAGUUAUUAAAUAAUUUUAAAAAUUUUAAAAAGUUCAAGUAUUAAAAUUUUAUAAAGUAUUAAAAUUGUUAAAAAAGUACAAAAAUAUUUUUUAAAUUUUUAGAAAAUUAAUUCAUUGUUAACACGUGACAAUCCACGUUUAUGUCAUAUCAGCAAAGUUAACAAACGUUAACUUUUUAUACAUUUUUGGGUGAUUUGACAAAUAAUGUAAGUUCAAGAGCUAAAAGAGGUAAAAAAAUUAAAUAGUGGACUAAAAUAACUUUCUUUUCUUGUAAAGAUAGAGGACCAAAUAAGUCAUUAUGCCAAAAAAAUAGAACUGAAAAAUCGAUUAAAAUUUGAUAAAUGUUAUAAAAUAAAGAGAGAUGGGGAGAAUAAAGAACAAAGAAAAUAUAAAAGUAACAAAGAAUGUACUUUAUUGAUCAAAAUGGGUGGUUACAAUGUUUCAUCAGUGUCUCUAUUUAUAGGCAUAAGAAGUAUAAAAGAAGUAGAGAUCUAAUUCUAAUAACUAUUAAAAUUUAAAGUAUACCAAAAUUUUAUCUUGAUCGUGAUGGACAUGCUCUUAAUAAGAUAUUCAUAAUACUCCCCAUUGGAUGUCCAUUGGUAAAUAAUGUGACUCAUUAAUACCUUAGGUAAAUAAUGUGCCUCAUUAAUACCUUAUUAGGAAAAACCCUAUGGGAUAAAAACCUAACGAGGGAAAAAGAGUACACAAUCUAUAAUACGUAUAAUAUGUUGCCUCAUUAAAAACCUUACCAGGAAAAUCCAAUGAGACAAAACCUCGGUUAAGGAAAAAAGAAUAUAACGCAUAUUUACUCUUCCUCAUGAAAACAUCACAUAUUUUCUCGUAUUCUACGUAUUCAAAACUUUAUUUUGAUCAUGGUGGACAUCCACUUAAUAAUAUAUUCAUAACAAUAAAAUCAUUUAUACUAUUAUUUAAUCCUGUAAUUGAAUUGUUGUCAUGAGUAAACUAGGUACCCAUUCAAUUAGUGCAAUUAUAAAAAUAUACGUUCAUAAUUAAAAUAAGUUAUAUUAUUCGAAAGCAUUUUCAUCUUUUUAAUUUUAAAAAACAAAUAAAAAUUUACAUGUGGUUAGAUUUGAACUCACGCUAUUUACAUAAAAGGUUAACAUGUAGUUUGCCCUUUAAACUUAUCCAAAAGUAUCUAGUUGGUACUUGAACUUUUUUACCUAGUUGGUACGGGUACCUAAACUUGUAUUCUGUCACCCAGGCUGGUACCUCCUCACUAACACUGUUAGUUUGUGUUGACAUGUACUGAUAGCCAAUAUAGUGGUGACACGUGGUAGCUUCUCAAUAUGGCAUGUGAUGAGCAUAAAUUUUAAAAAAAAACUUUAAAAUUAAAUUAAUUAAUAAAAAAGUAUAAAUUUUUAUCUAGGUUCAUCCUUGAUAUGAAUAAAAUUAUAUUUUUUAUUAAUUUAUAUAUUUUUAAAUUUAUAUCUACCACGUGGCAUACUGAGAGGUUGUCAUACGUCACCAAUAGAUUGGCUAUCAAUGCCACGUUAGCAUAAACUAACGGUGUUAUUGUAGAGGUAUCAACCUAGAUGACAGAAUACAAGUUUAGGUAUCAACUAAGUUCAAGUACCAACUAGGUACUUUUGGACAAGUUCAAUGGGUAAACUACAUAUUAACCCCUACAUCAACAAAACAUUUAACUUUACCAUUAAACCAAAGCUUUAUUGUAAUAUAAUUUUUACAUUUUAAUUGUAUUAUGCAUAUUAUUUUCCCAUCAAUUGUAUAUAUUGAUAAUAUUGUUAAGUGACUUGGUGUCACAAGUCAAAGCAACACUAGCUUAAUAUUGAUGACAACACUGUGAUAUUAUUUAUGUAACGACCCAAUUUUUAGUGGUAUCGAAAAAUGUGGUUUUGGGACCCCAUUUGCGUAACCCAAAUUCGUAAAUAUUAAAUAGGGAUAUUUAUGGAGUUAGUGUAUAGAUUAAUUAAAAUUUGGAUAAGUAAUUUAGCUGAAAUUGUGAUUAAUUAGACCUAGGGACUAAAUUGUAGAAGAUAUUGAUUAAUUGUGAUUAAUUGUGACUAAUUUGCGUAACCCAAAUCCGGUUUUAGGGACUAAAUUAAAUAAAUUAUAAAAUUUGUGUAAUUUGGUAUUUGAUUCUAAUUAGGCUAGAUAUUGAUUGUAUAAUAUGUUUUAUAAUUAUUUGUAGCUAAUGACAGUACCGAAUAGCUGAGAGGGAAAGGAAAAGCAAAAAUCAUUGACGAGUGAUGCAUGAAACCUUGAUUUGUACUUUUAUGAUUCAGGAUAGAAAUAUUUGAUUUCAUAUGCAUGUUUAUUGGUUGUUGAAUUAUUGAGGUGAGUUUAUUAUGAUAAUAUGAAAUAUUUUGAUUGAAUUUGAUAUGAAAUAUCAAGAUUAGAGAAUUAAAAUGAAUAAAAUAGGAAAUGAUAUGAAAUACUUAAAUUAUGAUAUGUGAUAUAAAAAUUAUAUCGAAAUAUAAUUUUUCAACUUAUUCUUUUGCCUAUCUAAAUAACUGUUUGAACAACUAUUGCACCAGAUUUAAUUUUCCACAAGUCAUUUUUCAACUUGAAAUAGUAAGGCCUAAUAUAACUAGCCUUCACACAAUAAUGGAAAACCAUUCUCCUUGUUUUAUUCCUCCCUUUCAUAUUGUUGCAAACAUGUUGCUGUCUAAGUGAUGUUCUGUUCAAUAUUGCAACAUUAGAUUGAACAGAUCUUAUUUUUCUCCACCUUUGAUCUUUCAUCAGCUUGUAACGAUAAGAUCUAAUAUGUUUGGCCUUUCCACAAUACUAACAAACAUAUUUUCUAUUAUUCUUUUUACUUGUCUUAAAAGAAGAAAUAACAACCAUAUUUUAUAUCUAAUAAAAUUCCUAGGAGAUAUAGGUUUCUUACCAAGUUCAAUUUGACCAAGUUCGAAUCUCCUGACAACAAAUAUCUCAUCACUUUGGCUUUCACAUUUCUUGAGAGUGGCUUCGACAUCAUUUAACUCUUACUCAUUUGUUUUCAAAGUUGCAUCUUUUUUUUUAUAUAGUUUUAUCAAGCAUUUCAUUAGCUUUUUUAAAAUCAACAAUCAUAUCAUAUCUUUUUUACCACAGUUUCAAGUCUUUAUUAUUUGGCUAAACACAUCCUUUAGGUUGAAAAAAACAUCAUUUUCAUUUUCUAAUUUAAUGCUUUAAUCACCAAUUGGACGUGUGAUAGAACCACCUUUCUUAUUGGACUUCAUUAUUGCAAACCGUAGUUUAGGAUCCCUUUCAAGUAUGUUUGAAGUCAAGCUCUGAUACCAAUUGCAAUAACCUCGAUUUGCUUUGUGUUCAAUUCGAUAUUCAGAUAGUAUGUUUAGACAAUAUGUUCAAACAAAUGUUAGAAUAGAACAUAGACAGUAUGCAAAUAAGAGAAUAAGAGAAACAAACACAAGAAAUUUAUUAACACAAUUCAGAUUCACCAAUCCUACUUUGCAAAACCUUACUUAGUAAAUGAUUUUAUUCAACAAUUGAUCUAGUAACCUAUUGACUAAAUCUCAAUGUACCCUUACACAAAGAAGUGAUUGUAGCCCCAAUAACUAACCCCGACUUGUUACAAAUCAUUCACCCAAAAAACCUCACAAUACAACUAGUAAAACUCUCCAAUAAGCCUACUAAAUGAGUGCAAAAAAUAAAAGGAAAAAUAAACUAAAUCAGCACAAGCAAUCUCCUAGCUUUCUCUUCAACAUGCAAAUUGAUGCCUAUUUAUAGGCCAAAUAAGGCAACCUUCAAGAUCAGAUUUUGUAGAGAUAAAUACUUCAAUUUGGUGCAUAAUAAUUCAAGAUAAAAGCCUCCAAAAAUUAUCCCAAAAUACAACCUUAUCAUUAAGUAAAAUCAUCAGCUUAACCAUAAAUAGCUUAAAGGAUAAAGAUAAAUAUAAGCAUUAUCCAAUAAGGCAAGUCGAUCAAAUCAUCCUUAAGCCACCAAUUUCGAUUAUCAUGGUUUGAGAUGGAUUACAAUACAUCUUGGAAUCCAUUUGCUUAUGGUAAAAUCAUGUGUAAAGGAUCUCGUGUCUGAACAAGUGUUUAAAUAGUUGUUUAAACAUGUUUGUUUGAACAAGAGUCGAGUCAUCAGUCUUGAAAAGCUUUGGUCUUAACAAGUUAGUCGACUAUUUUAAGUAAUUUACUUUUUAAAAUAUGUAUUUUUAAUUUUGGUGUGAAUUUUUCCUUUAAUUUUAUAAAAUUAUUAGAUUAUGGCAUGUUUAAUAUAGGUGAAUAUAUUUAUACAAAAUUCAUAUAAGAUUAAAACGAAGCUUUAGUUAAAUUAAUAAAAAAUCAAAUAUCUUGAUAAUAAUGAUUUGAUAUUACAUAUGCAUCUUUGUAUUUUUUUUAUAGUGAACAAAUAUGAUAUAUUUUUCUCCUUUUUAUCUUUUAAAUGUACAAAAAUAUCGAGGUUUAAAACAAUGUUAUUUUAAAUUAUUUUCAAAACCGAUGAACAGAACCAAGGGCAAAAUCAACAAAUUUUUUAGAGGCCAAAAUUUAAUUGUAAUUUUUAUGAUGGUAAAAAUUACAAUUUCAUCAUUGUGAUAGCCUAUAGCUUUAUAGUUUUUAAAUGAAUAAAUCCAAUUUUUAUAAUUUUAGAAGGACUAAAGUGUAAUUUUAUCUUUAUUAAUUUAAAAUAAAUGUCUAAAUGAAUUUUUCGAUUUUAGAGGAUUGGGCCUGUGACCCCUAGUUUCUCCAUGAAGAGAACCAUUGUCAACUCUAGCUUCCGAACAAAUUAUAUGAAAAGAACUAAAAUCUCUGAAAACAUAUAACACAGGGACCUAAUAUAGAAUUAGACCAAACUGAUAAAGGAAAUCAAGCUAGAAAACUGUAGGGGGAUUUACAUACUUGCAGCGAGUCAGCAAUUUUCUAUCUCGCAGUUUCCUCGGGACUUUCAUUUGAAAAAGAAAAAAGGAGUUCAUUACUUCUCUGCUUCAGCUACUCCUUGUAACGAUUUUUCUUUUCCUUUUCAAUUUGGUCCUUUCAAUUUUCUUGUUGGAUUUGAAGCAGUAAUCCUUUUCCGAAUCGUUGAAUUCCUCUGUGAAAAUUUCUGAUCGGUGUUUCAUCGCUCCGUUGAAGAAUGCCGUCGUCGCCACGAAAGAAUUAGUAAAACGGAAAACAAACGGAUAAAACUAGAAUGCGAACCAUUUGCGACGUCUGCGACAGCGCCGCCGCGAUCAUAUUCUGCGCCGCCGACGAGGCUGCUCUCUGCCGUUCCUGCGACGAAAAGGUCUAUUUUAUCAUUUCAUUGCCAUUUUAGUACAAUUAAUUGAUAUCCGCAUAUUUAUACACGUCUACGUAUAUAUGUAUACUUGAUGUACUCCAAAUUCUGUAUAUUCCUAAAUUAGCCGUAGUUUAUAUAUAUAAUUAUUUCUGAAAUUAAAUCAAUAAGGAAACUUUUUAUUGGGAGUUUUUAGGUUCACAUGUGUAACAAGCUUGCCAGCAGACAUGUCAGAGUUGGUUUAGCCGACCCCAGCAAUGUCCCACGCUGUGAUAUAUGUGAAAAUGCACCUGGUAUAUAUAUGUCCUUUUUAAUUGUAUAAUUAUUGUGUAAACUACAGUUUUUUGGAAAUUUGUUCAUUUGUUGAUAUUUUUGUACGUAGCUUUCUUUUACUGUGAAGUGGAUGGUAGUUCCCUUUGCCUGCAAUGUGAUAUGAUUGUACAUGUUGGAGGUAAAAGAACCCAUGGGAGGUAUCUCUUGUUGAGGCAGAGAGUUGAGGUUUGUCACUCUUUAGUAGGCAACAUUUUAUGUUUUCAUGUAAUUUUUGGAAAGCCUGCUAAAAUUCUUCCUUUGCUUGUAGUUUCCAGGGGAUAAGCCUGGUCGUUUGGAGGAACCAGGUUUACAACCGUUCAGUCCGAAUGAAGUAAGGAAGGAUCUGAAUCAGCAGUCAAAGCUUGCAGUGAGAGAGAACCGGCAAAACCAUGGAGUCUCUCAUGUUCCAUUGCAUGAUGAUAAUGCUAAGGCUGAUGGAGAGGUAGGAAAUGAGUUGAUUGAUCUAAAUGCCAGGCCACAACAGGUGCAGGGGCAAGCUUCGAUCAAUCAGGUAUCUUCGAUUGACUAGCUUUUUUCGUUCUUUGGACUUGAUUGAUGAGGUGACUGUUUUGUUUUUUAAGGAGCAAGCCAUGGAUGUUUCGAGUGGCAAUUAUCAUGACACUACUAGUGGGAUCCCUGAUGGAUCCUUCAAACAAGAGCCUGAAAAAUGAGCUAGGUAUAACUAUUAUCCCCUACUUAUACUGUUGACUUUGUUUAAGAGCAUUGCAACCAUGUGGCUCUAAGAUUUUUCUGUUUUUAUGUGCAUUUCUUGAUAAUUCAUUAUAGAUGCUCAUUAUGUAUUUGAAUCUGUGUGAUAUCAAAUUAAUGAAGUGUACAAAUAAUUAAUAGGAUUUCCCAAGCAGGUUGGCUUCCUUUCACACGACAUUGGUGCUUAGAUAUUAUUUUAAAAGACUUGUCUGGUUUUUCAAAGUAGAGCUUGACCUGCUGAGCAAUUCCUGAUUCUCAUAGUCAUAUGAGAAACAGAUGGAUCGGCAUCUAGUUGUUUAUGAAAUAUUAAACUACAGAGUAAGAAUGUCUAGGCUUUUCUAUUAGGGGCAAGUUCUGCGUUUUUGAGAGAAAUGGUAUCCUGUGCAAGUAAUCUUUAACCUUCAUGCACGUGGAAAGUCAGCUUCUGCUGGCCUAUCUGUCUCAUGGUUUGUUUCUCUUAUUUAGGCUCGUGUCGAACAAAACUAGUCCGUCUGGUUAUAGGUUUAUACAAAAACUAUAGUGCUAUCAUUUUCUACUGGCAAAAGGAUAUAAUUUUGAUGAAAAAGCAAUAAUGUUUUGUUACUGAAGUUGAUUGGUCCUUUGUUUGUGAUGAACUUCCCAUGGCUAAAGCUUCCUUUCUUUUAAGUCCAGAUAUUGGAUCAAUUUACACCUCAAGUUUUGUUGCUAUCAUGUCUGAGAUUUUCUUAAUAAAUCACACAACUACCAUGUUUGUUAGCUCAUUUUUAUCAGGGCAUUUGCUUUGAUUCAAGUCUAUGACAAUUAAGAGUAAGACAAACAACUGGGAAAUAUAGUCGCUUAAACAAGUAGUAACUGUUGCUAGGUCUACAAUUUCUCUUACGUUCCCCUCAAAACAUGCACACACAUAUAUGCACACACACAAACCUUUCUUUCUACUCCUUUGAUAAUUGAAUGAGGUUUCUUAUCAAAUAAUGUUGUCCAAAUUUUUGGCUGCUGUAGAUAUAGCUGGAUCAGUUUUCUCACAUCUAUGUAUUUAUUGAGUAAAGCGCUUGCCUUUGUCAGAUAUGUCUUCCUUCCCCAUGGAUUAGUCUCUGUCUAUUCAAUUCCUUUACACAAAUGAAAACUUUUGAAGAAAACUUUUACCCAUGUACCAAAAUCAACAUUCUUGCUUAACCGAAAAUAGUUGUGACAUUUAUGCUUGUUUGAAUUGCCAACUAUACAUCCUUUGUGAAUGACCAUUCAUUUAAAUUUCCUGAACAUUAUUGCUGGUGUUAGUAACUGUAUGAAAUUGAAUAACAAAGAAUAAUUUGGAAAAUAGAAUGAAUGACUGAAUAUUCUAGUAUUAUUAACUUGCUUGGAUCAGUACAACAAUAGGACUUAUAUACUUGAGUGAGACUAACUGCUGCUAACCAAUCUACUAACAAUAUGCCAGUCUGUAUAACAGAUUAAUAACAACCUAACGUAUUCUUAUACUCUAACAGCUGGUGAUUACAAUGACUAGUUGCCAUCAAAUUUUAAGUGGGAAAUAGAAGAGUAAUGGAGGGGAAAUUUUCACUUUUGAAAGGAAAAAUUCCCCCUCUUGUUUCUCCGGAAAAUUUCUUUUCUUUUUUGGUUCGAAUUUUGGGGCCGGAAGCAGAACAAGCAGUGGGAGACUAUGAAUCAUGUUGCUCUUACACCCCUUCUUAGUGGCAUCCAAUUUUACCUUUGUUUAACUUCCAUUAUGGCGUUUCUUCUACUUUUGCCACACUCCAAUAGCAGCUGAAUUUUUUUUGAUGGAAUCCAAUAAUAAGAUGGAGAAAUAUUAUGAAAAACACAGUUUAAUUGUGUAAGUAGAUCCGUCUAUGGAUUGGGUGCACUCAGGCACGUGUAAGUCUAUUUCAAUUUUUAUGCAUAAUGAUCCAUCCUCUUAAAGUUAAAAAUUCCUCGGAAAAUGGAUCGAUCAUUAAAAGAGAAUCUGUUUCUCUUAUAAUUUGAGCAAAUCAUUUCAUGUCCAAUUCUUGAUUCAUUUUUGAACGGAUUUUUUUAGUCCAACAUUUCCAAGCAGACAUCAUCAAGCAGGAUCGAGAAAUGGUAAUGCGGAAGUUAAUCAGAUCAGUUUACCCUAAUUUUUCGGUGGCUAAAAUGCAGAUUCAAGCUUGUUUUAGUAUUUAUGAUGAUGCAUUUAUAAGUAAUCUCAUCAGCAAGAAGUUUAUUUAACAGUACAUUGCAAUCCAGAACAAAAAGUAGUCUCCAGAGCCUAUAAAACAUUCAACACAAAGAGAAAGAAACCAUAUCAUGAAAUCUCCAUCAUCUCAGCUAAAGCUUUGUUUGCAGCAGCUUAGUAGACGUAGCCCUUUACGAACAUUCCUUUCUUGGCCUCUUCUGAUUCUCCCUCGCCGGUGUAUUUCCCGAGCUGAGCGAGUGAGUUGGCUUUGGCACGGACAAGGAGUGCAUCCUGAGCAGCCUUAACGUUCUCGGGUCUGCCUCCCCAUGUCUUCAAGCAAGUGUUCUGGAGAGCUCUGGCAUACGAGAACGAGACGUGCCAUGGGUUUGGAGAUUGGUUCAUUGCGUUCAAGUUGAGGGUUGCUUCAACCUCGGAUUGUCCGCCAGACAAGAACUGCACAACAGAAACGGUUUGUCCAAUCCGUUAGUACGGUUCAUUUUAUUAUUUCACAAUGCUUUCGUAUAGAAAAUGUACCAUGAUUCCAGGAACAGCUGGGGGGAUUCUCCUGUGGAGGAGCUUGAGGGUGUAAUCAGCAACUUGCUGUGGGGUGGCCUUGUCUUUGCAUUCAGCACCAGGAGUGACCAUGCUGGGCUUGAGAAGGAUGCCCUCAAACAUGACAUUGUUCUCAGCAAGGUAGAAGAAAACCUCAGCCCAAACCUUCUGCGCUACUUCGAAAGUCCUAUCAAUUCCAUGGUCACCAUCAAGCAAGAUUUCCGGCUCCACAAUCGGGACCAGUCCACUGUCCUGCAACACAAUGGCCACAAAAAUCACUUCUCGACAACAAGUAGCAUACACAUAAUGAUUGCUCCACAGCUUCAUCUAUCAACUUACUUGAGAAAUGGCGGCAUAGCGAGCAAGUCCCCAAGCUGCUUCUUUCACUGCCAAGGCAGAUGGACCAUUUGGAAUGCUCACAACAGUACGCCUGUCCGAUCAAAAAGAGCUAAUAGAGUUAUACAAGAAUCCUUUAUUUCAACACUGCAUAAUAUGGUUGAGAAGUCAUCGAACCAUUUGGCGAAACGAGCACCCUGCUGGUAGUAGGCAGCUGUGCGGGAUGAAAGACCGUCAAGACCUUGGCACCAUGACUCGUUGUUGGAACCAGGGAGUGGAACCAAACCCUGUUAUUUUGUUUACCAAAUCAUUCAGUUCCAAGUAUCCUCUAUAAAGAUAUGAAUUUGUGGGUGCUUUUUGGUUAAGCUUUAUACCUUGUCAACUUUGAUACCAGGGACAAUCUUUUGCUCAACAAGAACAUCGACCAUCUUUUUCCCAUCGAUGGUAGAUUGGUAGAGAGUCUCCUCGAAAAGGAUAGCUCCCGAGAUGUAGUCACCGAGGCCAGGGGCAGACACGAGAAGGGUACGGUAAGCUUGCCGGUUUGCCUCGGUAUUCUCGAGACCAAUCGAGGCAAGCCGUUUCCCACAUGUAGCAUUUGAUUCAUCCAUGGCCAGAAUACCACGACCUGGAGAUGCAACAGUUUUCUACAUCCAAACAAGAAAUAAUAUUUAAGCAUGCACGAGAUAAAAAUACGAUUCAAGACUACAUUAAUUCUAAUUAAGUACCGCGGUCUUAACAAGCUCAUCGGCAUAUGAACUAGCACGGACGGCAAAGGCGGCCGAUGUAGGGUGUGACCGUACAAAACAAACCGAAGGGUGGCGGAGGUUUUGGCCCUUAAUCCACUCGGACUUGUCGAUAAUAGGUGAAGACUUGAGGAGAGUAGCGGAAGCAGAAGCCAUUUUUCUUGGGCUUUGAGAGGGCUAAUCAAUGAAGCAAGUCGAAGGGGCUUUAUUAUGUUUAGUUUUUCACUAUAAUCUUAUCUCUUCAAUCCUGGCCUUCCUUCACCACACAUGCAAGUCUCACUCACUGGAUUUUAUACUUGCGUUUGUCUAUACUAUCACUAUACCAGAAGAUGUCGCAUUUGAGGCUGUCGUGCUCCGACCAAUGCCCUUGUGCCAUGUAGAUGAUAAUUUUGCACACUUGGCCGGGAUGCAUUCCGUGGUUGAUAUGGAUGAUUCUAUACUCACCUCGUAAAACAUUGUUUCAAAUAGGUUGAUUUUUUUCCCUUUUUUUCAAUUUGCUUUUAUUUUUUAUUUAAUUUAAAAAAAAUUUAAAGGUUUACUAUAACAUUUGUUACCUGAAUUUGACACUUUUUUCUAUUUUGGUACCUAAUUUUUUUGGUCCAAUUUGAUAUUCAAACUUGACUCAUUUUUCUAAUUUGAUACCUAAUCUUUUUUUGGUUCGAUUUGGUACUUGUCAAAUGUUUUACAAAUUACUCCAAUAUCUAACAAUGUUAUUCUUUUACAAGGUAGCAAAAAUAAUCAAUGUAUUUUAUAUGUUCAAUUACUUUUAGUUUUAUUUAAUUAAUUAUUUUAUUAAUUGAAAAUAAUGAAUUUCUUUUAAUUUGGAGUUUUUUAAAAUAUUUUUUUCUUAUUUAAUACUAAUUCAUUAACCAUAGUCAAAUAUCUAGUUUUUUAACAUGAAUUUCCUAUAACACUAAGGGCACGUUUGGUUCACUGUAUUGAAUUAGAGGUGUAUUGGAUUAGAGGUAUAAUGGAAUAGAGGUGUAAUGGAAUAGAUGUGUAAUAGCAAAUCAACUGUUUGGUUGAAUGUAAUGGAAUAGAGGCGUAAUAGUAAUCUUGUGUUUGGUUGAAUAGAAUAGAGGUGUAAUAGCAUAAUGGAAAAAACUAAAAUGACUAGAAUACCCUUAGCAUAAAUUUGUUUUGGUAUAUGAUUAUUGUUAUUGUUAUUUAAAUUUUAAUAAUAUUAUUAUUAUCAAUAAUAAAUAAUUUAAUCAUAUUUAAACAUAAUUAUUAUUAAAUAUAUUUUAAUUAAAAUAUAUAAUUUAAUAAAAUUCUUAAUAAUCAAUAUUCUUAUAUGAAUUUACUCAAAUCAUAAUAUAUGAUACUAUAAAAUAUAAAUUAACAUAAUUAUUAUUAAAUAUAUUAUAAUUAAAAUAUAUAAUUUAAUAAAAUUCUUAAUAAUUAAUAUUCUUAUAUGAAUUUACUAAAAUCAUAAUAUAUGAUACUAUAAAAGAUAAUUUGAAAUAAUUAAUAUUAAAUAUAUUUUAAUUAAAAUAUAUGAUUUAAUAAAAUUUAAAAUAAUUAUAACUAAUAAAUUAUCUUAUAUGAAUUUGUAUAAUUUAAAAUAAUUAUUAUUACAUAUAAUUUAAUAAUAAUAUAUAAUUUCAUAAAAUUCUUGAUAAUAAAUUUUCUUAUAUGAAUUUAUACAAUUUAAAAUAAUUAAUAUUAAAUAUAAUUUAAUAAUGAUAUAUAAUUUCAUAAAAUUCUUAAUAAUAAAAUGUUCUUAUAUGAAUUUACUAAAAUCAAAAUAUAACUUAAGAAUUAUAAUCUGCAUAAACACUCAAUCCGAGUUCCAAACAUACGUGCCAAGGAAGACGAUUAUUAAACGUGUCAUUGUAUUAUUUUGGCUUGUUUCAUGUUUAAGUUGAUAAGAGAAUUCUUGGACCGCCAAGAUUUACAUAAAUUAAGUAAAAUUUAGUUUCAACUGUAUCGGUUCAAAACAAGUAAGAUUUGCCAGUCCAUGCUUUGCUGGCUUUUAAGUUUAAAACAGAUGGCAUAUAGCUGACAAUUUUCAUCGAGGAAAACAAGUAGUCUGUUCUACCCAAAAUAUCUCAAGAGUUUUAAACAAAAGGUAGUUAGUUAGAUGUAAACACGCCUUUUCUGAAACCUACAAAUGUCAAUGGCUAGUUCUUAAUUACAAGCAGAUCAUCCUCCUUGCAUAUGGGCACCUAGUUCACCAAACUGAUCAUCAGCUUCCACAGUAUCCUCAGACAGGCGAACUGCAUCCAGCUUCUGUUUCAAGAUUUCUAUAGCAUUAAGAACCAACUGAGAAGCUUUGAUCGCACCAGUGGAUUCAACUGUAAAGAUGAAACUGUCUUCUUUGGCAUAUAUCUCCACAAGACCUGGCUUGCCCAUAGCUUCAGCUUUCUUUAGCACCUCAUCGUCAUAGGUAUACGCCUCUGGAUCAACCACCACAACCUGUUUUCAAGAUAAAAAUAGAAUUCAUAGUUAGCAGCGCCAACAGCAGCAGCAGUGAAAUAGCAUAACCUCCAAUUUUUGGCUCACAAUAUAGGGACUGAACGAAUGCACUCAACAUACAUGAAACAUAUGAUGCUCAAGCAAGUCAGAACAGCUAUCUACACAAAAUAUGAGGCAAAAAACAAAGCACUAAUCAAACGAACUAAUUCCGAAAUGCUCCAACACUCACUGCAAUAAUAGUCAGUAACAACAUUACGGUAUCAUUGGAGACUUCCUAUAGAAACAAGGUUUUCAAUACAGUAAUGGCAGCAGUAGCAAGCAGGCCCCAUUUAAAUGAAAGCAGAAAGAAAUGUAGUUUGACACCUCGUAUCUUUAGCUUUGAGAUAAACACAGGGUGGUAUUAACAGCCCUAAUACAAGGAGAAACACUCCAAUCCAGAAACCUAAACUGAAGCUCAAGUUCCAUCAAUAUCCUCAUGAUUCACAAAAGUAAAAGGCACAUAAGAGGAACUUUUGUAAGAAACAUAUAAAGACAAAAUGCUACUAAAACACAUCCACAUUUUAAGCUCAAGCAAACUAGAAACUCUAAAAGAAAAGACCUUGAUGACGUGCAAAGCAAUUCAAUCCUCCUAUUGGACAGACCAUAGAUGUAAUUAAUCAAAACUAGCAUUUGCUUUAACAAUCCAGAAGCUCUAGUGAUAGCCAACACAACCCAAAGCUUAAUCCCAAACAAUUUCUUUGUUAGAAUAGAUGUAAUGAUGUAGAAAGUAAAGGCAUAGCAUACCUGUUGGGUAUUUGGGUCAAUGUCAAAGAAUAAGAUCAUUGCUCUGCAUUUUAUGAAGUAUUGAUUAGACUUGGCAAUUAAUUAUAACGGCACAGCCCUUAUAGAACUCGGGAAGAUUGUGAAACUUGUAAACCUCGUUAACAGCCUGAAUUUGCUUAGUUAUCUGCGAGUUAAUUGCAACAAAGUAAAUGCCAUUUAUUUGGAAAUAAAAGAACAGUGGAAUAUAGAGGGAAAAGAAAAAGAACUGCAAGAUGAGCAUCCCGAUUUGUUCUACAUAAGAUAGCCAUCCUACUGAGAGCAGAUACGACUUAAAUACUUAAUUGUCAGGAAAUGAGAAUAGAACAAAUACCCGACCAGUAUGACAAACCAGUGCAAAAUAAACAUUAUUUAGAAGUUUUUAAAAUAUAAACAUCAUUCAAAUAUGGGCAUGAACUAUGAAGUAUGACUCUCCAAAUAUAUACAAGUGCCGAAUGUCAUUUAACUAUCCAAAGUAUGACUAGAUAUUGGAAAAGGUUCAACUAUCCAAAGGAAUUACAAUCAUGUCAAAUACUAUGAUAUAGGCAACCACUCAAUACAAUUUUUAAACUCGAAAACUGCAUUAACAUACGAGAAUCAAAAUCAGAUAGAACACGAAAUAGAACUCAAAUCUCAUUGACCAAAACAACAAACAAACGGGUAUAUUUUAGUUUAUGCAAAGUCAAUCAUCACUUAUUAACUAAUAUCAUUACAAAAGAAUAAAAUUACAAUGCUUUUCAGCCAGCUAUCCGAAAGAAACCACUAAAUGUUUACCUCAGACAUGUGAAGCAUGGCCAUUACCACCCAAUUCCACAACAGCCGACUUCUCUUUCACCAAACCAUCUUCUUCUUUAAUCCCACUAUCGAGAUCAUCAUCGGAAUCCAAAGUGAAAUUCCCCCCAUUACUAUCCAUUAGCUGUAUUUCAGCCCCUAAUGGCUUAUACCGCAAACCAUCCCCUGAAGCACCAACAACAACACCGUUUCGUUUGCCAAUAAGCGAUAACAUCCCAACAACCAGAACCACAAGCAAAGCAAGAUGGCAAUUGAAUUGCAAUGUGGCAAUAAACCUUGCUCUAUGAUAAUCAGGGUGACUUCUGCAUUUAAUAGUAUAAUUCCCUCUACUUUUUUCAUGUAAGCUACAUCUAUGAACCAUCAAAUUAGUGUAAAAUGAAAAUCCCAUUUGCACAAACCAUGUUCCGUGUAAAAUCAACCCAAUACCUCGUACCGAUUUCGAGUAAAUGGACCUAUUAGAUCUCAAUUCUAACAUUGUUGAAACCACACAAAUUGCUAUGGGAACACAUAAAAGAUCAAAAUAUCUAUACUCAAUCCCACUUGUAUCCUUUCUUUGCAAGUAAUACAACAAAAAUUCUUCAACAAAAGCUAAAAGCAGAACUAAUUCAAGAACAGGAUCAGGCCAAAAGUAUGAACCUUUCUUAUUAUUUAAAAGACCCAAAGCAGAGUAAAGCAAGAAGAGUAGAGCAAGUGAGAGCACUUGUAACUGGAGCACCGUCCCCACCCGAUCUUUUGAACUGAAAGCAUCAAAGAUUGAAACCACAGAAUUUAAGAAAAUCGAAAGGGAAAAGAUUGAUACAAAGAUGAAAGAUGGUGAAGAAGAAAAAUGGUUCUCUUUAGUUUUAGAAAUAGAGGCAGAUUUGAUCUGGGUUGAAAGUGAAGAAGAAAAUGGAGUUGGACUCGGGUUGAGGCAGAGGGUAAAACAUGGAGGGAAAACUGAAGAGGCAUCUAAUCUGGGCAAAAGAGAGGGAUUAGAAAUCGGUGGUUUUCACUGAUUAGAAAAGUAAUGUAUUACACGCGUAUUAACAAUACAUUGAACCAAACGACGAAAUAAAGAGGGAUUAGUGAGGCCCACCGAUUAGGGGUGUAUUGGCUAUGCCAAUACACCCAACCAAACAAGGCAUACAAUAUUUUUAUAGCAUAACCAAAAAAAUUUUAACACCGUUAGUGCUUUGCAUAAUUUGUAUAACAUUUAAUAAAUUUAGGUACUAAAUUGAACCUAAAAAAAACUUAGGUACCAAAUUAGGAAAAAAUGUCAGGUUCAGGUGCCAAAUUGGGCCCAAAAAAAUUUAGGGACCAAAUUAGGGAAAAAAAAUGUAAAAUUUAGGUUCCAAAUGUUACAUUAAGGCGAAAUUAAAAUAUCAUUCAUUCUGUGUUGUAGCUACUUUUUCCAACAAUAUAUUUUUAAAGUUUGAUCGUAAAUUUUGUCUAAAAGUACAAUAUGCCUUACUAUUACAUUUAAUAUUUGUUCAUAAAGCCAAAAUGUAAUUAAUAAUAUUAUUAACAGGUUUCUUUUUUUUCUUUUUUUCUUUGAAUAAUAUUAACAGGUUUCUAUUAAACUAGAAUAUGUGGCAUUUUAAAUGGGAUGAUUGAGUCGAUUAUAUUGAUAAUAAACUUAAGUGGAUAAAAAUUUGAAAAGUAUAAAAAUUGGAGGGUUAAAAUAUGUAAUAUAGUUGCUGUACUUUUUGAAAAUUAAGAAUUUAGUCAUUGUAUUUGUAUUUUCAAAUUUUAAAAUUUAAGUCAAUCUGCUAACACUAGACUUGAUCAUUGGUCAAGCUGAGUUCGGGCCAAGUCAAUGUAGAAAUUUAGGUCUGGACUCGGCCCGAAAAAUAGACUUAAAAUUCUAUUCAAAUCUGACUCAAAUUAAAUAUGUUAAACUCAAGCCCGACACGACUUAUCCUAUUAAAAUUUUUAGAUUAUUUUUUAUAUUUAAAAAUAUAAUACACCAAAUUCACUAAAAAUAUUAAAAUCAGAAAAAAUAACAACCGAAAUUAGACAUUUGAUGGUUUUAGUUUUGGGUUACAAAAUUCAUCAAUUUAUAGCAACAAAAAGGAUGUGGUGUUAAGUUUAUUACAUUGACUAGUAACAAAAUUAGUCUUUAAAAAUGAAUACCUAACCUUAAAUAUUAAUUUGUUAGUUAGGUUGUUUUUACACACUAACCUCUCCAAAGCUGGUUUGGAAAUUCAUCGCUCAAAUAAAUAUUAAUUAAAUAUCGUGGUUUUUUUUUAGAAAACGGGUUUUAAUUUUUAUUCAAGUUUAUUUUUUAAUUUUAUAUUUUUGUUUAAACUUUCUCAUUUUCAAGUGGGUCUUCGGGCCUAAACGGAUGGUUCAACUCAUGAUCAGGUCUAAUUAAUACCGUUAACUUUCUUUGUUAAAUUUGUUGCAAUGACAUUUUGAAAUAAUAAUAAAAACCACUUGAUAGCCAUGUAAAUAAAAACAACAUGUUGUAAUUAACUUGAAUUUAACAAAAACAAAAAUGGUAUUAACAGUUAGACCUGAAUUUUGAAAUCUGAAAAGUAGAUGACUAAAUUCCUGGAAAUACAAGUACAAUGAAUAAAUUCCUAAGUUUUGAAAGUACAGGGACUAUAUGGAUAAUUUAACCAAAUUAGACAUUUCAAAUAAUACGGCAUAUUGAAGAGUACAAAUGCAUGAUAUUCAGAAAGGAGUUUAGAGUGUGGGUAAAAGAGAGAUUCCUUCUCAACUGAAAGUAACCAAAUAUGAGGUUCUAAAUUUGUGCAGAUUAAUGGCUGUGGUUUUGAAGUUAAGCCCCCACAUCGGACGGUUGACAGAAUGCCAUCCCUUGAGAUUUUUCUUUCAUGAGGACCUUGGAGAAUGGAGCCAAAAGCAUAUGAUAUGAAGCGUGGCUAAGAUUCAUGAAAACUGGGCUUCUGUUUGCAUUUGUGGCCAACUGCAACGCCUAUAAGAAUUAACCAAAAACCCCUGAUUCUGAUAAUGACUGCCGAAAAUUUUCAAACAAAAAACGAUCGGAAAAAAUGAAAAAAUUUCCGUUGCCGGGACUUGAACCCGGGUCUCUCGGGUGAGAGCCGAGUAUCCUAACCACCUAGACUACAACGGAAUCUUGUUUGUUAAUUUGAAUAAGAUAAUUUAAGCCAUUUAUUUAUUAAGUUGCUAUUGAACUUCCUACAGUAUUCCGGAUUUUUAGUAUUUUUUUCUCACCCAUAUAUAAAAAGUUACAAAGAAUCAAUAAAUUUAUCAAUUUAUAACCUUUUGGUUACUUGUCUCUUAACUCAAUAUGACAUAGAUAGGCUUAAUAGCUAAUUUGGUCCCUAAACUAUAACUAAAAUAUUAAUUUCAUACUUUCCUGAAGUGUGAUAUGAUUGUACAUGUUGGAGGUAGAAGGACCUAUGGGAGGUAUCUCUUGUUGAGGCAGAGAGUUGACGUUUGUCAUUCUUUAGCAGGCAACAUUUUAUGUUUGUUUGUAAUUUUGGAAAGCCUGCUAAAAUUCUUUCCUUUGCUUGUAGUUUCCAGGGGAUAAGCCUGGUCGUUUGGAGGAACCAGGUUUACAACCGCUCAGUCCGAAUGAAGUAAGGAAGGAUCUGAAUCAGCAGUCAAAGCUUGCAGUGAGAGAGAACCGGCAAAACCAUGGAGUCUCUCGUGUUCAAUUGCUUGAAGAUAAUGCUAAGGGUGAUAGAAAGGUAGGAAAUGAGUUGAUUGAUCUAAAUGCCAAGCCACAACGGGUGCAGGUGCAAGCUUCAAUCAAUCAGGUAUUGUCGUUUGACUAGCUUUUUUCGUUCUUAAACUUGAAUGCUAAGCAGUGUAGUAAGAUGUUCUUUUAGAACUUAAUUAACGAGGUGACUGUUUCGUGUUUAAGAAGCAAGCCAUGGAUGUUUCGAGUGGCAAUAAUCAUGACUCUACAAGUGUGGUCCCUGUUGGAUGCUUCAAACGAGAGCCUGAAAAAUGAGCUAGGUAUAACUAUUAUCACCUACGUAUAGUUUACUUCUUUUAAGAGCAUUGUAACCAUUUGGCUCUAAGAAUUUUCUGUUUUUAUGUUCAUUUCUUGAUACUUCAUUAUAGAUGCUCGUUACGUAUUUGAUAUCAAAUUAGUAAAGUGUAGAAAUAAUUAAUAGGAUUUCCCAAGAAGGUAGGCUUCCUUUCACAUGACAUUGGUGCUUAGAUAGCAUUUUACAAGACUUGUCUGGUUUUUCAAAGUAGAGCUUGACCUGCUGAGCAGUUCCUCACUCCCAUAGUCAUAUGAGAAACAGAUGGAUCGGCAUCUAGUUGUUUAUGAAUCAUUAAACUAUAGAGUAAGAAUGUCUAGGCUUUUGUAUUAGGGGCAAGUUCUGCUAACGUUUUUGAGAGAAAUGGUAUACGGUGCAAGUAACCUUUAAUCUUCAUGCAUAUGGCUAGACUGCUAAAUAACUUUUGAUCCCAAAAGAUGGUAACAUGGCGGCUUCUGCUUGCCUAUCUAUCUCAUGGUUUCUCUCUCUUACUUUAGGCUCGUGUAGAACAAAACUAUCCGGCUGGUUCUAAGGUUACUCUUACGUUCCCCUCAAAAUAUGCACACACACACACAUGCGCUCACGAACAGCUAACCAUUCUUUCUACUCCUUUGAUAAUUGAAUGAGGUUUCUUAUCAGAUAAUGUUGUCCAUCAAUGUUUGGCUGCAGAUACAGCUGAAUCAGUUCUCGCAUAUCUAUGUAUUUAACGAGUGAAGCGCUUGCCUUUGUUAGAUACGUCUUCCUUCCCCAUGGAUUAGUCAUUAUUACCGGUGAAUUAGAAUGACUAGUUGCCAUCAAAUUGUAAGUGGGAAAUAGAAGAAUAAUGGUGAGGAAAUUUUAACUUUUGAAAGGAAAAAAUUCCCCUGCUUGUUUCUCCGGAAAAUGUCUAUCUUUUUUCUGGUCGAAUUUUGGGCCUGAAAGCAGAACAAGCAGUGGGAGAGUAUGAAUCAUGUUGCUCUUCCACCCCUUCUUAGUGGCAUCCGUUUUACCUUUGCUUAACUUCCAUUAUGGUGUUUCUUCUAUUUUUGCCACACUCAAAUAGCAGCUGAAAUUUUUUUGGAUGGAAUCCAAUAAUAAGAUGGAGGAAUGUUGUGAAAAAUACAGUUUAACUGUGUAAGUAGAUCUCUCUAUAGGUUGGGUCGGAUUCAGUCAAGCACUCAGGCAUGUGUAAGUCUAUUUCAAUUUUAAUGCUUAAGGAUCCUAAGUUAAACAAUUGGUUUAACUCCACGGAAAAUGGAUAGUAAAAGAGAACAUCUCACGUCCAAUUCGCCUAAUAUUUUUGCUUAAACUUGUUUUUCCAGUCCAACAUUUCCAAGCAGACAGUUUAGAACAACGUCGAGCAGGAUUGAGAAAUGAUAAUCCGGAAGUUAAUCAUAUCAGUCUACUCUAAUUUUUUUUAUCAUUAAAAUGCAGAUUCAAGCUUGUUUUAGUAUUUGUGAUGAUGCCAUUUAUGAGUACCCUCAUCGGCAAGAAGUUUAUUAACUAACAGUACAUUGCAAUCCAGAACAAAAACUAGUCUCCAGGGUCUAUAGAACAUUAAACACAAUGAGAAUGAAAGAGAAACCAUAUCAUGAAAUCUCCAUCAUCUCAGCUAAGCUUUGUUUGCAGCAGCUUAGUAGACAUAUCCCUUUACGAACAUUCCUUUCUUGGCCUCCUCUGAUUCUCCCUCGCCGGUGUAUUUGCCGAGCUGAGCAAGUGAGUUGGCCUUAGCACGGACAAGAAGUGAAUCCUGAGCAGCCUUAACGUUCUCAGGUCUGCCUCCCCAUGUCUUCAAGCAAGUGUUCUGGAGAGCUCUGGCAUACGAGAACGAGACGUGCCAUGGGUUUGGAGAUUGGUUCAUUGCGUUCAAGUUGAGGGUUGCUUCAACCUCGGAUUGUCCGCCAGACAAGAACUGCACAACAGAAACGGUUUGUCCAAUCCGUUAGUACAGUUCAUUUUAUUAUUUUACAAUGCUUUCGUAUAGAAAAUGUACCAUGAUUCCAGGGACAGCUGGGGGGAUUCUCCUGUGGAGGAGCUUGAGGGUGUAAUCAGCAACUUGCUGUGGGGUGGCCUUGUCUUUGCAUUCAGCACCAGGAGUGACCAUGCUGGGCUUGAGAAGGAUGCCCUCAAACAUGACAUUGUUCUCAGCAAGGUAGAAGAAAACCUCAGCCCAAACCUUCUGCGCUACUUCGAAAGUCCUAUCAAUUCCAUGGUCACCAUCAAGCAAGAUUUCCGGCUCCACAAUCGGGACCAGUCCACUGUCCUGCAACACAAUGGCCACAAAAAUCACUUCUCGACAACAAGUAGCAUACACAUAAUGAUUACUCCACAGCUUCAUCUAUCAACUUACUUGAGAAAUGGCGGCAUAGCGAGCAAGUCCCCAAGCUGCUUCUUUCACUGCCAAGGCAGAUGGACCAUUUGGAAUGCUCACAACGGUACGCCUGUCCGAUCAAAAAGAGCUAAUAGUGUUAUACAAGAAUCCUUUAUUUCAACACUGCAUAAUAUGGUUGAGAAGUCAUCGAACCAUUUGGCGAAACGAGCACCCUGCUGGUAGUAGGCAGCUGUGCGGGAUGAAAGACCGUCAAGACCUUGGCACCAUGACUCGUUGUUGGAACCAGGGAGUGGAACCAAACCCUGUUAUUUUGUUUACCAAAUCAUUCAGUUCCAAGUAUCCUCUAUAAAGAUAUGAAUGUGGGUGCUUUUUGGUUAAGCUUUAUACCUUGUCAACUUUGAUACCAGGGACAAUCUUUUGCUCAACAAGAACAUCGACCAUCUUUUUCCCAUCGAUGGUAGAUUGGUAGAGAGUCUCCUCGAAAAGGAUAGCUCCCGAGAUGUAGUCACCGAGGCCAGGGGCAGACACGAGAAGGGUACGGUAAGCUUGCCGGUUUGCCUCUGUAUUCUCGAGACCAAUCGAGGCAAGCCGUUUCCCACAUGUAGCAUUUGAUUCAUCCAUGGCCAAAAUACCACGACCUGGAGAUGCAACAGUUUUCUACAUCCAAACAAAGAAAUAAUAUUUGAGCAUGCAUGAGAUAAAAAUACGAUUCAAGACUACAUUAAUUCUAAUUAAGUACAUACCGCGGUCUUAACAAGCUCAUCGGCAUAUGAACUAGCACGGACGGUAAAGGCGGCCGAUGUAGGGUUGCACUGUACAAAACAAACCGAAGGGUGGCGGAGGUUUUGACCCUUAAUCCACUCGGACUUGUCGAUAAUAGGUGAAGACUUGAGGAGAGUAGCGGAAGCAGAAGCCAUUUUUCUUUUUGGUUAUGUUAUCUUUGGGCUAAUCAAUGAAGCAAGUCGAAGAAUGUUAUGAGGGACUUUAUUAUGUUUAGUUUUUCACUAUAAUCUUAUCUCUUCAAUGUUGGCCUUCCUUCACCACACAUGCAAGUCUCACUCACUGGAUUUUAUACUUGUGUUUGUCUAUAUCACCCUAUCAUAAGAUGUCACAUUUGAGGCUGUCGUGCUUUGACCAAUGCCGUCAUGCCAUGUAGAUGAUAAUUUUGCACACUUGGCGGGGAUGCAUUCGUGGUUGAUAAAAACAUUGUUUCAUAUGCGUUGAGUCAUUUUACUUUAUUAUCUAUUUUUUAUUUAGAAUAAAAAAUUUUUACCAUAAUUCAUUUUGAACAUAAAUUCAUGGUUAUUUCUCUUAAUAAUAUCGUUUUCAAGAUUUGAACUUCAAUUAUCUCUUUAAGAGUGUAAUGUGAUUUAUCACUAAACUCAACACUCGUUAGUAAAAUCAAAAUGCAAUUAAUAACAUUGUUAAUAGGUUUCUAUUAAACUUGAAUAUAUAUCGUUUUAAUAUUUAAUUAAGACCAUAAUCAAUUAAAACAAUAAAACACUACAUUCAAUAAGAAACAAUGACACACCUAAUUAACUAUGAUUGGAUUUGAUGAAUGGGUUGGUCAGUUAAAGUACUUGUAAAUUUAGUGGAUAAACCUAAUUCGAAGAGUAUAAAGAUUGAGGACAUAAACAUUUGAAAUUGUAGUGGAUAAACAUGUGUAAGUAACAAACAAGUAAAUUAAGGAAGAAAUUAAAAAGAUCGAAUACACAAAUUUUAUGUGAAAAUUUUCUCUGAAGAAGAUAAAAAAUCAGGAGUAAAGGGAUAUUUCACUAAUAAGAUAAAAAUAUAAGAUAGAGAGAGUCAAAAUAAAGAAAAUUUGAAACCCUGAAAGAAAAAUAUUCUGUACUAAAACACAGAAUUCUCUCUUAACUAUGCUAUUUUCUGCAUCUAAAUCUAAUUCACACACUAAUCUCGGUGGCUCUAAGGUGACUUAUAUAGUGUACAUGUUACUUGGUGUCCACUUAUCCUAGAUACAUUUUAGCUACUAAUUAAUGUAAUAUACUAUUAAAUGCUUAGUGUCUAAUUAGGAAGUAAUCCAAAAAUUGUCAUCCAAUGAAUUAGCUACAUAUUUUCAUAUCUCGGCAUGAUGACAGUUGCUUGUUGCGGCAUCGUGUUCUCUCAUUACGACGUCACUCUCUGUUUUGGUCUGAAAUACAAGGCAUAGUCCACAUAAAUAAUAAAGCAUAUUUAUACGAAAAAAAAAACAGAUUUUUUCUUUCCUUGUGAUGUAGUAAGAGUACAAGAACAUCAUAUUCACAAUGCAGUUUGCAGUGCGUACGUAAAUUAGAGGUGUUGGAAAGAUUCCUUCUGAAACUAAACAAACAUGAGGUUCUAAAAUUUGUGCAGAUUAAUGGCUGUGGUUUUAAGUACAGGGUCUUGAAGUUAAGCCCCUACAUAGGACGGUUGAGAGAAUGCCAUCCCUUGAGAUUUUUCUUUCAUGAGGACCUUGGAGAAUGGAGCCGAAAACAUAUGAUAUGACGUGUGGCUAAGAUUCAUGGAAACUGGGAUUCUGUUUGCAUUUGUGGCCAACU
RNAcentral lists this long non-coding RNA (90949 nucleotides) under Gossypium barbadense (sea-island cotton). RNAcentral describes it as "long non-coding RNA (GBAR_LNC022144)". Lineage: Eukaryota; Viridiplantae; Streptophyta; Magnoliopsida; Malvales; Malvaceae. The record is from RNAcentral.